GAUUUCUCAUGCAUAGUCAUGCGGUAUGCAAUGAUAUUGGGUAUGAGUACGAGAAAGGUCCUGGGGGAUCAAUUGCUCGCCAACUAUAGAAAAACCCCUCUCCCUCUCCCUUUCUCAACUGCUUUUAGGUCCUUUGGACCCACUUUGCGAGCUACUAACAUAAGAAUAUUUCUGGUUCCAGACUGAUGAAGCCAUGGAGGAUCCUUCUGAGUAUGAAUUGUCUUCUGAUGGCAGUGGACAUCAACCUCAACGCCAUUGCUACAUCAAUGUGCUCGAUUUAUGUUUAAAGUACCUCUGAACUUUGUGAUGACAUAUGGUUAAUUCAUGCCUUAUUUUAUAAUCUAUGAUAACUACGUCAGGUUUCUGGAGUCUUGGGUUUGUAUUAUCCCUCAUUUCUACCUCGUGAAACAUUUCUCUGGCCCCCCCCCCCCAACCCCCCCCACUGAAUCGUUUAAAGAAUUGAUGUGGAUAUGAAUUUGAUUGUCUACUACUUUAAAGUAUAAUCUACUGUGGGAGGUGCUCUUGGUUUGGAGCAGAUUAGUGGCUAUUUCACUUGACGCGCUUUAAUGGCAUCCGCAAUGUUGACCAUCUUAGAAAUCAUGUGAGCAGCCAGCUUGUGACUAAUGCUCUCGAGAAGGUUUUCAUGCAGAAACCCAUUCUCGUCCUCUGGUUUUAGCAGGGAAAUCCUAGCACUUAAAUUCAGAACACAACACAGAGGAAGACGCCUGACGAUAUGAACUAAACACAGGGACGUCUUGGCACGAUGAGGUUUGUACCUGUCUCUGGCUGAGGAAAAUAUCUAAUGGACCCUUAUAAGUUUAUGGACAGAUGGUAUCUACAGCAAAUGUUUGAUCAAAAGACUUGACGUUUCCGAGCGUCCCCCUAGACCGGGCUUCAGUCAGUUGAGUCUUGAAUAUUUAGUGCUAACCAUUGGUGCGAUCUCCCCAUGUGCGUAUCUCCUGCGUGUGCAACGAAGGCAGAAGCAGACUGAGUCCCGCAGAAUGAUAACUAUUAAAAGUUCUCAUUUCUUCUGUUAUUGUGGCUGUGGUGAACACCGUGGUAACGGGGCAUUAGCUUGUGGAAUGAGAGCAUAGGGCAUGGUAAAUUGAUUUUGUUUCCUAGACAUAAUUUGUAUGCGUGACUUUCAUGCUUGAGACAAAAAGGGGUGGAAGCUAAAUUGACCAACAGAUCUUCCGGAGGAUGAGCUCCUACUUUGUCAUUGAAAAGGUAAGAUUGUCUCGGGAUUGCAUGAUUUCCUAUAUCCACGAGGAGUCGAUACUUAAAAGUCAUUCACAAGGACCUGAAAAUAAGCAAUGCACUUUUUGAGCGCUAUUCUAGAUCUUAAAUUUUCAGGCUUAGGUUGGCAAUAAGAAAGUUGCAGAAAGGACAAGUACAAAUAAGGAUACCUAGAAAGUCUGUAGCUUGUUUUGUAGAGGCCCACUGGUCUACUUCCGGACAGUUUAGAGACAUGAUUGUUCGAUAGUGGCUUAGCCACCAACACAUGCCUUCGAUGAUUUAGAGUAAAGUCUUAUGAAUGUGGAUUGCUUUUGGUAGACAGCAGUAAAAGGAAUAUAGGAGAUUUAAUCAAAGUCAUCACCAUUUUGGACAUUCAAGGAGCAGAAUAUAAUAGUAAUGUUGUAUGUCAGUUUCUUUGAUUUCGUUAAAGCUGUGGGCAUUUAUUUGCAAGCUAUAGCUUCUGCUGCUGAUAUUGAGCUGAAGGGGACGGUAUUAAAUGUGAAUAUAGAAGACAGAACAGUUGACAAAAAUGUGAAAAUUUUGAAUUUGGGAGGGAAAUAACCUUGCUUGUAAUUGAAAAUAGACUAGGCGGGAUUCAUUCAGGCAUAGCCCUUAUAUGGAGACUGCUAUACGAAUGACAUUGUUCUUUUUUUUUCUUGGAAAUCAUAGUAAUGAUCAUUCCAAAAUUUGCAUUAUCCAGAGACAACUUGACCAGUGCACAUGAAGUUAGACAAAUGAGCAAGACGUCAAUAUAUUCGCAGCAUUCAAUAUUAACAAAUCCAAUUGUGUGAAAGCACAUCAGGCAUUGGAUUUCGAGAAAAUAUAGAAUGGAGUGAUGGUAGGAUAUGUUCAACGACCUUGGAACCAUCUAGCUCAAACUGAAGUUGUAUACUUUAAUUGCCAUGUCAGAAGAAAGUGGAUGUUAGUCGUAAAUAAAAAUUACGCAAAACUUCUUGCUCUGACUUUAGUUUCGUUUGGACCAGGAGAAAUUCUAAAUUAGUGACGCAUCACUCAUCUUAAUGUACGUGCCACUGUUAAUGGCAGUCUUCUUGAUCUUGCGGCAACUUGCAAGGUGGACUACAUAUGAACCUUUUGCCUUUCAUGACCUGAAACAAAAAUGGAUUUAAUCGCGGGGAACAUAAAAGAUUAGUUUAAGUCUUCAAUCAAAUGCAAAAAAAAAACUCCUUUUGCCACUUGCACUUAUUGUUUUAUCAUCUUCGUGUCAUUGUUGGGUCCUCAUCUGGAUCUAGUAUUUGAGUUCCAACUAGUCUAUGAAAGAUGGAGAGACGUUGGUCUCUUCAGGCCAAAGAUUUGAGCUUGGCUUCUUCUCUCCAGGAAGCUGCAAGAACAGAUACUUGGGCAUUGAAACAAGAUCACUCCUCAGACAGUUGUUUGGAUUGCUAAAAGAGACAACCAACGGAUUCAAAUGGUGUUAUGACAUUCAGCCAUGCAGGGAAUCUAGUUCUUCUUAGCGGAAAAAAGUCACUACAAAUUUCAUGACUUACGUAUGGUGCUCACAUGAAAGUCAUAUUUUUUUCCCGAUCAGUUGGAUACCAUAACUUUCAUACGGCGGUUAGUUGAUUGUCAUAUAUAUAUAUUUUACUCAGUUGAGUACCGCAUAAUUUUUAUUUGAUCAGUUGAGUGCCAUAUAAUUCUUCAAUGGAUCACUUCAUAACUAUUUAAAAACGUUCACCACGAGUGCCAUGCCAUGUCAAAUUUCUGGCAUUUGGGUCAAUACUUUUUAAAAGUUAUGGCGUUUAAAUGAGUAUUGUAUGGAAGUUAUGACAUUUGUGAUAAUCUUAUCCCUCUUCUCAACUAAUCAAAUGAUUUCAAUGGGUCUUCAAAUUCAGCUCACAUUCUGAUGGUGCCUAUUAUUGGCAAAACUUUGAGUACCCAUCUGAAAUGGUCUUAGUAGAUAUGGAAUUGGGGUCGAACUUGAGCUGGAUUUAAAUGGUAUCUGACCACCUGUAAAAGUGUGGAUGACCCUAUCCCUGGUCAUUGCCACUUCAGAUUAACCACUCAGGGAUUGCCACGAUUUGAAGUGUUGAACGAUGGGUUCAUCUGAACAUAUUGCGAUCGGGAGGUGGCGUGGGAUCCAGUUUGAUGGCGUCUCGAUGCCAGUGGAUCCCAUUGUAAGGCAAACGGUGGUUUACAACCAGACGGAUGCCUACGCCGCGUACCAUCAGCCAUCAAAUGAUGAAAUCCUCACCAGAACACCAAUGUAUGGAUCUGGUUUGGUGCAAUGUUUGUGCGGAAGAAGGGAAGCUUUAGUUAGUCUAUCAUGCAAUUGCUUUCUAUUGAUCCCAUGACGGCUAUGCACUGUGUGGUUUACAAUGGUUUCUGCAAAAGUUACGGACCUUUGAGAUGCGAGUGCUUGCAAGGUUUCCUCCCAGAGCCGCCAGAAGAGUGGCAAAUGCUUUAAUUGGACCAGUGGUUUCUUGAGAAAGUUUCCCCCAAAUUGUUCUACAGGAGAAGCACUUUUCAAACUCUCUGAUUGUAAACUACCAGAUCUGAUCAACCAUUGGUUGGCCACUGGCAUGAGCCUUGAAGAAUGCAGGGUUCAAUGCACACAAAAUUGUUCCCGUAUAGCUUGUGCUAAUCGAUAUAUAUAUUAGUUAUUGGAUCAAAAGCUAAGCUUUUGUGGGUGCUGAAUAACUACAUAUCAUGAGUGGUGCUUCUCAUCAUUGCAUGGUAAGGGCGCUUUAACAUUAUCGCUGGAAUUGGUCUAGGUCUUCUUUGAAAGUGCUAGUAUUACUACCUAGAGGGGGGUGAAUAGGUAUAAAGACAAAUUUGGCCAAUAAAAGUAAUAAAAGUUAUUUUCUCAAAUAAGGUCUUAUUAAUAUCAAACUUCUAAGUUCAAUUCAGACUCAAAUAAGAUAUUUUGGAAUUUACCAGGACACAGAAAAAUAUCGCAAUAACCAAAUUAAGUCUAUGUCCACUCUCCCACACUGACAGCCUUCUAGCUGGAUUUCAUUAUGGAAUCAAAAGAGAAUUACAGUGAUUUGAGUACAAUCACUCAGUGAAGAGUUUGUUUCUCUCACUAAGUCACUCCUUUGUGUGUUUUUUUUGUUGGUAAAAUUAAGAAUGUCACCCCUUUUAUGUUUAUCUCUCUUUUGAGUACAAUUGCAAGCACUAUUGGUGAAGAACAUAUAGUUGGAAAUGCUUCAAACUUUGGAAUUUUAAUUCUCACACGCUAUCUCAAAUGAACCGAAUGAUUUCCUUAAAUACUCCUCCAUGUCUUUCUAAUUGUUGGUACUUUCCAGAGGAAUUUAUUCCAAUCAAUCCGUUGGACAGAAUUAAUUAAGGAAAUCUUAUAGCCAUUUGAAGAUUGAGGUAAAAAUCCGAUGAUCCUAGUCGCCCAUACAAUCAGAAUCUAGGUUUUCAUAAGUAGAUGCUUCUCAAAAAAGAACUUUUCAAAAUUGAUUUCAUCAAUCCAUGAUUGCUUUCAUCAAUAUAUUUAGAAAAGAUAAGUGAGAUUCUCCGCCAGAAAGCCAAUUAUGUCUUGAUCAUACUGAAUUCUAGUUGGAAGAUCAAUAAGCUUGAGUAUGAAUAUGUCUUCAUUCUAGACUGGGUUAAGUCUGGAUGGGAAAGACUUUUGAUGUAAAAAGACUUUGACAGCAUUCCUCGAUAUAACAUCGAAGUCCAAUGUUCCUCGGAACAAGAAUAAGAAUAAGAAUAAGAGAAGAAAGGUUUUGUCAACUUCAAAACCAAAUAGGAGUUUUCUCAACAAUCUUUACCUCCACGAAGAUUCAAAACUUCAAGUCAUUCACGGAGACCUUAAAAUUAGCAACGUCUUAUGGAUGACAAUUUAAAUCCAAAAUUUUCUAACUUCAUUGACAAGAAUCUUUUGGAAGUGAAGAAACAAAAGCAAGAACUAGAAGGAUCAUCGGCACUUGGUAAGUGCUCAUCUCAUUUCGUGACCUCCAAAGUUCAUGAGUUCUGAAACAUCGGGAGAAUUGAGACAUGAUUUACUUGAUGCAGUGGCUAUAGGUCCCUAAGACUAUGCCUUGGAUAAAAAAUUCUCGACGAAAUCCAAUGUACUAUGUAGUGCUCUUCUUGGAAAUGGAUAGUGGCAAAAGCAAUAGAGGAUUCUGCCAUCCGAGUCACCUUCACAACGUUCUCGGACAUGUAAUGCUAUUUCUUCUUAUACUUAAUUCCUUCUGAUGUUCAAAUCAUUACAGAUUCACAUAUUGGCUUCUAGUCGCUUAUCAUGUUUGGCGACCAACCAACUCAAGUUGAUCCUUCCUAGGCAUGGUUGCUGUGGAAAGAGGGCAUUGCCCUGUGUUGGGAAUGACUGAUCCCCGAAAAACCGGAUUCGAUACCGAAUCGAACCCCUAAAUCAAUGCGGAAGACGAAGCCCGGGAAAUCACGUAUCACCGAUCGUAAAGCACACCACGGAUUCGAGCGUACCUUGUUAGCCACAGAUUAAGCACCGACGCCGAUAGAGGAAGAGAUUUGGCCUUGUUCGAUCCGAUGACGCCUUGAAGGGAAGAAGAACGUGCCUUAUACUUACUGUUUCUUCUUUUUGUUUUUGGAGAGAGAGAGAGAGCGCGCGGGAGAAGACGUACGUUCAUUUUCUAUUUCCAAAAACCAUAUCAUCUCUCUCUCUCUCUCCUCCCUUUUAUACUUUCCCCCAUCCACGGGCCCUAUUCCCGUGGGCCGGGCCUUUUGGGCCCAGCAUGGGCGGACGGGCCUUAAGCCCAUCACCAAUUAAAACCAUCAUCUCCCACUCGCACAUGGUGGGCUGAACAUGAUUCUCUUUACCUCUCUUCAACAUUCAUACCGGUGAAUAAUCCGUGCGACCAGCAUACUUUGAGAGCUCGUUACUAUACAUCUGUUAGGAAUAUAUAGCAGCUCAUAAUGGGCGUCACACUCCGAGUAGAUUUAGUAUGCAGUACCCUAGAUCGAUCAAUCACAUCUAUAUCUCUCUUGAUCUCUUUUAAACAAUGAUAUAUAUAUUGUAUUCACAAUUAUAAUUAUCACAAAGACAGUCAUAAUUGGUCGACCGGUGAAUACAAAACUAUAAUAUGAUUCUCCAAAAUCGAUCUUCCUCUUCCCUUUAAACUCUCAAUUUCAGUUCAGCUUGCUAUUCUAGAAAUGCCCCAUUAGAUCGAAUCAUCUCAUGACCAUUGGCAACACCCUAAGAUAGCAAACACUAAAUAAAAAUCUUGAGAAUAAGUAAGAGUCAUGAGGGGACUAAAAAUUGAGGAACUCUUUUCCUCAAGAGUUUCACACGUCAUAAAAGUUGAGAUCAAACUUUUUGCCACUCUUAUUGGUCGUCUCAUGCAUACGUAGUAUGAAAUACGUAUUACGGUAUUAACUCCUUUCCCAUGGAGCGUAUGUCUACACCUUUCAAUACCGUACAGAUGAUAGUUCAGAUAUACCCAAUGUCUAACUUGAGUUCACGUAUCUACUCAUUCACAAAAUUCAUCAGAACUCACAUCUGGCAUUUUAGACAGAUAAAGUAAAAUAUGUGGGGUAUUUUACUUUCGGACAUCGUAAGUAUUAUGUCCUCAUCUUAACACUUAGUUAAGGCGACAUACGUAUUUUAAGCUUGAGCUCUCGAUUAUCACCUAGAUAAUAAGCUUAAAAUCAGUCUCAUCUCUAUUUAUCACACAGUAAACAUAGGCGAUUACCCGUGUGAGUGGGCUAAUCUUUUAUCUGUCCGACAUACUUCUCAACUUAAAGUAAUGCACUAAGCAUUAAGAUGCAUAAAGAUCAAACAAAGAUUCAUAGGCAUUAAUGAUGAAAACACAAAUUCAUCAAAUGUGAACACUUAGGGAAAAUACAAUAUUUAGUACAUUAGUCUCUACGCAAUCCUAGAGAUUUCAUAUGGCCACAAAACACAUCUCUAGGUAUUGGCUUUGUCAUAGGAUCUGCUACCAUUCUGUGCGUAGUAUGUACUCUAAGUUCACAUCCUUUUGUGCAACCAUAUCCUUUACAAAAUUAUACUUGGUAUCUAUGUGUUCGGUCUUGCCAUGAUAUUUUGGAUCUUUGGUGUACGCUAUAGCUGCUUGGCUAUCACAGUUAACCAAUAAUGGAUUUGCAACUUUCUCAAUAACACCUAAAUGAUCUAAAAAUCUCUUAAGCCAAACUCCUUCUUGUACCGCUGCUGAUAAUGCCACGAACUCAGCUUCCAUCGUGGAAAUGCUAUACACGUUUGCUUUUUACUGCUCCAUGAUAUGGCGCCAUUGUUCAAUAAGAAAGCAAAUCCAGAGGUAGAUUUUCUUUCAUCUAAAUCUCCUCCCCAAUCAGCAUCUGAAUAGCCUUCAAGUCGCAGAUCCUUUCCUUGGUAAUUCAACUUGAAAUCAGCAGUUCUCUUCAGAUAUCUCAGUAUUCUCUUGACGGCUUUCCAAUGUGCUGGACCUGGAUUGGAUUGGUAUCUACUCACCAUUCCAACUGCAAAACAUAUGUCGGGUCUUGUACACAUCAUAGCGUACAUCAAGCUCCCAACAGCACUAGCAUAAGGAACAUGUUUCAUUUGUUCCUUCUCUUGUGGAGUCCCUAGACACAGUCUGUGGCUCAAUCCUUCACCUUUUGCAAUAGGAGUGUCUAUGGGUUUACAGUCUUGCAUACGAAAUCGUUCAAGAACCUUAUUUAUAUAGGUUUCUUGCGAAAGAGACAACGAUCUCUUCGAACGAUCUCUCGAAAUCUUAACUCCUAGAAUGUAUGCAGCCUUACCCAUAUCCUUCAUCUCAAAGUUAGAAGACAACCAUCUCUUGACAGUAUUAACCAACUCCAUAUUACUUCUGGCAAUCAGUAUAUCAUCAACAUACAAUGAUAUGAUCACAAAUUGAUCCUUGGAUCUUUUGAUAUAUACACAAUGAUCCUCAUUAAUCAUUUUAAAAUCAUAUGCCAUUAUGGCAUUAUGAAAACGUAUAUACCAUUGUCUUGAUGACUGCUUAAGACCAUAUAUCGACCUCAAAAGUCGACAUACUUUUUCUUCUUGGCCUUUCACUAUGAAACUAGCAGGUUGUUCCAUAUAUAUUUCUUCCUCUAAUUCUCCAUUGAGGAAAGCAGUCUUUACAUCCAUUUGAUGUAACUCAAGAUCCAGACUAGCCACUAUUGCCAGAAUAAUGCGAAUCGAGGUAAAUCUUACUAUAGGAGAAAACAUAUCUUCAUAAUCAAUUUCUUCCUGUUGAUUAUACCCCUUUACCACAAGGCGAGCCUUAUGCCUUUCUAUCGAGCCAUCAGCCUUUCGCUUUAUUUUGAGAACCCACUUGUUCCCAAUAGCUCUGCAUCCUUUUGGAAGAUCAACCAGUUCCCAGACUUGGUUUGAUUUCAUUGACUCAAUUUCCUCUUCCAUUGUAUGAAUCCAUUUUUCCUUACUAGGGCAAUUCAGAGCCUCAUUGAUAUUUCUUGGCUCAUCCUCAUCUUGUGGAGCAACUAUAAAAGUUUCCCCUUCAAUGUCAAAACGUCGACGGGGAAUACUUUGGCGAUUUGUUCGCCGUAUGGGAGAUUGUACACUUUGCACAUCAUUCCCUAUUAUGCUCCCACUUGGAUGAACUCCACUAAUAUCAUUAUCUUGAUCCAAGGUCUCAAAUAGGGAGUGAUCUUCCCUUAUUUCGCCCUUCUUAGGAAACUCAUCCUCUAAGAAUGUGACAUCCCGUGAUUCAAAUUCAGUUAUACUCCCACUUUCCUACUCACCAAUGAACAUAUACCCUUUCGAGUGUUCCGAGUAUCUUAUGAAAAUACUCUUCUUUCCUCUGGGACCCAAUUUCCCAAACUUGUGAGAGGACUUAUGUGUAUAGGCAGCACAACCCCAUGGCUUAAGAAAACUUAAGUCCAGUUUUCUACCUGUCCAUAACUCAUAUGGAGUAGAAGUAACUGAUUUAGAAGGCACACGGUUAAGUAUAUAGGCAGCAGUUAACAACGCAUCAUUCCAAAAGGUAAUAGGUAAGUUAACAUGCGCCAUCAUGGACCUAACCAUUUCCAGUAGGGUUCUGUUUCUUCUCUCCGCAACACCAUUUUGUUGAGGAGUAUACGGAAUAGACAACUGUCUUUCUAUUCAUUUUUCAUCACAUAAUUUUAUGAAUUCAUCAGAUAAAUAUUCUCGACCUCGAUCGGAUCUCAAUGCUUUUAUUUUCUUAUCUAAUUGAUUCUCUACCAGGUUCAUAAACCUUUUGAAAGAACUUAUUGCUUCAGAUUUAUGAGAAAUCAAAUAGACAUAUUCGAAUCGAGUAUAAUCAUCAAUAAAUGUGAUGAAAUAAACAGCCCCAUGCCUUUCUCUCACAUUCAUUGGACCACAGACAUCAGAAUGGAUUAAAUGCAAAGGAAAUUCAGCUCUUUUACCUUUCCCAAAUGGUUUCCUUGUCGUUUUCCCUUAUAGGCAAUACUUACAUAUGGGCAAAUCGACUUUUUCAAUGUUGCCUAACAAGCCUUCUUUGGCUAGUCUAUUCAUACGUUGUUGGCCAAUGUGACCAAGUUUAGCAUGCCACACAUUCACAUCAUUAUCAUAGGUAUUAGGAGAUGUGAUAAGGGAAUAACAAACAUUUGCAUUAACAUACUCAACAUCUAAUACAAUGAAACCAUCCAGAAAAUAACCACAACUAUAGUAGUUUGUAUCCAAAUACAAAUCUACACCUCUAUUAUGGAAGUUCAUAUUAAAACCUAGUCUAACCAACACUAAAACAGACACUAAAUUCCGACGAAUCUCUGGAGCAUACAAUACAUCAUGUAGGAAUAAAGUGCGUCCACCACGCAUAUUCAGUUGGCAUGUGCCAAUUCCUUUCACUUCAGCUCGGGAGUUGUUUCCCACAUAGAUCCACUUAGUUCCAGUUGGUACUCGUCGGAAUUCCAUGAAGGAUCCUCUAUCCUUCGCUACAUGGUCUGUCACUCCUGAAUCUACAGUCCACAAAGGAUUAGACUCAGUCAAGAAUACAGAACUCGACACAAAAGUAAAGUUCUGAAAAGUACAAGGGGUGUUUACUUUCUUUGGCUCACGACAGUUGCGAGCAUAGUGACCCUUCUUGUCACAAUUGUAACACCUCACCCUUGACAUUUUCUUCACUUGAGGACAUUUUCCUCUCUUGUGUUGGUUAACUUUUGAUUUCUUGCAACAAGGACUUGAUCCUUUGCAAUCCCACAUAUUGAACGAAUCAAUACCCUUGCGCUUAGAGCUCAAAACUCUUUCUGAGCUAGAACGAGCAUUGUAAAUGUCUACUUUCGACUCAAAUGCCAUUAGGCGGUCCUCUACUAGCUCAAGGUGGCGCAUGUCAUCCUCAAGAUCUUCCAUAAUAUGGUCAAGAGCUUCUAGUGCUUCUUGCUUUUCCAGCACAUAUUGGACUUUCAUGUGCCAAAUUUCAUAGUUAUCACCAUUGAGCUUUUCACCUUUGUUCAGCUCGGCAACUAUGCUCUUUGUGGCUGAAGCCAUUGAUCUGAACACAUCAGACAUAUGCACGAAUUAUUAAUGCCUAUCAUUUAUGCAUCCUUUUUUACAUAGACCCAUCAUAUUAAUGAAUAAUUUCAAGUAAGGCUUCAGAAUCAAAAGGUCACUACAUUUCCAAUCAUCAUCCAAAAUCCUAACUUAAAACUAUCAUUAAUAUGAUCGUCAUAUGCAAAAUCAAUUCUAUGAAGCUACAAAAACUUCUAAAACUACCCACAGCUAAUUACCCACAGCAACCAGCAAUAACAGAAAGCAACAGAUAAUUGACAUACAAUUAAAAAAUAAUAAUGCUUUCAAUUAAUACAACUAUACAUUACCCUAAGCAAUAUAUACAAAGAAAAAUAUCAACAUAGAAAGAGAUAUUCAAUCAUAAAAACAUCUCAUAACUAAUCUAAGAAAUAAAUAGGGAAUGUCUCUUCUAAUCUAUCAUUCAGAAUAUCUAAGAAAUUUGAAGGCACAUUUGCCAACCAUGGAUAAACUUUUGGAGAGCUUUCAUGUCGCCUCCAAGGCGCAUUCACUCUGCGCCAUGUAGCGCUCAAUCUAAGGGUUGAAGUUUUGGCCAACUCAAUCCUAUAGUACUCUCUUACAAAAGCUUCCACUAGCCUUCUAUAACCCGGGACCACGUUGACCUCCCAUAGCCGAUCUAACACUACUUGCCAUUCAGCUGGAAGAGUGUUCAUCAGAGCCGGCACCUUCUCAAAAUCCGGCAUAAGAUAGCCAUUGCAAAUGAUUUCCUGUAUCAUCUGAUUGACCCUGACCACAUGUGAUACUAAAUCACUGUCAUGCCACCGAUAAUCAGCUAACUCUGUCAUCAGCCUUUUAAGUCUUGCAAUUCCCUCGUCCGUUCUCGGGAUUGCAGGCAUCCUUGCAUAACGCAUCAUAGUUCCUGCAACAAAUGCAGAACUAAAAAUGGAUUACUUAUAAUCCAUAAUAUACAAAAGGGAAAAUACAUAAUUUUCCAUAAUUCAUGCAACAAAUGCAGAAUAAAAAAAAAAUGGAUUACUUAUAACCCACAUAGGCAUGACUGAAAAAGAAACAAAAAUUUUUUUUUUUUCCGGCUCAACGGUGAAAGUCAACGGUUGUCGGUCAACGGUCAGUCAACGGUCAAGGGUGGUCAACGGUCGUCGGUCGAUCGGGCCGGUCGGGCCGGAGGGGCCGGCUCGGCCGAACCGACGGCACGUGCCGUGCGCGUGCGCGGGCUGACGUCACGCAGACGUCAGUUGGCACGUGCGACGCGUGUGCCGACGUCCUCGGGUUGGGUCGCCGGCCAGUGACCGCCCGGCGAAACGUUGUCGUGCUGACGUCACCCUAGCGGUUACUGACCGUUGGGUGACGUCAGCACGCAUCGGUCCGCGGACCGGCGCGUGCCGGUUUGCCGGCCGGCGGCGUGCACGCGCCGGUUCACCGACCGGGGCGUGUGCCACACGCGCUGGGCGAUCCAACGCUUCCGGGUGCGUCGCGCCCACGCGCAGUGCCUUCCGGCCGCGUGUGUGGGCGCGUGCGGCGUCGCCCGGCGGCGCUCGACGUAUCGCUAGACUCGUCUCGACGUCGCCUUUCUUCCUAUGCCAUCACAAUUUGAUUUCAACUUACGAAAACUCGGAAAAAUGGCCGAACAACGCUCGGGUGUCGGGAUUUCUCGCCCGAUCCGUACGGCCGAAUUGCUUUUGCGAAUAAUCAAUCAAAAAUCGUCAAACAAGUCGGGAAAACGUGAACUAGGACUAGGGCUCUGAUACCAAUGUUGGGAAUGACUGAUCCCUGAAAAACAGGAUUCGAUACCGAAUCGAACCCCUAAAUCAAUGCGGAAGACGAAGCCCGGGAAAUCACGUAUCACCGAUCGUAAAGCAUACCACGAAUUUGAGCGUACCUUGUUAGCCACAGAUUAAGCACCGACGCUGUCACGCCCCGAACCUCGAGCACGCGCACAUCCCACUGCGGUCGAUAGAAAUGCGACUUCCCAGGACACGUCGCCGACCCAUUCUUUUUAAUUACACAUGCGGAAGCGGAUAAAUAGUCCCCAGACAAAACUCAAUUGGGAUAGAAAAGCAGGAUCACAUUUUUAAAACCAACCACAUACUUUUUAUACAUAUCAAACCAGUUCAUUUACAGGACUAGGCUAUUUACAACAGAUCUAUAGAAGAUCAGUCCUCAAAAACUAGGCUGUCCUAAGAUCAGCUAGACAGGUCCAUUCGCCAGCUCUUCAGUCGGGAUCGGCGAAGUCAAAAAAAUCCUCUCAGCGACCCUCACUGGUCUACCAAAAAGCUCCGGAGGAUCCGCCAUCUAGGGACCUGAAAUAUUAUCCCACAACUGGGAUGAGACGAUGUCUCAGCGAGUCCUACCCUCUAAAACUCAAUUAGGAAGAAAAUAAGCCCCAGGGUGCUCUAGCCACACAGAGAAUAGAGGACUUACCUCGCCUCAGUCCUUCCUGCACGUCAGUGCAACUCAUACGUCGAUAAAUUCAUACUAUAUAUCAAUUCAUAUCAUCUAUCAAUUCAUACCAUCUAUUCAUCCAUUAAUAAAUCACGGCUCACACAAGCUGAUAUAGAUGGUAGCUCGCACAAGCUGAUAUAUGCAUAGAUGAUAGCUCACACAAGCUGAUGUAUGGAUCGAUGCUCUCACAAGCUGACAUAUAUAAACCAAUUGCUCGCCAAAGCGGAUAAUUCAAUAAUAAACCAACUCAUAUCUCAAUUCAAUCAAUCAAUCAAUCCAAUCGAUUCAAACUGGUCAUACAAAUCAAUUACGGUGCUAAAAGCUAACACCGGGUAUUUUCAAGUUAAAUACCACAACUUCAUCAAUUUCACACAAUUCCACACUUUUGGAAUUAUUAACCAUAAUCAUCAAUCACUUAAUUUCUCAAUUUAAACAUACAAUUAGCACAAACCGACCGCACUGCUGCGAUCAGCGCGAAAUUCUAACGACCGGCCAUCCCGGCAAAAUUUUCGAAAUUAUUAAAUAAUUAAAUUUAAUUCCGAAAAUUAAAUAAUUAAAUAUUAUAUUAUAAUAAUAUAAAAUAAUAAAAUAAUAUUUAAAAAUUCGAAAUAAUUAUUUAAUUAAAAAUAAUUAAUUAGGGCUUAAAUUAGAUUACACUAAUUUAAACAUACUAUUAGCCCUAAUUAAACAUCCCUUAAACUAAUCAUACAACUAAUCUAAUUUACAUUAAAAUAAUCUAAUCUAACCACCUAAACCUAAUUAAACUAAUCUAAACACCCCUUAAGCAUGAUUAACUUGCUAAGCAAGGUUUAGAGGAUAAACUCACCGGUUUUGCGGGCCGGUGAGUUCACGGCGACCACGACACCAAGGCGGUCGAUAAACCCCAAAGCGGCGACAACAACGAAGGCCGGGAAGGGCUUGAAAACGGGCCACGAAGUCUGGAACUUCUUGCUGUCUUCUGCUUCUGAUCUGGACUGAACUGCAGAGAAGAAACCAGCAACUUCAACGGCGAAAACGGGCUGAUCGGAGCUCCGGCGAGCGGGUGGCUGGCAACCGGUGGCUCCCGGGGGUCAAGGAAAUCUUAUUGGAGGUUGGUAUGGGUGGAGGUAGGGUAGAAAUGGGGAGAAAAUGGCUGAAAACCGCGAAACGGGCGGAACAGGAGGAACCAGGCGAGUCCAGACGGUCCGGCGAGCGGCGGCUUCGGGCGGCCGUACGGGACAGCCGGAGAAUCGUUCCGGCGAGCGGUGAGGUGCUCCGGAACGGGAUGGAUGUCUUCUUCGCGGUGAUGGGUGGCUCGUUCACUGAUUCAACCGGAAAGUUAACUUUUUACUCGGAUCUUUGGCGAAAGGUCGGCUGGAGCAGAAACUGGAACGAGGGGAAAACAAGGGGAAAAAGAGGUCCGGCGGGCAAGAGGAAGCUUCGGGCGGGUCCCAGGCGGUGCUGUGGCUGUCGAACGGCAAGCUAGACGGCCAGAGGACGCGGGACGAAGGCGAAGCAGCGGCUGGACUCGCGGUUGCAUGGGACUGGACGCGACGAGCAAGCUAGCUGCUCCGGUGGGCUCGCGGGGCUUCGGACCGCUGCUGGUCGCUCUCCACUGGUUUCUCAAGCUUUUUCCCUUCCUCAACCAUGGAGAAAGCUGCCGCACGAGGGAUUCAAGGAAGGAGAAGCUUCGGCUGAAGCAAGGGGCCCCCAAGAGCUCUUCUAGCUUCAACACUUGUCAAUCUCUCUCUCUCCUUGCCCCCACCAUGGCCGGCCCACCCUUCAGCCUCUUUCUCUCUCCUCUAGCUUCCCUACAAGCUAGUUAAUAGGUCCAAAAUGUGGUGUGCCAAGGGGAUUUCGAAUUUUGAACAUUUGUUCACUUAAUUCACUCAAUUGCCAAUUAAUUCCAUCCAAUUGAAGCUCAAUUAAAUCAACCCAUGUGUCCUCGGCCUUCUCAUGACAUUUCCCCAUCAAAUGAUCUAACUUGCAUCCCGAAGAUUCGAUUAAAAACGGCCCUCUGACAAUCCCGAACAAAAACGGCCUUACUUUGCUUUUCCGCCAAAAAUCUCGGUUUGUAGAAAAAAUCUUCCGGAGAUGAGUUGACGUUCCUAAAAUGAAUUGUGACAUGCCAGAACCUUCAAUUUCUGAAUCCGGGUUUAAAAUCACGGUUAAUUUCAAUCUGGCGCGAUUUGAGCGCGUCCUAAUCUACCGGGUAGCUUUUAGGAAAUUUUUAGUGCAAUUGACCGUGGUUGAUUAUUUUCAAGCCACGACAUAAAUCUUCGACACAUUAGCGACUUUCGAUUGUCGUGAAAAUCUCGAGGUUUCAAAUACGGACACAGGGUACCCAAAACGACAGAAUAAUCAGUUCAGUGCCGGUCGACGAGGAUAUUGAAAUCAGGUGGAAUCACCCACACUCUAAUUACAUAUCUCAGUCGAAUCGACCUAUUAUUGAUCUCUGUUCGAUUCUGACAGUGUCGUAAUGAUCCUUGCAGAUUUAUACGGUCGAGCAGUCGGUUCAUGGUCAGAUUCUCAAGCCUAUUGCAUUUAAAUUCCUUAACGGCUUCACCUGAUAAACUAGUUAUCUCGUGAGUGAUCAGCUCAGAGAAUUGAACUAUAAGCGCGUCGAUGAAAAGUCCGUCUCAUUUAAUUGAAAACAGAAUCAGAAAUUUGGGAUGUCACAGACGCCGAUAGAGGAAAAGAUUUGGCCCUAUUCGAUCCGAUGACGCCUUGAAGGGAAGAAGAACGUGCCUUAUACUUACUGUUUCUUCUUUUUGUUUUUGGAGAGAGAGAGAGCGCGCGGGAGAAGACGUACGUUCGUUUUCUAUUUCCAAAAAGCAUAUCAUCUCUCUCUCUCUCCUCCCUUUUAUACCUUCCCCCAUCCACGGGCCCUAUUCCCGUGGGCCGGGCCUUUUGGGCCCAGCAUGGGCGGAUGGGCCUUAAGCCCAUCACCAAUUAAAACCAUCACCCUGGAACUUAAGGUUGAUUCUUUAGGUAACUUUCCAUCGAAUCUCAAGCAAAGAGAUGUAUCUAGGUUAGUCAGCUGUUCAUCCAAAAAUAUCCCAGAGAGGCCAUGGGUGCGAUCCAUGGUUAUCAUGUUGGCAAAUGAAGAAGCGACAUUGCCACUGCCUAAACAGCCCGAUUUCUUCAUUGGAGGAAGUCCCACAAACUAGGUUGUGGCUUCACCAAGAGAGCUCUUGACAGAUAGCAUGGUUGCACAUCAUGCUGCUAGAAUGUCAAUAUACAUACCGUUCAUUGGAAUUGUUUGUCUCUAGGGAUGUAUUUAGGUAGGGCUAGAUUCAUCAUAUAGAGGGGGUGAAGAAGUGACAAUACGGAAUCAAAGCAAAAUUAAGAUGAUAUUGCUAUAGGACAACAUUUGAUAACACUGUGCAGUGCUUAGAUCUUGGCAAUAUGCAAUAAAUCUACCACAAAAUAUAUAUAGGAGUUUAAGGCAUAGAAAAUAUUGCACACAACAAAUUUAUAGUGGUUCGGCUUUAACAAGCCUACAUCUGCUCGCUUGCACUAACAACCUAUCGAUUGGAUUUCACUAUAAUCAAUCAAUCAUAGGUUACAAGGAUUGAGUAUUCACUACUCAAGCUCGUGUAAGAGAUUAUUCCUUCUCACACUUACGACUGUUGAGAAAACUCCUAUUAGGUUUUGAAGUUGACAAAACUUUCUUGUUCUUGUUCUUGUUCUUAUUCUGAAGAAUACUAGACUUUUGAGCUAUAUCGUAAACUUUUGUCAAAAUCUAUUUAUUACAUAAGUCUUUCCCACUCUGAUGUGAUUUAGAUUGAAACCAAGUCUAGAACAAAGAUAUAAUCAGACUCAAGAUUAUUGAUCUUAUGACAAGGAUUUAGUAUGAACGUUAUAGAGAUUUAUCCUUAAUAUCUAGCUUUCUGGUGAAGAAUCUCAUUUACCUUUUAUAUAUACAUUGAUGGAAUUAAUCAUGAAUUGAUGUCAAUUAAUGUGUAACUAAUAAUUUUAGAAAAAAAAGACGUCACCGAUGAGGCAUGCGGUUUGACAAUAUUCGCCAGCAUGACUUGACUAAUACAUAAGAAUAUAUACGUGCGUCCAUAUGUAUGUGUUUAUAUUAUAUAGUCAAUUCUAGCAUGAAAGCUAAGUUGCGCUGCCGUAUGAACGUGGCGAAAGAGGACCACACAAGGUGUCCAUCCAAAGUCCAAGAAAGGGAGGAAUAGAAAAGUCUAAAAUGGCGGAUCAUAAGUUGGGAUUUACACGACCGAGAUGAGCACAGAGGACUUAUCAAAUUCGAUUCCAGAGGAGGGAUCGCAUUGCCAGUCAACGUCCUAGUUCUUUCGCAUUUUAGGAAACUUAUCUAGGGGAUUUUGCAUCGAUUUGACUUGACCAAAUAUAGAAGACAAAAAAGACUCACGCGGGUGGUGAAUUCUUUUUCCACUUUAAAAUUGUUCAGAUCUCGUCAUACGAAGCUUUUCUUCACGCAAUCGAAUCGUCGAAUUAUAUAUUUGUUGUAGUGGAAUCCCACCGCAUGAAGUACUUUGAAUUCGAGUAUCUAUUGGAAGAUCAUGUGGUAAAAUAAAUACAUAAUGUACUUCACCCUUCGUAGGUAGGAUUCUAGUCUAGUUGUAACUCACAACUUGAUGUGGUCCUAAAAUUGAUUUUUUUUGUUUGUUUGUUUGGAUAGUCCUAAGAUUAGUUGACAUUGAUUUUAGGUGCUUUCGCUCUUAGCGUUUGAGCAUAUUACAUGGUGAAUAAUUCUUUUUUAUUGAUGCAAUUCGGUCAUCCUAUGAAAACUUAAUAAAUAUUCUAGCGUAAUAAUUAAUUAUCACGUUGGGCAUUUUCAGCAGCACGUAUAUUCUAAAAAGUCAAAGCAAAAGAGUUGUCGAUAAGGAUCACCUAUCCUUAUCAAUUGUCACGACAACAAUAGGGGUAAUGACCCUCACCAAACUUAGGCAAGUCAUGCAAGUUUGCCACAGAAUCCUGGAAACAAUGUUUAGCAAGGGUUGGCUCCUUGCUGCCGCUUGCGGGACGAGGAAAGGUGGCCUGCACGCGACAGCGAGGGUUCUUGGACCCUCCUCAAUGGUUGAGGGUGCUCGUCCCGCCUAGCCUUCCCCCUCAUCUCUCUCCAACCUUUUUUCCUGAUGAUUUUUUUUUUUUUUGUUUAUGUAUCGUUAUUGCACAUCAACAAUUAGCCCGGGGAAUGCGCGGGUCCUAAGUUGAACGUGAAUUGUUGCGUCGAUGUUUUCGUCAAACGGGAGAACUAACAAAAAAACAAUAAAUAGGGAAGUCGCUAUUUCCAUCCCAUUCAUUCAUUGCCCACUGAAAAAAGGAAUUCCCCUCUAAUUGGCUAUCUUGUCUCCCAAACCUUUGUUGGACAUCUUAUCUGGCGAUGUGGACGGAUUCACUUUUGAGUUAAUGCAAUUUCCCUUUUACAAAAAAAAAAAAAAGAGGCCGAAAUAUCUUUUAAAUUAAAAAAAAAAUCAAUUUUUGGGCACUUAAUAAGAAACCGUUUGAGGUAAGCGUGCCAUUUUCCACGUACUAUUAUUUUUUUAAUUAAUACUUUGGAAAUCGACAUAUUAAAAUAUUGACUAUAAUCAACAAGGGCCACUAUCCAAUUCACAAGACCUAGUGGUCUUAGGCUUAGGGUCGGUCUAGAUUCACUCGUGAUUUGGAACCUAUUCUAUUGGAACCAAUUUGCUUAUUGUUGGAACUUGAAACUAACCAUGUCAAUCAGCUCCCAGGUUUAGGAUUGAUUUUGGGGUCUAUCGAGGAAUCAACCAAUUUCUUUUUUCUCUUUUUAAUUAUUUUUCCUUUUGUUUGUUUCAUUUUUAGUUAAGCAAAAUGAAAAUGAACACAAUAACAAAAAUCCAAUAAUUCAUAAAAGAUAAACAAAUAGAAUAAAAUAAACAAUAAAAGUUGUAAAACACGUAAACACGGUUUACCAGUUUCUAGUUCCCAGUUUGGUUUUUCGGUUCGUUCCUUAACUAGGAAUUGAGAAUCGAAACUUAUGAGGGGAAGUCGAAUUUCAUAGAGUCACCUACACUGAUCCCCCUGCCCUUUCUAACCGAUAAAGAAGAGCCGAAAAGACCGAAGCUCUUGUUCUUUUUAGUUUCAGUGUCCUUGCCUCUAUUAUCUCUCAAACGGUUGUUCUGUUCUGGAGAUAAAUAAUUGAAAUAUCAGAACCGGUUGUUCUGUCAUUUUUUGCUCGGUCACUGGUUGGCCGUCACGAAACAUUGUUUAGCUUUAAAGUAAUUAAGUCCUCGAUAGGAGAAAUAUGCAACAUAAAGCGGGAAACAUGAAUUAUUAUCGGAGGUGAGUAGUCAAUUGCCAUGGUCCAUGGAAAUCAAUUAUAUAUACAAACAUCGAAGUUUCCAAGCUGACCCGGUUUCUGCUUACAAGGAUCGGUUAGAAUAGGUUAUUCUCCUGUUUAGUCCCGGCCACCUAAGCCAUGGGUUUCGACCGCAAUUCUUGAUUGUUUUAUAAUGCUGCUAAACUUGCUUUUUUUUUUUUUUACCACCAAUGAGCUUUAUCAGUUUUUCUUUCUGCAGGCAUUUCUUUGUAAUCCUUCACAUUUCAUCCAUGCGAUUGCUGGCUUAAGUUUGCGGAAUUGAUCCUCUAGCAAAAUAGUAGUUGGGAAUGGGAACUGAAGAACCGAAAGACCCUUUGAAGGGGAUGGACUGGAAAGCCAUCGGCAGUGACCUACAGAAGGAUCCUUCUGCUAAACCAAUUGUAAAGAAGCGAUCGCCAAGAAAGAUUAAGCAAAUACCGGACUAUUAUUUUCUUUCUUGAAGAUCUUUGGCCUCAACUAUUGCCUUUUAUGGGGCAUGCAUUGCUGGUGGAAUUGGUGCUGGAAUGCUGUUGGAGAUCUGGAUAAACAAGAAAAUCAAAGGUGAGUGAUAUUUCAUUGAUUUCUUCGUUUGUCUCACAGAUGCUCAGAUCAGACAAUCGUGGUCCUAAUUUCCAUAAUUUCAUUGAAAAUAAUAAUUUCACCUACUAAGGAACAUAUCCUGCCACGAUGUGGAAUCUAGCCUGGAGCCUUUUUCUGUCAAAUGACCUCAUCUCUUUGCACUUGAUGUAUGGAACAUAGCUGGUUUACUCUUGAAUGAUUUAAGUCUUAAACAGGAAGAAUACAUGGGAGGCAAAGCUGAAAAUGGACAGUGAUAAGGACUUGCUUUCUUUUUGAUGCAUUGCAUAAGAAUAUGCAUCACUAGAAUUGAGAAUUUCCAAGACUUUGCGGUUCUUUUAGAAUACAUAGUGUCGGUACGAUUCUCGUCAGGCAGAUCUCCGGCCUUCGCAUGCUUGAAGUGCUCUCGGCCGUCAAAUGUUAACAACUUUCUAUGGACAUGUACUUGUGUACUUCAUAUUAUGUUUUAAUCUAUACAGCAAAUUCGUCAUGCCAUUUGCACAAUGGAAUAAUUGCUUUAUUACUUCCACAUUGCAGAGGAUGGAGGCAUGAUUUGGGAGUUCAACAAGUAGAGGCAGUGUGGCGUGCUUGCUUGGCAAAUUAAUCAACACGGUUGAGAUCAUGCAUGAAGUGUAAAGUGGUUUUACCUCCCGUGAAGCUGAUCAUGUGGAGUGUACAUGGAUUCAUGGGAUAUGGGUUUCUUCUGAGUAAUAAAGUUCAAUAACAGGAUCGUGAGAUCCACCAAAGAAGUUGGUACUUUAUGCAGACCAAGUUAUUAUGGACUGCAUUCAUUUUCAAUUCAGUAUUUUUUUUGCCAAUCAUCGUAACACCUCGAGUAUGACAACAUGGAGGGAUUGCGAAAUGAUACCUGAGACGAAACACGGUGCAAGAAAUCUCCACUUAAGUACUCAUCUUAGGAGUUUCACCCUUGUGCUUAGGCACGAGUAGUCACUAACAUGGCUGUAAUAGUGUGAUGUCUUGAGAUUGGUGAAACAUAUAUAUAGCACCUUCUCGUUUCACCCUUGUGCUUAGGCACGAGUAGGCACGAAUAGUCUACUUAUCAAGUAUGGAACCUUGGUCUAUCUGACUAUAUUCUGUUGAGGUUAUCUCAGACUUUGGCGGUCGGUUUAUAAAUGUAAGAGAAACUCUCUCCUGUAUGAUUGUUGGGUCUUGACUUGUUUGUUACCUAAGAGAUACGGGUUGUUGCUACUCUAACAUGAUGGGAAGAUGGAUCUCAAGCAUGAAUAUCAAGGACGAGAUGGUUGUUGGGUCUUGACUUGUUGGUUACCUAAGAGAUACGGGUUGUUGCUACUCUAACAUGACGGGAAGAUGGAUCUCAAUCAUGAAUAUCAAGGACAAGAAGAAGAAAUUAUGGUCGUCAUUGAAAGACUGUGAAUAAGGCGUUAAAAAAUUUCAACAUGGAUAAGGCAAAACUGAUCACAACUCCUCUAAUAAGCCACUUCAAACUUUUCAAGGAUAUGUGUUAGAAUACUCAAAGAUGAGAUGGUGGUAGUCAAAUAUGCAUCCACAUUGGAAAGUUUGAUGUAUAUCAUGAUGAGCAUAGGACCAAACAUUACAUGAGAGUGGGAGUUGUGAGUUGAUAUUUGCAAAACCAGGCAAAGAGCAUUGGAGUGCACUACAAUAGAUAUUAAGAUAUCUAAGGCAUACCCUCUCACAAACAAACGUUGCUGCCAAUUCAAUGGAAGUCUAGUCUCCUUCAACAUAGUCAUCACUUAGCAAGUAUGCAAUUCAGUGGAAACAGAGAGACAUUUAAUGGACAUUAACAAGUCAUGAAGAAAGAGCCUUCUGUAAUGGAGAUUUCUCUCACCAAAUCAGAAAAAUUGUGAGAAAUCAACCAUCUCUUAAGCAUCAGCCAUCAACACUUUUACAAACAAAACAAAAGUGUACACACAACUGCAUUUUGCAGAGACAAAAGAGGCUAGAGAAAAGCACAAAUGCACCUACUGUGAAGAUCGGCCAGGAUGAACAGGUGCCCCGAGAGUCCAGCAAAAUUCUCCUCUGUAAAUGCGAGUAAUACAUCGUCUGAGCUACUCCACAACACCUCACAGGCACGUUUUUCGGUGAUUACAUCUUCGAAAUCAGACACAAAAAAAAUCGAUUAGCAGACCUAAUCAGUAUUCUCAAGACUGCAAACAAUUUUUUUUUUUUUUUUUUGGUAAAGGACUGCAAACAAAUUUUGGUGUCUCCUAAAAUUGAUAAAUAAAAUCCUUGCCAAAUCUCUAUGUAAGGAAAAAAAUUGGCAGGGUACCUACCAAGGGCUAGCUAAGUAUGUACAUUGUUCUUAUAUCCACAGGAAUGACGACCCUUGCCCAUAAUUCUCCGGGCACCGGCAAUGUUACUAAUCAAGUAGCUAGCAAAAUUUACUGCUGCACUAAGCUCCAUUAACUUCGAACAGAGUGUCUUAGUCAAGUACGAUAAUCUGCUGUCAUCCUUUCACUCAUUAAUUGUAGAUCCUGAGCCUGUUCACGUGUUAGUACUGUGUAAAGUGGCGACGGUCCAUUAGUAGAGUGCUCGUGGAAGCUAUUUAAAUUGCCAGGCAAACUGAUUUUUAUUAUUGUCAAAGUUAACUCUUGGUAUGGUCAUUGACUUUGGGUCAUCAUUUAGAGGAUCGAAAAUGACCAUGAAAUUCCCAAAUGCUAAAUCAGGCUUCAGGAACAGAUCCACCAGCAAAUCGCUGCUUGCCCCGAUAUUUCUCUGCACAAACUUUCUUGGAGUGGUUUCCCAAUCCUUGGCAGCAUGAGAAAUGUGUGAAGCUUCUUUCAAGCCACUCAAGAAGGCACCAUGCAUGCUGGCUGGGUAUUGCCCACUUGUGGCUUCCCCGGCCAAAAAAGGGUUGGUUCCCCACGCUCUCUCCAAGUACGUCAUAAUCUCUACCAAACGAGUUCACCCUUACAAGGGAAUAUGAACCAUAAGAAAGAGGAUCGCUUCCCCAUCUUGUACAUAUAGAUUGUAUAACCUCUAUGCAUGGCAAUCAACCUACGUAACAUAAAAAGGAAGGCAAUUUACUUGCCUGAGGUCCUAGGUGAGUGUUGUCGUGGUUUGGUGAGGUCUCCGAAGUCCGAGGUUGCGGCUGACAUUGUGUGUAUCUGACAUUGAACGAGUGAAAGAAAGAAUGACAAUUCAUGGUUGAAUCUGCAUACAAAACCACAUCAAAAUCAAAUGGUUAUGACGACAAAGUAAGAGUUGAAGCUCCAAUUUCACUUCUGGGUGAAAAAACUAGAGAUACUUGCCCUUCUUUGUCAUGAGCCUAUUAAGUUUACAUCAAAUGUCGAAUCUACACAAGAUGCAGUUGCGGAAAAUCUCCUCUCUAGUCUUCUUAUGAAUCUGACCUUUGUUUAAAAACUCGAGGUUGGACGAUCAUUUUUAAUGGUAAAGGUUUUGAUGAAUUCAACUGCGAAGUACAUUUGAUCAGUAGCUAAUUACUAUAUCUAUCAGACGAUUUCUUUUGGGGAUCAUGUUAUUCAAGUGAUUAACCAAACAAGAAAGAGAUCCUAGAAUAGGAAGGUUUUAGAUUUCACUACUGCGAUAAGUCACCAAUCUACUAACUAUCCCAUCAAAUAAGUCGAAGAUUCGUUAAACUACGAAAUCUUAUUUUGCCGUGAUGUGAUAUAUUUCCGAUGUGAAUAAAGUACCAAAUGAAUGAUUAAGUAUUCCUUUAGUUGUUGAGACAUAUCAUUCUGUAUGAAAGAUGGCCAAUGGGUUCAAGGCAUAACAUUGGUAAUGCUAUGUAUGCUUUUGUUUACCAAGGGUUUGAAUCCCUCUCUUUACGCACCUUGAAGUAAUUUACCAUUGAUGCUAAUCACAAUGUAUCAAAGAAAAGCACAUACCCUAAUUCCAAAAGUUAAAACUUUCUUUGAUAUGUAUUCUCUAUUUCCAAGUCCCCACUCGAAAAUUCUGAUUGGAGGGAAUAAAAUAACCUGGUGAGAUUUAAUUUUCCUUAAAUUGGCCCAGUAUGGGUUAGUAAAAACUUAUGAAUAAAAUCUUAUGUUCAUGAUUGACCGGGGAAACAAUUUACGAUCAAUAGGGCUCCAGUGAACCAUAGUCAAGCAUAAGUGUCAUCUUGCAAGAGAAAAAUUCCGCAUUCCCAUAGUUAUAUGUUAAUUCAUAUCGUGAGAACAUUUAGCAUUUUACCCAUGGCGAGAGUCGUGAUUAUUGUACUUUCCUAUAAUAGAUGCAAAUCAAGCAAUCAUGAGAUAAUUAGUUUUUCUUUUUUAUGCAUCUCGAGUAAUUUUUCAUAUAGAAAAAAACAAAGAAGUAAAUUUAAAUGCAAAUUUCGUCCUUUCGAGGAUUAGUAAUUCUGGUCAAUGAUUUGGGAACACCGGAUGGUUUUUUUAUGGAAUCAAUAUUCGGAAAUUUUGAACGCAAAUAAAAUUUUUCUGUUUUUUUUUUGUGUGUGCGUGUUUGGUGCUCUUUCUUUUCGGGGGCAGGGGGGGUGAUUUACAUAAUCCAACGAUGGUCUAUGCUCGUUUGAAAACGAACGGUGCAGAUAUGCCGAGCACGACAAUCGAGGGGCACUAUCAAUUUCUAGGGUUUUUUUAUACAUAUUAUAAAUUCGAACUACCAAACGUAGCGUGUAAGCCAUCGUGGUUUCUUCCUCCUCUCAUCUUGUCUCUUCCUUAUUUCCUCUCGCCGUAUCCCACCUCUCCAAAUUUCCAUGUGAACGAGAUCGAGAUCGAGGGAGAAGAACUCGAGCGGGCAGUUGAAGCCGGGCCAUGGAAAUUUUGCUGUAACCGGAGUCGAGGGCGUGUGAUCAGGGGCUGAAGUAUCGACGCCAGAGAUUAGCAACUGGACCGGAACUUCAGUCCUCCUCAUUGUACGUUGUCUUUCGGCCUCGUUAUGCAAUUGCAUGCCUGUCCGAAUUUUCUGUUGCAACUCGUGACGCUCUAUUAUAGGAUUUUUCUACUUAAAUUUCCAGAUCUUUUAUAUCUGUAAGAAACAUAAGACACUUAAAUCGUUUAAUCGGCCAAAUAUGGAACAGAAAAAAAGCAAUAAUAAUGUCUGGUCUUGUGUCUGGAGCUUUUUCCCGGAAGGCGUUCUCUAUCAAAUAAGAUAAUUAAUGUUCCCGUUGAGCAAAGAGCGAAGAUUUUUAUUGGUUUAUCAACGCCAAGUUACAUAAUUGGCUUGACUGAUGGCUUCCACUUCAAUCAUUCUCAACUCCAACUGAGGUCGAAAGCCUUUGGUCAAGCCAAGCCAUACUAGAUGCGGGCAAACUUGAUAGUUUACCGUCCAUCGUUACAAUUGAUUGGCAUUAAUAGUAAUCAAGCAAAUUGAAGAACUUGAGGGUGCAGCUGAGCCGGGGCCACGAAAUAAUGUUGAGAGAGAAUCUUAGAUGUAGCAGCAAAUUGGACAAUUACGUUGGGUUUUGGUGAGCUUGACUCAAAAUUUCACUCUUCAUGCUCACUUCACCAAAUCUUUUUUCCUUACAAAUCUCCAAUUCCGUGUCCCAUUUUUUCAUUAUGAAUCUAUGAUUUCACAUAUAGGUUCAUAUAGGCUGAAAUUUUGAGUUGGUAGAACAAUUUGCUGCAUCCGAGUCAUUCACAGAAAAACUAAGCCGGGCUUGUGUAUAAGAAGCAAACGACAGAACAAUAGCUUUUAAUCUGAAGAGCAAAAUUUGAGGAUUGUUUCCUGUCUUUUCAAAAGAAGUUCCCAGGGUCUUGCUUGUUGGUACCCAGUCACUUGAAACAUAUCUGUUCACUCUUCUGUGGGUUACAGGCGAAAUGCCGAGUGCGACAUUUAAAUUAUGGGAGCUUGUUUGGUUUCUGCCUAAUAAAUUGUUGUUGAUUUGUCUGACAUGCCAUGCCCACUGAAUAACCCAAUGCAGAGGAUUUGUCUAACAUGCCACGCCCACUGAAUGCAGAAGAGGAAGAACCCAAUACAGAGGUUCCCCAAGGUAUGUGAAUCUCCCAAUUCCCCUUUUGUAAAAGCUCGUGCAGGAUGCUUAAUUUGUCUUCUAAUCUUCACCUAAUAAUAGGGGUAUAGGCAGGACCUCAGAUUUCUGAUAGUUAUAGAAAAACACAAAAUAAACAUGAACUAAUAGGAAGAGAGGAGCUUAAGAGUCGGUCAUUGACGAUUAAUAGAUCUUUGAAAAUGGUCAGAACAAUACUCCUUAAGUAUGAAAUUUAAAUUUUGAGAAGCAAUGGCUCUCUAUCCCCUCAGAUCACCUACAUAAAGAGCAUUUGCUUUUUUAAAACAGAAGCAAAUUAUGGUUUUCAAUCUGAAGAGCCCAGUUUGAAAUCUGUCUCGCGUGUAUUUUAUAUAAGAAAGCCUCCAUCCGUUUACCCUUUCGUGGGAUGCAGGAGAAAUGCCGAGAGCAUUGGAUCCACUUCCAGUUGUUGAGGUUCUGCCUAAUAACAAGCGGAAGUGUAACUUCUGCGGGAAUGAGUACGUUGGAGACACGAAGAGGAUCAAGGCGCAGUUUGCUGGGGUAGGAGGAUGUGGAAUUCUUGGCUGUAAGGUCUUCAAUGACCGAGUGAGAUCAGAAGCACCAGAGGUGCUGAAGGGUGAAAGAGCAGUGGAAUCGAGCAAGAGACAAGGCAAUGAUGAAGGUUCAUCCAACCUUACACAGAGUUCGCAUCAGCCCUUGACUGCGGGCAGUGAAGUUGCUCGGUGUAAGACUUCAUUUGUUGCCAUGCCGUACCUGAGCUAUGGUGCAGGUUCGUCAACCUUUCUUCCAUGGGCUGAGACGAAUUUUCCCAAUCAGUCUGUUGCUGCUUUAACCAACAUACCACGCCCGCUGAAUGCCAAAGAAGGAGAACUCAAUACAGAGGUUCCACAUGGUAUGUGUGCAUCUCUAAAUUUCAUCUCUAAAUUUGGCAUACGUUGAAGCUUGUGCAGGCUGCCUUAUUUGUCUUCUAAUCUUCACCUAAGAAAAGUGAUACAGGUAUAGAGAAACUGAAAAUGGUCAGGAAUUAAUCGGACAAGAGGAGUUUUAGAGUCGGUCAUUGAUAAUCACUAGAUCUUUGAAAACGAAAAGACAAAUGUUUUGAAGUGUGGCAUUCAAAUCUUGAAAAGCCAUGGCUCUCCCUGUCCCCUCCGAUCUUCUACAUGAGCAUUGGCUUAUAUGGUUAAAUUAUUUAUGAAAGAUAAUUCCCAUGACUUUUAAUUCUAAAUCAAUUCUUUUCUAAUGAAGAGCUCAUGAUAUGGAGUCGCCAGUAUUUCACUAUCGUGACAUCAAUGCCUACAAUACAUAUUAAUUAUUGUAUCGAAUGUUGCAUGUAAUAUUUUAGUUCGAAAAAGUGAAUACAAAGUUACAAUUUUUUAUUUCCAUGAGUGUAACAUACCUAUAAAAUAUAUCUAAGGAGUACCCAAUAGUGAAUUUUCACUUAUAAUUGUGUUUAGGUGCGAGACCGCAUCUUGGACUGGUUAAGAGUCAACGAGGUACCCGUGGGCUUGCCGACGCGAAUAUGAUGUCUCUCAAAAGAAAGCUGGAAGAACUCAUCAGCAGUCGCCAAGCGGACAUGAACGAGCUGAAGUCGAAGUGGACGAGGACAGAAGAAGAAUAUUGGAGUGUGGUUCGGGCAAUCAGAGAAGGAAUAACUUUUCCACCGGAGAAAGUAGCAGAGGUGGAAGGGCUGUGCAAAGAAGUUGAACAGAUUCUUCUAGUUCCAGGAAGAUUUCGGCAAGAGGCGACGGUUAGAUGUUGCAAAACAUCUCCCUCGGUGACAAUAGAAGAAUUAGUAGGCAAAGAAACUCUGCAGAAGGUGGAUGAGAUUGUUUCCUUUAUAAUGCUGAGCAAGGAUUUCGUAAUUGGUGUUUAUGGUAUGGGCGGCGUGGGCAAGACGGCCAUUUUGAGGAAUGUCUAUAAUAGACUCCUUGAGUAUCUUGCAUUGGAUGUAUUCUGGGUUGCUGUACCUCAGGAUUUUAGUGUUUAUGCGCUACAAGAAGCGAUUGCCAAUGCGGUCGGACUAGACAAUCUUUCAAAUGAGAAGGAUGUGAAAAGAAGGGCGGGCCUAUUGUGUGGACAUCUGAAGGUGAAGAAGAGACCCGUCCUAAUUUUAGAUGGCCUUUGGAGGCACUUUGAAGUUAAGGAUGUGGGUAUUCCGGUUGGAAUGGGUAGACUAGGGUUGGUAGUGACAACUCAAUCACUAGAUGUGUGUCGUAUGAUGCUCUGUCAAAAGCAAAUGAAGAUAGAACUUCUCAAUAAGGAAGAUUCUUGGAGGUUAUUUUCAAGGACGCUUUGCUUUGCGGUAGAACAAUCUCAGGAAGUUGAACAAAUUGCAAGAUCUCUUCUUGAUAGGUGUUAUGGUCUGCCACUUGGGAUCAUUGAGAUUGCAACUCGCAUGAGAGGAAUAGAGAAAGAAGAGCAUGCUUGGAGAUGGAUGUUGCAAAAUUUAGAAGACUUAACGAUGGAGCUUGACGUGUUCAAGAGACUGCAGCUCAGUUACUUGAACUUGGGUAAUGAACAAGUGCAACAGUGUUUCCUGCAUUUCAUCCUUUGUUUUGGAAAUUACCUUUCAGCAGAUGACAGAAAGUGUUGCAUAGAGUCUUUCAUAGAUGAGGGUUUGUUAGGUGGAAUUGCCACCAGGAUUAGACUGUACGAACGGGGUAACGAAAUAUUGGGUAAAAUAGAAGGGGCUGGCCUGUUGGAUUUUGAAAAAGGGCAUUGGUGUCUACACCCAUUGACAAGGGACAUGGCAUUGCAUAUGGUGCCGAGCACAACUCACAUGUUUAAGGCCAAUAUGGGUUUGAGAGAAAUACCGGAGGACGUAUUCUGGACCGAUCGUCUAGAGAAAGUCUUUUUACAUGGCAAUGAAAUAGAAGAAAUCCCAUAUGGCGUAUCACCAAAUUGCCCUAAAUUGACGAGGCUGUCUUUGCAUAGCAAUAUCUCCUUGGGAGUCAUCCAUGGAUCUUUCUUCAGACAUCUAAAGGGGCUGACGGUUCUAGAUCUCAGCUGGACUGGAAUCACGGAAUUACCAGACUCCAUCUCUGAGUUGGAGAGCUUGGAAGCACUGUUACUGCAAGGUUGUUCCUCAUUGCGUUUUAUUCCUUAUGUAGGAAAGUUGCGGUCCCUAAGAAAGUUGGACCUCAGUGAUUGUGAAAGUCUUGGAGAAGUGCCAGAGGGCAUGGAGAUGUUGGCAAACCUGAGGUACCUCGCCCUAGAUGGCUCAGAGAUCCACACAUUACCGGAGGGAGUGUUGGGGAAGCUGGUGAACUUGCAAUAUCUUGUGAUUAAAGAGCUAAGGGUGGGAGAAGAGGUAAAAUUACCGGAGGUGGAGGAACUUUAUUGUUCUGUUUCCGAUGUGGAAAUGUUCAAUGCAUGCGUGGGGUGUCUUGAGCGAAAUGGAUCCCCAUGCUACAGGCUUGUGAUGGGUGCACCAAGCAAUAGUGUCCUUUGGUGUGGGAGUGAGACAGAGAGGUCCUUACUCAUUGAUAGUUGCGACCAUAUCGCCGUGAGUGUAGAUGGAACAAGUGGUGAUGGCUGCGCUCUGCUUCCGGAAAGUGUGCAAUCAUUGGAAUUGUCCCGGUGUCAUAAAAUGAAGAGAGUGAUGGAACGGGAGUGGCUGACCGCUCACCUUCCAAAUCUGGAGGAGAUUAUAAUCAUUAGUUGUGAGAACUUAGAGGAAAUAAUACAUGGGCCAUUGCCAAGUGAGGCCACUUGUCGCCUUAAAUAUCUUGAAGUAAAUGGAUGCAACAACAUGAAGAGGGUGCUGCUGACGCAAGACAUGGUGCUCCAUCUCCCUUUCCUCGAAGAGAUAGUAGUCAAAGGCAGCAAGGGCAUAGAGUUGAUAAUGGGCACUGUUGCCAAAAUGACGUACUUCUCCUUCCCGAAGUUAAUGAAGCUGGUUCUAUGUAAUCUUCCGGAACUGAAGAGCAUAUGUGAUGGGAUCACGAGAUGCAAUUCCCUCCAGUGGGUUUCUAUAUACAAUUGUCCAAAACUGAAGAGGAUUCCUCUGCAGCUGCCCCUGCUUGACAAUGGGCUGCCUUCUCCUCCCCCUUCUCUUCGAGAGAUUCAGAUAAAUCGGCAGAUGUGGGAGUUGCUUGAGUGGGAUCAUCCCCUUGCCCGUUCUUCACUUGAACACUUCAUCAAGUUUCUUGGUAAGUAACCCGCAAAUUUUACUUAUUUUAUCCUUUCCAUCUCCCUUGGUCCCUUGUAAGGAUCUGUUCUCCCGCAGUACGGGAAGUUCAUUUUUUUUCCAAAACUUUUAUAGCAAGUGUUAUACCACAUAACUGCUUUGAAACUAGCAAUUAGGCCUGUGCUACACACUGAUAAUUGAAUUCUAUUACUGCUUGAAAGUGCAGCAGAGUAGACAUGUUAUUAUUAGACCUUAGCGAUGUUAAAAAGUUAUUUAGAAAAAAAAAAAAAGAUCUCCCUUAACUUUGAAUGAAUAACAAUGGCAAUUGUCCUUGCUCUCUGUUUUUUUUUUUUUUUUUUUUUUUGGGCCAAGGCACUGGUAUAUUUAGAAGAUGUUUCUCACGCCGAUUUAAAAAAAAAAAAAAAAGCCAUUCUGAGUAUACAAAAUUUGUGCAUAUGCUGAUAUGCAAAUCCCUCUUUCAUAAAUGAUCGGUUUUUGUGGUCACAAAAUGAUCACGACCAAAUGAUUAGUGGCUGCAGAGUUCUCAUACGAAAAAAUUGAAAUUUAUCGUGACAUCCUUGUUGGGAAGAUGCUAAAGCCUAGUAAAAGUAAAAUUUGAUUGGGAAGUUCUACUUUAUUGGUUGGGAUGGUUUAAGAGAGCAUGUUAAAUGCUUUGUACCUUUUCUUUUUGUUGUCUUUUCUGUUUUACCUCAUCCAGUACUUCUAUUUUCAAUUUCAAGUCUUCUGUUACUUUUUAAAUUGAUCACUAUUCUUCAUGAAUACUUUUGAUGGACUUUGUAUUUUCGAUUGCAUAUUUGAACUUUUUGAAUUCCUUUCUGUUAAAUUUGAUUAAGUUCGGUUGGCCUGAGGAGUCUCUAAUUUCUUUAGUUUGUUUAUGUUCUCUCUUUAAUUCGAUUAGGUUUUAUCAUUCAAAGAAGUCUCUAAUCCCUUCAAAUUGUUUUUGGAAUAGAAAAAGAAAUGAGGGGUUAGCUAUAUCUGAAACCUCGUGAAAUCUAUGAGGGCUGAUCUUUUGGAAGUGCAAAUAUUGGACAGAAAUAAGAUGGACGUAGGUGUCAAGAAGCGAAUUGGCCACAGUUCAAGUUUUUCUAAGCUCUCUCAAAAUGCACCACAAUCUGUAUAUAGAUUUCUCAUGCAGUCAUGCGGUAUGCAAUGAUAUUGGGUAUGAGUACGAGAAAGGUCCUGGGGGAUCAAUUGCUCGCCAACUAUAGAAAAACCCCUCUCCCACUCCCUUUCUCAACUGCUUUUAGGUCCUUUAGACCCACUUUGCGAGCGACUAACAAAAGAAUAUUUCUGGUUCCAGACUGAUGAAAGCCAUGGAGGAUCCUGUUGAGUAUGAAUUGUCUUCUGAUGGCAGUGGACAUCAACCUCAACGCCAUUGCUACAUCAAUGUGCUGGAUUUAUGUUUAAAGUACCUCCGAACUUUGUGAUGACAUAUGGUUAAUUUAUGCCUUAUUUUAUAAUCUAUGAUAACUACGUCUGGUUUCUGGAGUCUUGGGUUUGUAUUAUCCCUUAUUUCUACCUCGUGAAACAUUUAUCGGUCCCUCUUUUUUUCCCCCCCCCCCCCCCCAAGCUGACUCUUAAAGAAUUGAUGUGGAUAUGAAUUUGAUUGUCUACUACUUUAAAGUAUAAUCUACUGUGGGAGGUGCUCUUGGUUUGGAGCAGACUAGUGGCUAUUUCACUUGACGCGCUUUAAUGGCAUCCGCAAUGUUGACCAACUCAGGAAUCAUGUGAGCAGCCAGCUUGUGACUAAUGCUCUCGAGAAUGUUUUCAUGCAGAAACCCAUUCUCGUCCUCUUGUUUUAGCAGGGAAAUCCUAGCACUUAAAUUCAGAACACAGAGGAAGACGCCUGACGAUAUGAACUAAACACAGGGGCGUCUUGUCACGAUGAGGUUUGUACCUGUCUCUGGCUGAGGAAAAUAUCUAAUGGACCCUUAUAAGUUUAUGGACAGAUGGUAUCUAACCGCAAAUGUUUGAUCAAAAGACUUGACGUUUCCGAGCGCCCCCCUAGACCGGGCUUCAGUCAGUUGAGUCUUGAAUAUUUAGUGCAUGGUAGUGUUAACCAUUGGUGCGAUCUCCGCAUAUGCGUAUCUCCUGCGUGUGCAACAAAGGCAGAAGCAGACUGAGUCCUGCAGAAUGAUAACGAUUAAAAGUUCUCAUUUCUUCUGUUAUUGUGGCUGUGGUGAACACCAUGGUAACGGGGCAUUAGCUUGUGGAAUGAGAGCAUAGGGCCUGGUAAAUUGAUUUUGUUUCCUAGACAUAAUUUGUAUGUGCGACUUUCAUGCUUGAGACAAAAAAGGGGUGGAGCUAAAUUGACCAACAGAUCUUCCGGAGGAUGAACUGAGCGCUAUUCUAGAUCUUAAAUUUUCAGGCUUAGGUUGGCAAUGAGAAAGUUGUAGAAAGGACAAGUACUAUGGUGAGUGGUUCCAGGUUCCGGUUUGGUUCUGUUUGAAACCUGGAACCUACCCUUGGGUAACCUACCCUUGGGUACAGGUUCCUCAUUUUUUGGAACUUGUAACCUACCUGUCAGAAUUAAGAAUCUGGAAUCUAUUCUGUCACAGAUUCCGAGGUUGGUUCCAAGUUCCAACAGGUUCUUUUUUCUUUCUUUUUUCAUUUUUAGUUUUUAAAAACAAAAAUGAACGCAGCAAUAAUAAACAAUCUUAUACCUCUUAAUCCUCACUCUUUUUUUGAGCUUAUUCUUCAAAUCAUGAUUAACAUAGAAAAAUAGCUUGAACUCAUCAUAACGGUCCGACACCUUGACAAUCCUUCAAGGAGCAAUACUCCAAAAUUGUAGAUGUCUAAUUUUGUGUGGGUUUCCAAGUUUUCAUGACUUCAGGAGCCCGAUAACCUGCACUUCUAGUUCUAGGAGGCACUGUAGGAGAGCAGAUCAGAGGAGUCAGGCCAAACUCUAAGAUACAACCUUCAAGGUAUGCUACCAAACUCUAAGACACAACCUUCAAGGUAUGCUGCCAUGGAUAAACCUACCGCCUUUGGCCGAAUGGAUGUGAGUAAUGCCUUUAGCCACUCCUAUAGAAAUCUUCACCCGCAAUGCCCAGUCCAACGGUUGUCUCCCACCUUCUGCAAAUCAUUAUCAGAAGGUAACUGUCAAAAGUGCAGCAAAUAUGAGACAACCUACACUUCUUUCGACAAACCUUCCCCGUGUAUCCCACUUCACAGUUUUCUCUACUUUACGGACAAAAGUGCUGGUCUUCCCUCCAUUGCACAAAUCAGCCCCAUUCAAAACCAGAACAAGAAUAGCCCCAACAAUAGCCACUGAACAACAAGAUGAAGAUCCCAGAACAACCAUCUUGGUCGUAUUUUGAGAUACGGAAGAACCUACGUGACACAACCCCACAAAUUCCCUUCCCUCACUAUGUAUGUACUUGGAUCACAUAAGCAUGACACUCACAUCUCAGAAAUCGACCAAAUAAAGCAGCUAAAAUGUUAGAUUAGAUAUAACAGUUAAGAGCAGAAACAACAAGAGAUUAGACCUGCGAUUGAAGUUGGAGGAGGCGAGUUUCUUCAGUGUCGAGGGUGUCGGGCGGCGUCGAGGUGGCCAAGCGGGUGUCGAGGGUGUCGAGUAGCGUCGAGGGGCCGAGAGGUGUUGAGGGGGCCGAGUGGGUGUCGAGGGCAUUGAGGGGGCCGAGCGGGCGUCGAGCAGUGUUGAGGGGCCGAGAAGUGUCGAGUGAGUGUCAAGGGCGUCGAGGGGGCUGAGCAGACGUCGAGGGCAUUGAGCAGCGUUGAGGGCCGAGAGGCGGCAAGGGGUGGCGCGAUAGCUUGUCGAGCUCAACGGCGAGACGGCUCGUCGGACGAGCGGUGGGUGGUGGUGGUGAGUAGGGCGUGGGGUGGCGGUGUGGUGGUGGGUGAAGCAGCAGCUAGCAAGAGGAAGGAAGAAGAAGAAGAAGAGGAGGAGGAGAAGAAGGGGGGGUUUCCCUCGAGAGAGGGGGAAAGAGAGAGAGAGAGAGAGAGAAGAAAAAGUUGGGGGGGGGAGGAAGUGACGUGAGGAGGAAAAAGGGGAGAAAAGAAAGAGAGAGAGAGAGAAAAAAAAAGGGAAGGGGGGAAGAAUUGGCGGAAAGGAGGGGAAAUCACGUUGGGGAAAGUGGGGGGCUAGGUUUGUUUUUUUUAUAAUUCUGACCGGUUCCAGUUCCGGUUCCAGAUCCGGUUCCGGUUUCUAUGGGAACCGGAACUGGAACCGGGAACGCCGGUUCCAGAAAAAGGGAAUCGGGAACCGGAACCGGUCCCUUUAGAACUGGGAACCGAACCCGACCUUCCGGUUCGAUUAUCCGGUUCCCCAUUCUACCCAGGAACCAUGCUCACCCCUAACAAGUACAAAUAAGGAUACCUAGAAAGUCUGUAGCUUGUUUUGUAGAGGCUCACUGGUCUACUUCCGAACAGUUUAGAGACAUUAUUGUUCGAUAGUUGCUUAGCCACCAACACAUGCCUUCUAUGAUUUAGAGUAAAGUCUUAUGAAUGUGGAUUGCUUUUGGUAGACAGCAGUAAAAGGAAUAUAGGAGAUUUAAUCAAAGUCAUCACCAUUUUGGACAUUCAAGGAGCAGAAUAUAAUAGUAAUGUUGUAUGUCAGUUUCUUGGAUUUCGUGAAACCUGUGGGCAUUUAUUCGCAAGCUAUAGCUUCUGUUGCUGAUAUUGAGCUGAAGGGGACGGUAUUAAAUGUGAAUAUAGAAGACAGAACAGUUGACAAAAAUGUGAAAAUUUUGAAUUUGGGAGGGAAAUAACCUUGCUUACAAUUGAAAAUAGACUAGGCGGGAUUCAUUCAGGCAUAGCCCCUAUAUGGAGACUGCUAUACGAAUGACAUUGUUCUUUUUUUCUUGGAAAUCAUAGUAAUGAUCAUUCCAAACUUUUCAUUAUCCAAAGGCAACUUGAUCAGUGCACAUGAAGUUAGACAAAUGAGCAAGACGUCAAUACAUUCGCAGCAUUCAAUAUCAACAAAUCCAAUUGUGUGAAAGCACAUCAGGCAUUGGAUUUCGAGAAAUUAUAGAAUGGAGCAAUGGUAGGAUAUGUUCAACGACCUUGGAACCAUCUAGGUCAAACUGAAAUUGUAUACUUUAAUUGCCACGUAAGAAGAAAGUGGAUGUUAGUCGUAGAAUAAAAAUUACGCAAAAAUUCUUGCUCUGACUUUAGUUUCGUUUGGACCAGGAGAAAUUCUAAAUUAGUGACGCAUCACUCAUCUUAAUGUACGUGCCACUGUUAAUGGCAGUCUUCUUGAUCUUGCGGGAACUUGCAAGGUGGACUUCAUGUGACCCUUUUGCCUUUCAUGACCUGAAACAAAAAUGGAUUUAAUCGUGGGGAGCACAAAAGAUCAGUUGAAGUCUUCAAUCAUAUGUAAAAAAACUCCUUUUGCCACUUGCAUUUAUUGUUUUAUCAUCUUCGUGUCAUCGUUGGAUCCUCAUCUGGAGCUAGUAUUUUGAGUUCCGACUAGUCUAUGAAAGAUGGAGAGACGUUGGUCUCUUCAGGCCAAAGAUUUGAGCUUGGCUUCUUCUCUCCAGGAAGCUGCAAGAACAGAUACUUGGGCAUUGAAACAAGAUCACUCCUCAGACAGUUGUUUGGAUUGCUAAUAGAGACAACCAACGGAUUCAAAUGGUGUUAUGACAUUCAGCCAUGCAGGGAAUCUAGUUCUUCUUAGUGGAAAAAAGUCACUACAAAUUUCAUAACUUACGUAUGGUGCUCACAUGAACGUCAUAUUUUUUUUUCCCCAAUCAGUUGGAUACCAUAACUUUCAUACGGCGGUUAGUUGAUUGUCAUAUAUAUUUACUUAGUUGAGUACCAUAUACUUUUUAUUUGAUUAGUUGAGUGCCAUAUAAUUCUUCAAUGGAUCACUUCAUAACUAUUUAAAAACGUUCACCACGAGUGCCAUGCCAUGUCAAAUUUCUGGCAUUUGGGUCAAUACUUUUUAAAAGUUAUGGCGUUUAAAUGAGUAUUGUAUGGAAGUUAUGACAUUUGUGAUAAUCUUAUCCCUCUUCUCAACUAAUCAAAUGAUUUCAAUGGGUCUUCAAAUUCAGCUCACAUUCUGAUGGUGCCUAUUAUUGGCAAAACUUUGAGUACCCAUCUGAAAUGGUCUUAGUAGAUAUGGAAUUGGGGUCGAACUUGAGCUGGAUUUAAAUGGUAUCUGACCACCUGUAAAAGUGUGGAUGACCCUAUCCCUGGUCAUUGCCACUUCAGAUUAACCACUCAGGGAUUGCCACGAUUUGAAGUGUUGAACGAUGGGUUCAUCUGAACAUAUUGCGAUCGGGAGGUGGCGUGGGAUCCAGUUUGAUGGCGUCUCGAUGCCAGUGGAUCCCAUUGUAAGGCAAACGGUGGUUUACAACCAGACGGAUGCCUACGCCGCGUACCAUCAGCCAUCAAAUGAUGAAAUCCUCACCAGAACACCAAUGUAUGGAUCUGGUUUGGUGCAAUGUUUGUGCGGAAGAAGGGAAGCUUUAGUUAGUCUAUCAUGCAAUUGCUUUCUAUUGAUCCCAUGACGCCUAUGCACUGUGUGGUUUACAAUCGUUUCUGCAAAAGUUACGGACAUUUGAGAUGCGAGUGCUUGCAAGGUUUCCUCCCAGAGCUGCCAGAAGAGUGGCAAAUGCUUUAAUUGGGCCAGUGGCUUCUUGAGAAAGUUUCCCCCAAAUUGUUCUACAGGAGAAGCACUUUUCAAACUCUCUGAUUGUAAACUACCAGAUCUGAUCAACCAUUGGUUGGCCACUGGCAUGAGCCUUAAAGAAUGCAGGGUUCAAUGCACACCGAAUUGUUCCCGUACAGCUUGUGCUAAUCGAUAUAUAUUAGUUAUUGGAUCAAAAGCUAAGCUUUUGUGGGUGCUGAAUAACUACAUAUCAUGAGUGGCGCUUCUCAUUGCAUGGUAAGGGCGCUUUAACAUUAUCAUUGGAAUUGGUCUAGGUCUUUUUUGAAAGUGCUAGUAUUACUACCUAGAGGAUGGUGAAUAGGUAUAAAGACAAAUUUGGCCAAUAAAAGCAAUAAAAGUUAUUUUCUCAAACAAGAUCUUAUUAAUAUCAGACUUCUAAGUUCAAUUCAGACUCAAAUAAGAUAUUUUGGAAUUUAGCAGGACACAGAAAAAUAUCGUAGUAACCAAAUUAAAGGAGUUAAGGAAAGAGAAAAUUGAACACAUAAUUUAUAGUGGUUCGGCUUAGAUCAAGCCUACGUCCACUCUCCCACGUUGACAGCCUUCUAACUAGAUUUCAUUAUGGAAUCAAAAGAGAAUUAUGGUGAUUUGAGUACAAUCACUCAGUGAAGAGUUUGUUUCUCUCACUAAGUCACUCCUUUGUUUUUUUUUUUGGUAAAAUUAAGAAUGUCACUCCUUUGUGUUUAUCUCUCUUUUGAGUACAAUUGCAAGCACUAUUGGUGAAGAACAAGUAGUUGGAAAGGCUUCAAACUUUGGAAUUUUAAUUCUCACACGCUAUCUCAAAUGAACCGAAUGACCUCCUUAAAUACUCCUCCAUGCCUUUCUAAUUGUUGGUACUUUCAAGAGGAAUUUCUUCCAAUCAAUCUGUUGGACAGAAUCAAUUAAGGAAAUCUUGUAGCCGUUUGAAGAUUGAGGUAAAAAUCCGAUGAUCCUAGUUGCCCAUACAAUUAGAAUCUAGGUUUUCAUAAGUAGAUGCUUCUCAAAAAGGAACUUCUCUUCGAAAUUGAUUUCAUCAAUCCAUGAUUGCUUUCAUCAAUAUAUUUAGAAAAGAUAAGUGAGAUUCUCCGCCAGAAAGCCAAUUAUGUCUUGAUCAUACUGAAUUCUAGUUGGAAGAUCAAUAAGCUUGAGUAUGAAUAUGUCUUCAUUCUAGACUGGGUUAAGUCUGGAUGGGAAAGACUUUUGAUGUAAAAAGACUUUGAUAGCAUUCCUCGAUAUAACAUAGAAGUCCAAUAUUCCUCGGAACAAGAAUAAGAAUAAGAAUAGGAGAAGAAAGGUUUUGUCAACUUCAAAACCAAAUAGGAGUUUUCUCAACAAUCUUUACCUCCACGAAGAUUCAAAACCUCAAGUCAUUCACGGAGACCUUAAAAUCAGCAACGUCUUAUUGGAUGACAAUUUAAAUCCAAAAUUUUCUGACUUCAUUGACAAGAAUUGGAAGUGAAGAAACAAAAGCAAGAACUAGAAGGAUCAUCGGCACUUGGUAAGUGCUCAUCUCAUUUUGUGACCUCCAAAGUUCAUGAGUUCUGAAACAUCGGGAGAAUUGAGACAUGAUUUGCUUGAUGCAGUGGCUAUAGGUCCCUAAGACUAUGCCUUGGAUAAAAAAUUAUCGACGAAAUCCAAUGUACUAUGUAGUGCUCUUCUUGGAAAUGGAUAGUGGCAAAAGCAAUAGAGGAUUCUGCCAUUCAAGUCACCUUCACAACGUUCUCGGACAUGUAAUGCUAUUUCUUCUUAUACUUAAUUCCUUCUGAUGUUCAAAUCAUUACAGAUUCACAUAUUGGCUUCUAGUUGCUUAUUAUGUUCGGCGACCAACCACUCAGGUUGAUCCUUCCUAGGCAUGGUUGCUGUGGAAAGAGGGCACUGCCCUGGAACUUAAGGUUGAUUCUUUAGGUAACUUUCCAUCGAAUCUCAAGUAAAGAGAUGUAUCCAGGCCAGUCAGCUGUUCAUCCAAAAAUAUCCCAGAGAGGCCAUGGGUGCGAUCCAUGGUUAUCAUGUUGGCAAAUGAAGAAGCGACAUUGCCACUGCCUAAACAGCCUGAUUUCUUCAUUGGAGGAAGUCCCACAAACUGGGUUGUGGCUUCACCAAGAGAGCUCUUGACAGAUAGCAUGGUUGCACAUCAUGCUGGUAGAAUGUCAAUAUACAUACCGUUCAUUGGAAUUGUUUGUCUCUAGGGAUGUAUUUAGGUAGGGCCAGAUUUAUCACAUAAGGGGGGUGAAGAAGUGACAAUACGGAAUCAAAGCAAAAUUAAGAUGAUAUUGCUAUAGGACAACAUUUGAUAACACUGUGCAGUGCUUAGAUCUUGGCGAUAUGUAAUAAAUCUACCACAAAAUAUAUAUAUAGGAGUUUAAGGCAUAGAAAAUAUUGCACACAACAAAUUUAUAGUGGUUCGGCUUUAACAAGCCUACAUUUGCUCGCUUGCACUAACAACCUAUCGACUGGAUUUCACUAUAAUCAAUCAAUCAUAGGUUACAAGGAUUGAGUAUUCACUACUCAAGCUCGUGUAAGAGAUUAUUCCUUCUCACACUUACAACUGUUGAGAAAAAUCCUAUUAGGUUUUGAAGUUGACAAAACUUUCUUGUUCUUGUUCUUGUUCUUAUUCUGAAGAAUACUAGACUUUUGAGCUAUAUCGUAAACUUUUGUCAAAAUCUAUAUAUUACAUAAGUCUUUCCCACUCUGAUGUGAUUCAGAUUGAAACCAAGUCCAGAACAAAGAUAUAAUCAGACUCAAGAUUAUUGAUCUUAUGACAAGGAUUUAGUAUGAACGUUAUAGAGAUUUAUCCUUAAUAUCUAGCUUUCUGGUGAAGAAUCUCACUUACCUUUUAUAAAUACAUUGAUGGAAUUAAUCAUGAAUUGAUGUCAAUAUUAAUGUGUAACUAAUAAUUUUAGAAAAAAAAGACGUCACCGAUGAGGCAUGCGGUUUGACAAUAUUCGCCAGCAUGACUUGACUAAUACAUAAGAAUAUAUACGUGCGUCCAUAUGUAUGUGUUUAUAUUAUAUAGUCAAUUCUAGCAUGAAAGCUAAGUUGCGCUGCCGUAUGAACGUGGCGAAAGAGGACCACACAAGGUGUCCAUCCAAAGUCCAAGAAAGGGAGGAAUAGAAAAGUCUAAAAUGGCGGAUCAUAAGUUGGGAUUUACACGACCGAGAUGAGCACAGAGGACUUAUCAAAUUCGAUUCCAGAGGAGGGAUCGCAUUGCCAGUCAACGUCCUAGUUCUUUCGCAUUUUAGGAAACUUAUCUAGGGGAUUUUGCAUCGAUUUGACUUGACCAAAUAUAGAAGACAAAAAAGACUCACGCGGGUGGUGAAUUCUUUUUCCACUUUAAAAUUGUUCAGAUCUCGUCAUACGAAGCUUUUCUUCACGCAAUCGAAUCGUCGAAUUAUAUAUUUGUUGUAGUGGAAUCCCACCGCAUGAAGUACUUUGAAUUCGAGUAUCUAUUGGAAGAUCAUGUGGUAAAAUAAAUACAUAAUGUACUUCACCCUUCGUAGGUAGGAUUCUAGUCUAGUUGUAACUCACAACUUGAUGUGGUCCUAAAAUUGAUUUUUUUUGUUUGUUUGUUUGGAUAGUCCUAAGAUUAGUUGACAUUGAUUUUAGGUGCUUUCGCUCUUAGCGUUUGAGCAUAUUACAUGGUGAAUAAUUCUUUUUUAUUGAUGCAAUUCGGUCAUCCUAUGAAAACUUAAUAAAUAUUCUAGCGUAAUAAUUAAUUAUCACGUUGGGCAUUUUCAGCAGCACGUAUAUUCUAAAAAGUCAAAGCAAAAGAGUUGUCGAUAAGGAUCACCUAUCCUUAUCAAUUGUCACGACAACAAUAGGGGUAAUGACCCUCACCAAACUUAGGCAAGUCAUGCAAGUUUGCCACAGAAUCCUGGAAACAAUGUUUAGCAAGGGUUGGCUCCUUGCUGCCGCUUGCGGGACGAGGAAAGGUGGCCUGCACGCGACAGCGAGGGUUCUUGGACCCUCCUCAAUGGUUGAGGGUGCUCGUCCCGCCUAGCCUUCCCCCUCAUCUCUCUCCAACCUUUUUUCCUGAUGAUUUUUUUUUUUUUGUUUAUGUAUCGUUAUUGCACAUCAACAAUUAGCCCGGGGAAUGCGCGGGUCCUAAGUUGAACGUGAAUUGUUGCGUCGAUGUUUUCGUCAAACGGGAGAACUAACAAAAAAACAAUAAAUAGGGAAGUCGCUAUUUCCAUCCCAUUCAUUCAUUGCCCACUGAAAAAAGGAAUUCCCCUCUAAUUGGCUAUCUUGUCUCCCAAACCUUUGUUGGACAUCUUAUCUGGCGAUGUGGACGGAUUCACUUUUGAGUUAAUGCAAUUUCCCUUUUACAAAAAAAAAAAAAAGAGGCCGAAAUAUCUUUUAAAUUAAAAAAAAAAUCAAUUUUUGGGCACUUAAUAAGAAACCGUUUGAGGUAAGCGUGCCAUUUUCCACGUACUAUUAUUUUUUUAAUGAAUACUUUGGAAAUCGACAUAUUAAAAUAUUGAAUAUAAUCAAGAAGGGCCACUAUCCAAUUCACAAGACCUAGUGGUCUUAGGCUUAGGGUCGGUCUAGAUUCACUCGUGAUUUGGAACCUAUUCUAUUGGAACCAAUUUGCUUAUUGUUGGAACUUGAAACUAACCAUGUCAAUCAGCUCCCAGGUUUAGGAUUGAUUUUGGGGUCUAUCGAGGAAUCAACCAAUUUCUUUUUUCUCUUUUUAAUUAUUUUUCCUUUUGUUUGUUUCAUUUUUAGUUAAGCAAAAUGAAAAUGAACACAAUAACAAAAAUCCAAUAAUUCAUAAAAGAUAAACAAAUAGAAUAAAAUAAACAAUAAAAGUUGUAAAACACGUAAACACGGUUUACCAGUUUCUAGUUCCCAGUUUGGUUUUUCGGUUCGUUCCUUAACUAGGAAUUGAGAAUCGAACCUUACAGUAUUAACUCUAUUUUAAAAGAUAUCAAGAAUCAAAUUAGUAAUCACAAGAAUCUAAUCGGACUGAUAAAUUAUGGCCGGUUUGGUUUAAUUUCAGUUCUAUCUUGAACUUAUGCUCACCUAAUUCUAUUAUGUGUUAGCGGCUUAAACGCAGAAAGGGCAUCGAUCCUUCCUGCCAACAAUAAAUGGCGAAAAGAUACCCCUACUGUUCCGCGAAAUUAUAAAAUUACCAAUCAGAGGGAGCUCGCCGCCGCCGCCCCAGUUCUCUCGCAGCCGCAGUUCGCGAUUUCGUCGGAGUCCAGCGCUCGUCGCCGGCGGUCAAUUCGCCAUUUUACCACCAACGCCUCCUCCAUCACUCCAUCCUCCCAAGCUCUCUCUCUCUCUCUCUCUGCGCGCGCUGUUCAGGUGAUUUUCGUCUGGCGGACUCGGACCUUUUUCAAGCUUCGUUUCUUGCACACUUGUGAAGCUGGGAUUUUUACCGUGAAAUUGCGCGAAUUUUUCGUCUACUUGCGAACCUGGAAAUGCUGAGGUUCAGCUUUAACGUGGGUAAUCGUUAGUAAUCAACCUGGGGAUCUAAUUCGAGCUGAUUUUGCUGAAUAUAAUCAAAUUGAAUUAGUAAACGUGAGUGUUCUUCUGGGUUUUAACUAUUAUCUGCUCUUACAGUAUUUGCAGCGAACCUGUUGGUGAGAAUGUGCUGGUUGGCCAAUGCUUCAGACGCCAAUGUAAUGGCUGGCUGCAACCCAUGUAUAAUUUGGAUUUGCUGAUGAUCAUUUGGGUAAGAAUAAUGAAGGAUGUCAUGGUUUCUUUGGUCUCAAAACUGGGAUCUGUGCUUUGGAUAGUGAAUACUUCUCACAACAAAUGACUGGAAGACAUCAUUUUUCUUGUGAGGGGAAGUCGAAUUUCAUACCGCCUAGAAGGGUCGCCUACACUGAUCCCCCUGCCCUUUCUAACCGAUAAAGAAGAGCCGAAAAGACCGAAGCUCUUGUUCUUUUUAGUUUCAGUGUCCUUGCCUCUAUUAUCUCUCAAACGGUUGUUCUGUUCUGGAGAUAAAUAAUUGAAAUAUCAGAACCGGUUGUUCUGUCAUUUUUUGCUCGGUCACUGGUUGGCCGUCACGAAACAUUAUUUAGCUUUAAAGUAAUUAAGUCCUCGAUAGGAGAAAUAUGCAACAUAAAGCGGGAAACAUGAAUUAUUAUCGGAGGUGAGUAGUCAAUUGCCAUGGUCCAUGGAAAUCAAUUAUAUAUACAAACAUCCGAAGUUUCCAAGCUGACCCGGUUUCUGCUUACAAGGAUCGGUUAGAAUAGGUUAUUCUCCUGUUUAGUCCCGGCCACCUAAGCCAUGGGUUUCGACCGCAAUUCUUGAUUGUUUUAUAAUGCUGCUAAACUUGCUUUUUUUUUUUUUUACCACCAAUGAGCUUUAUCAGUUUUUCUUUCUGCAGGCAUUUCUUUGUAAUCCUUCACAUUUCAUCCAUGCGAUUGCUGGCUUAAGUUUGCGGAAUUGAUCCUCUAGCAAAAUAGUAGUUGGGAAUGGGAAUUGAAGAACCGAAAGACCCUUUGAAGGGGAUGGACUGGAAAGCCAUCGGCAGUGACCUACAGAAGGAUCCUUCUGCUAAACCAAUUGUAAAGAAGCGAUUGCCAAGAAAGAUUAAGCAAAUACCAGGCUAUUAUUUUCUUUCUUGAAGAUCUUUGGCCUGAACUAUUGCCUUUUAUGGGGCAUGCAUUGCUGGUGGAAUUGGUGCUGGAAUGCUGUUGGAGAUCUGGAUAAACAAGAAAAUCAAAGGUGAGUGAUAUUUCAUUGAUUUCUUCGUUUGUCUCACAGAUGCUCAGAUCAGACAAUCGUGGUUCUAAUUUCCAUAAUUUCAUUGAAAAUAAUAAUUUCACCUACUAAGGAACAUAUCCUGCCAUGAUGUGGAAUCUAGCCUGGAGCCUUUUUCUGUCAAAUGACCUCAUCUCUUCGCACUUGAUGUAUGGAACAUAGCUGGUUUACUCUUGAAUGAUUUAAGUCUUAAACAGGAAGAAUACAUGGGAGGCAAAGCUGAAAAUGGACAGUGAUAAGGACUUGCUGUUAGGGAAAUCCCUUAUGAUGUUUUGAAGAUGACAAAAUAAAUCAAAGGCUACUAACAUGUUUGAUGGUUGAGUAAUAGACCAUGCAGAUGAUAGAACAUGUAAAGGAUUUUAUCAAAGUCAGAAGACGACCAGAAGACUGAAUGUAACAUAUGUCCAGAGUAUAUUUUGAAGAUUUCCAGACUUCUGUGUCAAAGUCUGAAGACUGCCAGACUCAAGACUCAAAGUCUGAAAAUUGCCAGACUUUAGUGUCAAAGUCUGUUCUACAUCAGAAGUCUGUCAACUCUGACUAAUUCCAGACUGAACGUGAAUGAUGAACCAGAAGACAGACUCUAUGCUGAAGCUGAAUUGGGUACAGACCUUAAAGCUAAAUCUGUUUUGAAGCAGAUAUGUUCAGACCCAGAUUGUAAAGUCUACAGACUCAUAUUGUAAAGUCUACAGACUCAGACUUUACAUCCAGAUUCGAUGAAUCGUAACUCAAGCCCAAUCAUACAAUAGCUAGUGAUCUGGUUUGGAUUCCACAUCAAGAUUGAUUUGAUUGAUUCAAUCUAAUUGAUUGACGAUUGGAUCUUGAAGACAAGAACUUUCUACACGAAGAAGCUUUACUUAUGGAAACCAAGAUUUCGUUUGUAUGGGCGAUCGGAAUCAAUUUGGGAUUUUACCUUUGUCACUCAACGGCUACCAAAUCUUCUAGAUACAGAGCUAUCCAAUGGGUAUAUUGGAAGACGAUUCUCCGGGAUACUGUCCAACGGCUAGUUUGGAAGUGAAGGAGUAUUUAAGGAGAUGAAGGACCGAUGAGCAAGUAAGAGACGGAGCGUAGAAUUUAUAAUUCCAAAGUCUGAGCGACUUUCGAUCAUAUACUUGUCUCUUGAGAGCUUAAACGUUUGUAAUCGUGAGAGAAAUACCAAAAGAGUGACUUAGUGAGAUAGUGUGAUCUACUACUAAGUGUUUGCACUCGAAGUUGUAAUCUCUUAUUGAUUGCAUAGUGGAAUCAAGCCAAGAAGGCUGUUAGCGUGGGAGAGUGGACGUAGGCUUAGAUUAAGCCGAACCACUAUAAAUCUUGUGUUUUUAUUCUCUUCCCUAACUCCUUUAUUUUACUUGAAGUUUAUUUUAUUCCGCAUAUAUUUGCCAAGGUUUAUUUUAUACACCUAUUCACCCCCUCUAGGUGUUCAUACUAGCACUCUCACUUGCUUUCUUUUUGAUGCAUUGCAUAAGAAUAUGCAUCACUAGAAUUGAGAAUUUCCAAGACUUUGCAGUUCUUUUAGAAUACAUAGCGUCGGUACGAUUCUCAUCAGGCAGAUCUCCUACCUUCGCAUGCUCGAAGUACUCUCGGCCGUUAGAUGUUAACAACUUUCUAUGGACAUGUACUUGUGUACUUCAUAUUAUGUUUUAAUCUAUACAGCAAAUUCGUCAUGCCAUUUGCACAAUGGAAUAAUUGCUUUAUUACUUCCACAUUGCAGAGGAUGGAGGCAUGAUUUGGGAGUUCAACAAGUAGAGGCAGUGUGGCGUGCUUGCUUGGCAAAUUAAUCAACACGUUUGAGAUCAUGCAUGAAGUGUAAAGUGGUUUUACCUCACGUGAAGCUGAUCUUGUGGAGUGUCACGCCCCGAUCCUCCGAGCGCGCGAACAUCCCACUCUGGUCGAUAGAAAUGCGACUUCCUAGGACACGUCGCCGACCCAUUCAAUUUUAUUUACACAUGCGGAAGCGAAACAAAUCCCCUGACAACAUUUAACUUGGGAUAGAAAAGCAGGCAAUCAAUCACAACCAAACAAGCUUUCUAUAAACACAUAGGUUUAUAUACAACACUGGAUGGUCUACAAAAUAGAUAGGCUCAACAACUAGGGAACUGUCCUAUGACCAACUUGUCAGACACGUUCACCGAUUCUUCAGCCUCCACCUUCCGAACUCUAGGACUUCCGGUCCUCCACGACCGUCAUCUAGGGACCUGAAAUAUUAUCCCACAACCGGGAUGAGACUACGUCUCAGCGAGUCCUACCAUCUAAAACUCAAUUAGGAAGAAAAUAUGCCUCAAGGCGCCCUAGCCACACAAAUAGGAUGGAGGACUUACCUCUCCUUAGUCCCUUUCCUGCACGUCAGUACAAUUCAUAUUCAAACAAUGCUCGCACAAGCUGAAUCUACCGACAUACCCAUCGGUCUAUCAAUUCAGUCAAUCCAAUUGAUAUCAUACGAUCCACAUAUCUAUCAAUUCAUAUCAUCUAUAAACAAUACCAUCUAUUCAUCCAUCAAUACAAUUAUGGCUCGCACAAGCUGAAUUGGAUGCAAUGCUCUCACAAGCUGAUAUAGAUGGUAGCUCGCACAAGCUGAUAUAUGGAUCGUUGCUCUCACAAGCUGAUAAACGAUCAUUGCUCUCAUAAGCUGAUAAAUGAUCAUUGCUCUCACAAGCUGACAUACAGUGCUCACACAAGCUGACAAUGAUGCUCACACAAGGUGAUACAUAUAUAAACCAAUUGCUCGCCAAAGCUGAUAAUUCAAUAAUAAACCAACUCAUACCUCAAUUCAAUCGAUUCAAACUGGUCAUACAAACCAAUUACGGUGCUAAAAGCUAACACCGGGUAUUUUCAAGUUAAAUACCACAACUUCAUGAAUUUCACACAAUUCCACACUUUUGGAAUUAUUCACCAUAAUCAUCAAUCACUCAAUUUCUCAAUUUAAACAUACAAUUAACACAAACCGACCGCACUGCUGCGAUCAGCGCGAAAUUCUAACAACCGGCCAUCCCGGCAUAAUUUUUGAAAUUAUUAAAUAAUUAAAUUUAAUACCGAAAAUUAAAUAAUUAAAUAUUAUAUUAUAAUAAUAUAAAAUAAUAAAAUAAUAUUUAAAAAUUCGAAAUAAUUAUUUAAUUAAAAAUAAUUAAUUAGGGCUUAAAUAAGAUUACACUAAUUUAAUCAUACAAUUAGCCCUAAUUAAACAUCCAUUAAACUAAGCAUACAACUAAUCUAAUUUACAUUAAAAUAAUCUAAUUUAAUCACAUAAACCUAAUUAGACUAAUCUAAACACCCCUAAGCGUCAUUAACUCACUAAGCAAGAAUUAGAGGAUAAACUCACCCGAUUAACGAUCCGAACGGCUCAAAACGACAAGGAUGACGCGAGGGUCGAUAGUCUCCAAGGCGGGCCUAGCUUCCGGGGUCGGGAAGCCGGCCAAAACGGGCCAAAUAGCCGCUGUCAUACCCAUUUUUCUGCUCACUGAUCACUGCUGGUUGAGGCCGGGAAAGGGCGGAUCCGGGGCUGGUUGGGGUCGGGAAUGGGCGGAGGAGCUGAACCGGACCUAGGCGGGGCUUCACGGUGGUCGGAGGUGAGCUGGACGGCUCCGGCUGAGCUUCCCCAGAUCUGGAAUGGCUGCUGGAACAGAGGAGUCGGCGAGAUGGAGACUGAGACGGACGGAACAGCGGUGAGGCGACGGCGUGCAACGGUGGCGACUCCAGCUGCGGUGCACGGCGGUGAGGCCUCAACGGCGAGCUGGCUUCGUCGGUCUUCAACUUGCAGGGCGUCGAACAGCAAGGGGGCGGAGGAGAGAGGCAGAGAUGCGCGCGGGUAGGGUGACGGCGUCGCGGUGGCGCGCGGAGCCGAGCGGCGCUGCCGGCUGCUGUUCCGACUGCUGGCUACGACGGAAGAGGGAGCUGCUGAGGUCUUCUUCGACUUGCUGGGUUCUUCGCACAGCAAGAACACGAGGGGGAGAGAGGCAGCGACAGGAGAGAAGGGGAGGAAGAAGAAGACCGGUUCUCUCUCUCUCUCUCUCUCUCUCUCUCUCUCUCUCUCUCUCUCUCUCUCUCUCUUUCUCUUUCUCUUUCUCUCUCUCUUUGGCCCCACCAUGACCUCAUGGAUGAUGUCACACCCCACUAUCUCCCACAACCUUAAUCCAAUGGGUUCAAUUUCAUUUUCCGCCGUGGCAUAAAAUCUUGUACACUUAAUUCCAUCAAUUCUCAAUCAAUUCCAUCCAAUUGAAGCUCAAUUAAAUUAACCCAUGUGUCCUCGACCUUCUCAUGACAUUUCCCCAUCAAAUGAUCCAACUUGCAUCCCGAAGAUUCGAUUAAAAAUGGCCCUCUGACAAUCCCGAACAUAAACGGCAUUACUUUGCUUUUCCGCCAAAAAUCUCGGUUUGUAGAAAAAUCUUUUGAGAUGAGUCGACAUUCCUAAAGUGAAUUGUGACUUGACAGAAUUUCCAAUUUCAGUAAUUGGGUUCAAUUUCACGGUUAAAUUCAAUCUGGCGCGACUUUAGCGCGUCCUAAUCUACCGGGUAGCUUUUAGGAAUUUUCUGUGCAAUUGACCUGUGGUUGAUUAUUCUCAAGCCACAAAGUGCAUCUUCGACACAUUGACGACUCUUGGUUGUCAUAGAAAUCUUAAGGUUUCAAAUACGGACACAGGGUACCAAAACGACAGAGAAAUCGGUCUAGUGCCGAUCAACAAGAAUUAUGCAAUUAGGUGGAAUCACCCACACUAAAUUACAUGGUUCUGUUGAAUUGACCUAUCUCCGAUCUCUAAUCGGUCUGUGCCGUAAUGACCCUUGCAGAUUAGUACGGUCGAGCAGUCGGUUCCUGGUCGAAUUCUCAAGUCUAUUGCGUUUAGAUUCCUUAACGGCUUCACCUGAUAGACUAGUUAUCUCGUGAGUGAUCAGCUCAGAGAAGAAAGCUAUAGAUGCGAAGAUGAAAUGCCCGACUUAUUUAAUUGAAACCAGAAUUGGAAAAUUGGGAUGUCACAUGGAGUGUACAUGGAUUCAUGGGAUAUGGGUUUCUUCUGAGUAAUAAAAAUCAAUAACAGGAUCGUGAGAUCCACCAAAGAAGUCGGUACUUUAUGCAGACCAAGUUAUUAUGGAUUGCAUUCGUUCUCAAUUCAGUAUUUUUUUGCCAAUCAUCGUAACACCUCGAGUAUGACAACAUGGAGGGAUUGCGAAAUGAUAANNNNNNNNNNNNNNNNNNNNNNNNNNNNNNNNNNNNNNNNNNNNNNNNNNNNNNNNNNNNNNNNNNNNNNNNNNNNNNNNNNNNNNNNNNNNNNNNNNNNNNNNNNNNNNNNNNNNNNNNNNNNNNNNNNNNNNNNNNNNNNNNNNNNNNNNNNNNNNNNNNNNNNNNNNNNNNNNNNNNNNNNNNNNNNNNNNNNNNNNNNNNNNNNNNNNNNNNNNNNNNNNNNNNNNNNNNNNNNNNNNNNNNNNNNNNNNNNNNNNNNNNNNNNNNNNNNNNNNNNNNNNNNNNNNNNNNNNNNNNNNNNNNNNNNNNNNNNNNNNNNNNNNNNNNNNNNNNNNNNNNNNNNNNNNNNNNNNNNNNNNNNNNNNNNNNNNNNNNNNNNNNNNNNNNNNNNNNNNNNNNNNNNNNNNNNNNNNNNNNNNNNNNNNNNNNNNNNNNNNNNNNNNNNNNNNNNNNNNNNNNNNNNNNNNNNNNNNNNNNNNNNNNNNNNNNNNNNNNNNNNNNNNNNNNNNNNNNNNNNNNNNNNNNNNNNNNNNNNNNNNNNNNNNNNNNNNNNNNNNNNNNNNNNNNNNNNNNNNNNNNNNNNNNNNNNNNNNNNNNNNNNNNNNNNNNNNNNNNNNNNNNNNNNNNNNNNNNNNNNNNNNNNNNNNNNNNNNNNNNNNNNNNNNNNNNNNNNNNNNNNNNNNNNNNNNNNNNNNNNNNNNNNNNNNNNNNNNNNNNNNNNNNNNNNNNNNNNNNNNNNNNNNNNNNNNNNNNNNNNNNNNNNNNNNNNNNNNNNNNNNNNNNNNNNNNNNNNNNNNNNNNNNNNNNNNNNNNNNNNNNNNNNNNNNNNNNNNNNNNNNNNNNNNNNNNNNNNNNNNNNNNNNNNNNNNNNNNNNNNNNNNNNNNNNNNNNNNNNNNNNNNNNNNNNNNNNNNNNNNNNNNNNNNNNNNNNNNNNNNNNNNNNNNNNNNNNNNNNNNNNNNNNNNNNNNNNNNNNNNNNNNNNNNNNNNNNNNNNNNNNNNNNNNNNNNNNNNNNNNNNNNNNNNNNNNNNNNNNNNNNNNNNNNNNNNNNNNNNNNNNNNNNNNNNNNNNNNNNNNNNNNNNNNNNNNNNNNNNNNNNNNNNNNNNNNNNNNNNNNNNNNNNNNNNNNNNNNNNNNNNNNNNNNNNNNNNNNNNNNNNNNNNNNNNNNNNNNNNNNNNNNNNNNNNNNNNNNNNNNNNNNNNNNNNNNNNNNNNNNNNNNNNNNNNNNNNNNNNNNNNNNNNNNNNNNNNNNNNNNNNNNNNNNNNNNNNNNNNNNNNNNNNNNNNNNNNNNNNNNNNNNNNNNNNNNNNNNNNNNNNNNNNNNNNNNNNNNNNNNNNNNNNNNNNNNNNNNNNNNNNNNNNNNNNNNNNNNNNNNNNNNNNNNNNNNNNNNNNNNNNNNNNNNNNNNNNNNNNNNNNNNNNNNNNNNNNNNNNNNNNNNNNNNNNNNNNNNNNNNNNNNNNNNNNNNNNNNNNNNNNNNNNNNNNNNNNNNNNNNNNNNNNNNNNNNNNNNNNNNNNNNNNNNNNNNNNNNNNNNNNNNNNNNNNNNNNNNNNNNNNNNNNNNNNNNNNNNNNNNNNNNNNNNNNNNNNNNNNNNNNNNNNNNNNNNNNNNNNNNNNNNNNNNNNNNNNNNNNNNNNNNNNNNNNNNNNNNNNNNNNNNNNNNNNNNNNNNNNNNNNNNNNNNNNNNNNNNNNNNNNNNNNNNNNNNNNNNNNNNNNNNNNNNNNNNNNNNNNNNNNNNNNNNNNNNNNNNNNNNNNNNNNNNNNNNNNNNNNNNNNNNNNNNNNNNNNNNNNNNNNNNNNNNNNNNNNNNNNNNNNNNNNNNNNNNNNNNNNNNNNNNNNNNNNNNNNNNNNNNNNNNNNNNNNNNNNNNNNNNNNNNNNNNNNNNNNNNNNNNNNNNNNNNNNNNNNNNNNNNNNNNNNNNNNNNNNNNNNNNNNNNNNNNNNNNNNNNNNNNNNNNNNNNNNNNNNNNNNNNNNNNNNNNNNNNNNNNNNNNNNNNNNNNNNNNNNNNNAUCGGUGGCCAUUCGGACGGAUUUGUUGAUCAUGCAAUUAAAUAUAGUGUGUACGGUUUGAAGGUUGAUAACUUAUUUCGGGAGACUAGAAUACGAAUCGUCAACGAGCUUCAUAUGAAUAAGCGAGUUUCCUUUUUUUGAGAAAAGAAGAUGCUAUUAUUACAGAGUUCGAUAAGUCGAGUGCGUAAAGUCGAUUAUGUAAACAAGUUGGGAAUUUGAUGAGUUGUGUGUACGGCGAAAAAGCAUGAUUGAGCUUUCGCAUCUAGUUAAGAAGGCUUACCUGAAUGAUCAGAAAAGAUUUAGUACCUAAUUGGGUUUUUGUACGUGAGCUUUUCAGCUAAUCAAAAGAGAUCCCGUACCAAAUUGGAUUGUCAGUUAAAUUUUCAGCUUUAGUUACGGAUUAUGAAAUUUCUUGAGUCCUGUCAAGUCGAGUGUGUGCAUUUGCAGAUGCGAGAGCUUGAUAAAUAGGGAGUACGAGGAAGGAACUGGGUCGAGAUUGCUCAUCUUGUCACAAGGCCAAAUGACUAAAUUAAAAACCAAGGUUGGACCAGGAAGCGUUUGUGGUCUGGAUUAGACGACUUUGAGAAUGGACAUUAGUACAUUACCUUGCUAGCGGACUUCUGAUUUUGUAUGGAUCAAUGUGGAGCAAGGCAUGAGAUUUUGGGCCUUUUGAGGAAGGCCUCUUGGCUCACGAAUAACGUGAACCAUAUCUACUUAUCAAGUAUGGAACCUUGGUCUAUCUGACUAUAUUCUGUUGAGGUUAUCUCGAACUUUGGCGGUUGGUUUAUAAAUGUAAGAGAAACUCUCUCCUAUAUGGUUGUUGGGUCUUGACUUGUUUGUUACCUAAGAGAUACGGGUUGUUGCUACUCUAACAUGAUGGGAAGAUGGAUCUCAAGCAUGAAUAUCAAGGACAAGAUGGUUGUUGGGUCUUGACUUGUUGGUUACCUAAGAGAUACGGGUUGUUGCUACUCUAACAUGACGGGAAGAUGGAUCUCAAGCAUGAAUAUCAAGGACAAGAAGAAGAAAUUAUGGUCGUCAUUGAAAGACUGUGAAUAAGGUGUUAAAAAAUUUCAACAUGGAUAAGGCAAAACCGAUCAAAACUCCUCUAACAAGCCACUUCAAACUUUUCGAGGAUAUGUGUUAGAAUACUCAAAGAUGAGAUGGUGGUAGUCAAAUAUGCAUCCACAUUGGAAAGUUUGAUGUAUAUCAUGAUGAGCAUAGGACCAAACAUUGCAUGAUAGUGGGAGUUGUGAGUUAAUAUUUGCAAAACCAGGCAAAGAGCAUUGGAGUGCACUACAAUAGAUAUUAAGAUAUCUAAGGCAUACCCUCUCACAAACAAACGCUGCUGCCAAUUCAAUGGAAGUCUAGUCUCCUUCAACACAGUCAUCACUUAGCAAGUAUGCAAUUCAGUGGAAACAGAGAGACAUUUAAUGGACAUUAACAAGUCAUGAAGAAAGAGCCUUCUGUAAUGGAGAUUUCUCUCACCAAAUCAUAAAAAUUGCGAGAAAUUAACCAUCUCUUAAGCAUCAGCCAUCAACACUUUUACAAACAAAACAAAAGUGUACACACAGCUGCAUUUUGCAGAGACAAAAAAGGCUAGCGAAAAGCACAAAUGCACCUACUGUGAAGCUCGGCCAGGAUGAACAGGUGCCCCGAGAGUCCAGCAAAAUUCUCCUCUGCAAAUGCGAGUAAUACAUCGUCUGAGCUACUCCACAACACCUCACAGGCACGUUUUUCGGUGAUUACAUCUUCGAAAUCAAACACAAAAAAUCGAUUAGCAGACCUAAUCAGUGUUCUCGAGACUGCAAACAAUUUUUUUUUUUGGUAAAGGACUGCAAACAAAUUUUGGUGUCUCCUAAAAUUGAUAAAUAAAAUCCUUGCCAAAUCUCUAUGUAAGGAAAAAAAUUGGCAGGGUACCUACCAAGGGCUAGCUAAGUAUGUACAUUGUUCUUAUAUCCACAGGAAAGACGACCCUUGCCCAUAAUUCUCCGGGCACCGGCAAUGUUACUAAUCAAGUAGCUAGCAAAAUUUACCGCUGCACUAAGCUCCAUUAACUUCAAACAGAGUGUCUUAGUCAAGUACAAUAAUCUGCUGUCAUCCUUCCACUCAUUAAUUGUAGAUCCUGAGCCUGUUCACGUGUUAGUACCGUGUAAAGUGGCGACGGUCCAUUAGUAGAGUGCUCAUGGAAGCUAUUUAAAUUGCUAGGCAAACUGAUUUUUAUUAUUGUCAAAGUUAACUCUUAGUAUGGCCAUUGACUUUGGGUCAUCAUUUAGAGGAUAAAAAAUGACCAUGAAAUUCCCAAAUGCUAAAUCAGGCUUUAGGAACAGAUCCACCAGCAAAUCACUGCUUGCCCCGAUAUUUCUCUACACAAACUUUCUUGGAGUGGUUUCCCAAUCCCUGGCAGCAUGAGAAAUGUGUGAAGCUUCUUUCAAGCCACUCAAGAAGGCACCAUGCAUGCUGGCUGGGUAUUGCCUACUUGUGGCUUCCCCAGCAAAAAAAAGGCCGGUUCCCCACGCUCUCUCCAAGUACGUCAUAAUCUCUACCAGACGAGUUCACUCUUGCAAGGGAAUAUGAACCAUAAGAAAGAGGAUCACUUCCCCAUCUUGUACAUAUAGAUUGUAUAACCUCCGUGCAUGGCAAUCAACCUACGUAACAUAAAAAGGAAGGCAAUUUACUUGCCUGAGGUCCUAUUUAUUCAGUCGAAAUUAGAACCCAAAAAUCUGGAUGUCACACCGAGGCUGCGGCUGGCAUUGUGUGUAUUUGACAUUGAACGAGUGAAAGAAAGAAUGACAAUUCAUGGUUGAAUCAGCAUACAAAACCACAUCAAAAUCAAAUGGUUAUGACGACAAAGAAAGAGUUGAAGCUCCAAUUUCACUUUCGGGUGCAAAAACUAGAGAUACUUGCCCUUCUUUGUCAUGAGCCUAUUAAGUUUACAUCAAAUGUCGAAUCUACACAAGAUGCAGUUGCGGAAAAUCUCCUUUCUAGUCUUCUUACGAAUCUGACCUUUGUUUAAAAACUCAAGGUCGGACGAUCAUUUUUAAUGGUAAAGGUUUUGAUGAAUUCAUUCGAGAAGUGCAUUUGAUCAGUAGCUAAUUACUAUAUUUAUCAGAUGAUUUCUUUUGGGGAUCAUGUUAUUCAGGUGUUUAAUCAAACAAGAAAGAGAUCCUAGAAUAGGAAGGUUUCAAAUUUCACUACUUCGAUAAGUCACCAAUCUACUAAGUAUCCCAUCAAAUAAUUCGAAGAUUUGUUAAACUACGAAACCUCAUUUUGCUGUGAUGUGAUAUAUUUCCGAUGUGAAUAGAAAAGUACCAAAUGAAUGAUUAAGUAUUCCUUCAGCUGUUGAGACAUAUCAUUAUGUAUGAAAGAUGGCCAAUGAGUUCAAGGCAUAACAUUGGUAAUACUAUGUAAGCUUUUGUUUACCAAGGGUUUGAAUCCCUCUCUUUACACACCUUGAAGUAAUUUCCCAUUGAUACUAAUCACAAUGUAUCAAAGAAAAACACAUACCCUAAUUCCAAAAGUUAAAACUUUCUUUGAUAUGUAUCCCCUAUUUCCAAGUCCCCACUUGAAAAUUCUGGCUUGAAGAAAUAAAAUAACCUGGCGCAAUUUAAUUUUCCUUAAAUCGACGUAUUAUGGGUUAGUGGCAACUUAUGAAUAAAAUCUUAUGUUCAUGAUUGACUGGGAAACGAUUUGCGAUUGAUAGGGCUCGGGUGAAUCAUAGCCAAGCAUAAGCGUCAUCUUGCAAGAGAAAUCGUUCGUGUUCCCAUGGCCAUAUGUUAACUCAUAUCAUGAGAACAUUUAGCAUUUUACCCAUGGCGAGGGUCGUGAUAAUUGUACUUUCCUAUAAUAGAUGCAAGUCAAGCAAUCAUGAGAUAAUUAGUUUUUUUUUUUUUAUGCAUCUCGAGUAAUUUUUCAUAUAGAAAAAAAAAAGAAGUAAAAUUAAAUGCAAAUUUCGUCCUUUUGAGGAUUAGUAAUUCUGGUCAAUGAUUUGGGAACAACGGAUGGUUUUUUUAAUGGAAUCAAUUUUCGGAAAUUUUGAACGGAAAAUUUUUAUUUUUAUUUUUAUUUUUGUGUUUGGUGCUCUUUCUUUUCGCGGGGGGAGGGGGGGGGGUAAUUUACAUAAUCCAAUGAUGGUCUGUGCUCCUUUGAAAACGAACGGUGCAGAUGUGCUGAGUGCGAAAAUUUUAGGGUUUUUUAUACCUAGUAGAAAUUCGAACGACCAAACGUAACCUGUAAGCCACUGUGAUUUCUUCCUCCUCUCAUCUUGCCUCUUCCUUAUUUCCUCUCGCCGUAUCCCACCUCUCCAAAUUUCCAUGUGAACGAGAUCGAGAUCGAGGGAGAAGAACUCGAGCGGGCAGUUGAAGCCGGGCCAUGGAAAUUUUGCUGUAACCGGAGUCGAGGGCGUGUGAUCAGGGGCUGAAGUAUCGACGCCAGAGAUUAGCAACUGGACCGGAACUUCAGUCCUCCUCAUUGUACGUUGUCUUUUGGCCUCGUUAUGCAAUUGCAUGCCUGUCUGAAUUUUCUGUUGCAACUCGUGACGCUCUAUUAUAGGAUUUUUCUACUUAAAUUUCCAGAUCUUUUAUAUCUGUAAGAAACAUAAGACACUUAAAUCGUUUAAUCGGCCAAAUAUGGAACAGAAAAAAAGCAAUAAUAAUGUCUGGUCUUGUGUCUGGAGCUUUUUCCCGGAAGGCGUUCUCUAUCAAAUAAGAUAAUUACUGUUCCCGUUGAGCAAAGAGCGAAGAUUUUUAUUGGUUUAUCAACGCCAAGUUACAUAAUUGGCUUGACUGAUGGCUUCCACUUCAAUCGUUCUCAACUCCAACUGAGGUCGAAAGCCUUUGGUCAAGCCAAGCCAUACUAGAUGCGGGCAAACUGGAUAGUUUACCGUCCAUCGUUACAAUUGAUUGGCAUUAAUAGAAAUCAAGCAAAUUGAAGAACUUGAGGGUGCAGCUGAGCCGGGGCCACGAAAUAAUGUUGAGAGAGAAUCUUAGAUGUAGCAGCAAAUUGGACAAUUACGUUGGGUUUUGGUGAGCUUGACUCAAAAUUUCACUCUUCAUGCUCACUUCACCAAAUCUUUUUUCCUUACAAAUCUCCAAUUCCGUGUCCCAUUUUUUCAUUAUGAAUCUAUGAUUUCACAUAUAGGUUCAUAUAGGCUGAAAUUUUGAGUUGGUAGAACAAUUUGCUGCAUCCGAGUCAUUCACAGAAAAACUAAGCCGGGCUUGUGUAUAAGAAGCAAACGACAGAACAAUAGCUUUUAAUCUGAAGAGCAAAAUUUGAGGAUUGUUUCCUGUCUUUUCAAAAGAAGUUCCCAGGGUCUUGCUUGUUGGUACCCAGUCACUUGAAACAUAUCUGUUCACUCUUCUGUGGGUUACAGGCGAAAUGCCGAGUGCGACAUUUAAAUUAUGGGAGCUUGUUGAGUUUCUGCCUAAUAAAUUGUUGUUGAUUUGUCUGACAUGCCAUGCCCACUGAAUAACCCAAUGCAGAGGAUUUGUCUAACAUGCCACGCCCACUGAAUGCAGAAGAGGAAGAACCCAAUACAGAGGUUCCCCAAGGUAUGUGCAUCUCCCAAUUCCGCUUUUGUAAAAGCUCGUGCAGGAUGCUUAAUUUGUCUUCUAAUCUUCACCUAAUAAUAGGGGUAUAGGCAGGACCUCAGAUUUCUGAUAGUUAUAGAAAAAUACAAAAUAAACAUGAACUAAUAGGAAGAGAGGAGCUUAAGAGUUGGUCAUUGACGAUUAAUAGAUCUUUGAAAAUGGUCAGAACAAUAAUCCUUAAGUAUGAAAUUUAAAUUUUGAAAAGCAAUGGCUCUCUAUCCCCUCAGAUCACCUACAUAAAGAGCAUUUGCUUUUUUAAAACAGAAGCAAAUUAUGGUUUUCAAUCUGAAGAGCCCAGUUUGAAAUCUGUCUCCCGUGUACUUUAUAUAAGAAAGCCUCCAUCCGUUUACCCUUUCGUGGGAUGCAGGGGAAAUGCCGAGAGCAUUGGAUCCACUUUCAGUUGUUGAGGUUCUGCCUAAUAACAAGCGGAAGUGUAACUUCUGCGGGAAUGAGUACGUUGGAGACAUGAAGAGGAUCAAGGCGCAGUUUGCUGGGGUAGGAGGAUGUGGAAUUCUUGGCUGUAAGGUCUUGAAUGACCGAGUGAGACCAGAAGCACCAGAGGUGCUGCAGGAUGAAAGAGCAGUGGAAUCGAGCAAGAGACAAGGCAAUGAAGAAGGUUCAUCCAACCUUACACAGAGUUCGCAUCAGCCCUUGACUGCGGGCAGUGAAGUUGCUCGGUGUAAGACUUCAUUUGUUGCCAUGCCGUACCUGAGCUAUGGUGCAGGUUUGUCAACCUUUCUUCCAUCGGCUGAGACGAAUUUUCCCAAUCAGUCUGUUGCUGCUUUAACCAACAUACCACGCCUGCGGAAUGCCAAAGAGGGAGAACUCAAUACAGAGGUUCCACAUGGUAUGUGUGCAUCUCUAAAUUUCAUCUCUAAAUUUGGCAUACGUUGAAGCUUGUGCAGGCCGCCUUAUUUGUCUUCUAAUCUUCACCUAAGAAAAGUGAUACAGGUAUAGAGAAACUGAAAAUGGUCAGGAAUUAAUAGGACAAGAGGAGUUUUAGAGUCGGCCAUUGAUAAUUACUAGAUCUUUGAAAACGAAAAGACAAAUGUUUUGAAGUGUGGCAUUCAAAUCUUGAAAAGCCAUGGCUCUCCCUGUCCCCUCCGAUCUUCUACAUGAGCAUUGGCUUAUAUGGUUAAAUUAUUUAUGAAAGAUAAUUCCCACGACUUUUAAUUUUAAAUCAAUUCUUUUCUAAUGAAGAGCUCAUGAUAUGGAGUCGCCAGUAUUUCACUAUCGUGACAUCAAUGGCUACAAUACAUAUUAAUUAUUGUAUCGAAUGUUGCAUGUAAUAUUUUUGUUCGAAAAAGUGAAUACAAAGUUACACUUUUUUUAUUUCCAUGAGUGUAACAUACCUAUAAAAUAUAUCUAAGGAGUACCCAAUACUGAAUUUUCACUUAUAAUUGUGUUUAGGUGCGAGACCGCAUCUUGGACUGGCUAAGAGUCAACGAGGUACCCGUGGGCUUGCCGACGCGAAUAUGAUGUCUCUCAAAAGAAAGCUGGAAGAACUCAUCAGUAGUCGCCAAGCAGACAUGAACAAGCUAAAGUCAAAGUGGAUGAGGAUAGAAGAGCAAUAUGGGAGUGUAGUGCGGGCAAUUAGAGAAGGAAUAUCUUUUCCACCGGAGAAAGUAGCAGAGGUGGAAGGGUUGAGAAAAGAAGUUGAACAGAUUCUUCUGGUUCCAGGAAGAUUUCGGCAAGAGGCGAUGGCACUUAGAUUUAGGGAAACAUCUCCCUUGUUGACAAUAGAAAAAUUAUUAGGCAAAGAAACUCGACGGAAGGUGAAUGAGAUGUUUUUCACUAUAUUGCGGAAUGAGUCUUUCAUACUCGGUGUUUAUGGUAUGGGUGGAGUGGGCAAGAUGGCCAUUUUGAAGCAUGUCUAUAUUAGUCUACUUGCUUAUCUUCCGUCAUAUGUAUUCUGGAUUGCUGUACCUCAGGAUUUUAGUGUUUAUGCGCUACAAGAAGAGAUUGCCAAUGCGGUUGGACUAGACAAUCUUUCAAAUGAGAAGGAUGUGAAGAGAAGGGUGGGCCUAUUGUAUGGACAUCUGAAUUCAAAGAAGGGAUGCAUCCUAAUUUUAGAUGGCCUUUGGAAGCCCUUUGAAGUUAAGGAUGUGGGUAUUCCAGUUGAAACGGGCAAACUAAAGUUGAUAGUGACAACUCGAUCACCAGAUGUGUGUCGUAUGAUGCUUUGUCAAAAGCAAAUUAAGAUAGAGCUUCUCGAUAUGGAAGAUUCUUGGAGGUUAUUUUUAAAGACGCUUUGCUUUGCAGGAGAACUCCCUCGGGAAGUUGAACAAAUUGCAAGGUCUCUUCUUGAUAGGUGUUGUGGUCUACCACUUGGGAUCAUUGAGAUUGCAACUCGCAUGAGAGGGGUAGAGAAAGAGCGUGACUGGAGAGACAUGUUGGGAAAUUUAGAAGAGUCCAGAAUGGAGCUUGACGUGUUCAAGAGUCUGCAGCUUAGUUACUUGAAUUUGGGUAAUGAACAAGUGCAACAGUGUUUCCUGCAUUCAAUGCUUUGUUCUGGAAAUCUCCUUUCAGAAGCUGACAGAGAGUAUUUGAUAGAGUCUUUUAUAGAAGAAGGUUUGUUAGGUGGAAUUGCCACCAGACAAGGACUAUACAAUCAGGGUAACGAUAUAUUGGAUAAAUUAGAAGGGGCCGGGUUGUUGGAUCCUGAAAAAGGGCAUCGGUAUCUACACCCGUUGACAAGGGACAUGGCAUUGCAUGUAGUGCGGAGCACAACUCACAUGGUUAAGGCCUAUAUGGGGUUGAAAGAAAUACCGGAGGAAGUAUUCUGGACUGAUCGUCUAGAGAAAGUCUUUUUACAAGGCAAUAAAAUAGAAGAAAUGCCAUACAACCUAUCACCAAAUUGCCCUAAACUGACGCGGCUGUCUUUGUAUAACAAUUCGACCUUGGGAGACAUCCAUGAAUCUUUCUUCAUACAUCUAAAGGGGCUGACGGUUCUAGAUCUGGGCCGCACUGGAAUCAGAAAAUUACCGGACUCCAUCUCCCAGUUGGAGAGCUUGGAAGCACUGUUACUGCAAAGUUGUUUCGCAUUAUGCUUUAUUCCUUAUGUUGGAAAGUUGGGAUCCCUAAGAAAGUUGGACCUCAAAGGGUGCGAAAGUCUUGAAGAAGUGCCAGAGGGUAUGGAGAUGUUGGCAAACCUGAGGUACCUCGCCCUAGAUGGCACAGAGAUAGAGACAUUACCGGAGGGAGUGUUGGGGAAGCUGGUGAAUUUGCAAUAUCUCACGAUUAAAAAGCUAAGGGCAGGAGAAGAGGUAAAAUUACCGAAGGUGGAGGAACUUCAUUGUUCUGUUUCCAAUGUGGAAACGUUCAAUGCAUGUGUGGGGUCUCUCGAGCGAAAUAGUUGCCAACAGUACAGGCUCGUGAUGGGUGCACCAGAAAAUUUCAGCCUUUGGUGUGGGAGGAAGAGUGAGAGGUCUUUACUCAUUGAUAGUUGCAACCAUAUUGCUGCGAGUAUAGAUGGAACAAGUGGUGAUGGCUACGCUCUGCUUCCAGAAAGUGUGCAAUCAUUGGAAUUGUCCGGGUGUCAUGAAAUGAAGAGAGUGAUGGAAUGGGAGUGGCCGACCACUCUCCUUCCAAAUCUGAAGGAGAUUAUAACGAAGAGUUGUGAGAACUUAGAGGAGAUAAUACGUGGCCCAUUGCCGAGCGGAGCCACUUGUUGCCUUACAUAUCUUGAAGUAAAUUGUUGCAACAACAUGAAGAGGGUGCUGCUGACGCAAGACAUGGUGCUCCACCUCCCUUUCCUCCAAGAGAUAUUAGUCAAAGACUGCAAGGGCAUAGAGGUGAUAAUGGACACUGUUGCCAAAAUGACGCACUUUUCCUUCCCGAAGUUAAUGAACCUUGGUCUAUGUAAUCUUCCGGAGCUGAAGAGCAUAUGCGAUGGGACCACGAGAUGCAAUUCCCUCCAGUUGAUAUCUAUUGACAAUUGUCCAAAACUGAAGGUGAUUCCUCUGCAGCUGCCUGUGCUUGACAAUGGGCUCCCUUCUCCUCCCCCUUCUCUUCAAGAGAUUUGGAUAAAUCGGCAGACGUGGGAGUCGCUGGAGUGGGAUCAUCCCCUUGCCCGUUCUACACUUGAACACUUCAUCGAGUUUCUUGGUAAGUCGCGCACAAAUUUUACUUCUUUUAUCCUUUCCAUCUCCCUUGGUCCCUUCUACGGAUUGGUUCUCCCGCAGUAUGGGUUGCUUAUUUUAUUCCUAACUUUUAUAGUGAGUGUUAUACCUCAUAACUGCUCAGAAACUAGCAAUUAGGCCUGUGCUACACACUGAUAAGUGAAUUCCACUACAGCUUGGAAGUGCAGCAUAGUAGUCAUGUUAUUAUUAAACCUUAGUUGUUUAAAAAACUUUGAAUAAAUAACAAUGCUUCUAGUCCUCGCUCUCUCCCUCUUUAUUUAUUUAUUUAUUUAUUUAUUUUGGGGGGGAUUUAAAAGAUUUUCUUACACCGGUUUUCUAAAAACAGGCCAUUCUGAGUAUACAAAAUUUUGCAUAUGCUGAUAUGCAAAUCCCUCUGUUAUAAGAGAGCAGUUUUUGUGGUCACAAAACGAUCACGACAUAGAGAUAAGAAAUGAUUAGUGGCUGCAGAAUUCUCGUACAAUAAAAUUGAAAUUCAUCAUGACAUCCUUGUCGGAAGGAUGCUAAAGCCUAGUAAAAGUAGAAUUUGAUUGGGAAUUUUCUACUUUAUUGGUUGGGAUAGUUUCAGAGAGCAUGUUAAAUGCCUUUUACGUUUCCUUUUUGUUGUCUUUUCUAUUUUACCUCAUUCGGUACUUCUAUUUGCACUUUCAAGUCCCUUUUUACUUUUUAAAUUGAUCACUAUUCUUCGGGAGUACUUUUCAUGGACUUUGUAUUUCCGAUUGCAUAUUUGAACUUAUUGAAUUUCUGUAUGUUUAAUUUGAUUGGGUUAGGUUGGCCGGAGGAGUCUCUUAUUUCUUUAGAUUGUUUACAUUCUCUCUUUAAUUUGAUCAAAGAAGUCCUCUAAUCCCUUUGAAUUAUUCUUGGAGGAGAGAAAUAAAUGAGGGGCUAGCUAUAUCUAGAACCUUGUGAAAUCUAUGGGGGCUGGUCUUUCGGAAGCACAAAUAUUGGACAGAAAUAAGAUCGGCGUAGGUGUCAACAAGCGAAUUGGCCAGAGUUCAAGUUUUUCUAAGCUCUCUCAAAAUGCACCGCAAUCUGUAUAUAGAUUUCUCGUGAAUAGUCAUGCGGUACACAAUGAUAUUGGGUAUGAGUACGAGAAAGGACCUUGGGCAUCAGUUGCUCGCCAACUACAGAAAAACGCCUCUCCCACUCCCUUUCUCAACUGAUUUUGGGUUCUUCGGACCCACUUUGCGAGCGACUAACAAAAGAAUAUUUCUGCCCCCAGACUGAUGAAGCCGUGGUGGAUCCCAUUGAGUAUGAAUCGUCUUCUGAUGGCAGUGGACAUCAACCUCAAAGCCAUUGCUACAUCAUCCUGCUCGAUUGAUGUUUAAAGUACCUCUGAACCUUACGAUGACAUAUGCUUAAUUUAUGCCUUAUUUUAUAAUCUAUGUUAACUACGUCUUGUUUCUGGAUUCUUCAGUUUGUAUUAUCCCUUAAUUCUACCUCGUGAAACAUUUAUCUUUCCAUCCCCCCCCCCCACAUCCCCCGGGCCCUUCUUCCUCCUCCGACGACGAAACCUAUAUAGAAAUGUUCUGGAAAUGAAUUUGAUGGUCUACUACUUAAGUCAAUCUAAUGUGGAAGUGUCUUUGGUUGAGAGCAGACUAAUGGCUAUUUUCAUUCGACACGCCUUUAAUGGCAUCCGCAAUGUUGACGGCUCUAAAAAUCAUCUGAGCAUUCAAACUGGUGACUAAUGCUUUCGAGAAGGUUCNNNNNNNNNNNNNNNNNNNNNNNNNNNNNNNNNNNNNNNNNNNNNNNNNNNNNNNNNNNNNNNNNNNNNNNNNNNNNNNNNNNNNNNNNNNNNNNNNNNNCUCCCCAUGUGCGUAUUUCCAGCCUGCGCAAAGAAGGCAGAAGCAGACGGGAAUGAUGACGGAAUGACCAUUGGUGCGAUCUCCCCACGGAAUGAUGACGAUCAGAAAUUCUGAUUUUUGUGUUAUUGUUGAUGUGGUGAACACCAUGGUAACCGGGGAUUAGCUUGUGGACUAAGAGCGUAGGGCCUGGUAAAUUGAUUUUGUGUCCGAGACAUAAUUUGUCUGCGCGAGUUUCAUGCUUGAGACAAAAAGGGAAUGAGCUGCUAAAUCGACCAACGGAUCAUCCGGAGGAUGGGCUGGUACUUCACUGAAAUAGUGUAAUUGUCUCGGGAAUUGCAUGAUUUCCCUAUAUCCACGAAGAGUCUAUACUGAAAAAGUCAUUCACAAGGACCUGAAAACAGGCAGUGUACUUUCUGGGCGCUAUUCUGAAUCUUAAAUAUUUAGACUUCGGAUUGGCAACGGGAACGAAGCAGAAAGGACAAGUACAAAUAAUGAUACUUAGAAAGUCUGCAGCUUGUUCUUAGAAGAUCACUGGUAAACUUUAGGACAGUUUUGAGACAUGACCGUUCGAUAGGGGCUUUUGCUGCCAACAUAUGCCUUGGGUGAUUUAGAGUGAAAUCUGAUGAUUGUGGAUUUGGAUUGCUUUUGUUAGAGAUAGUAGUAAAAAGAAGUAGGAAAUUUAAUUAAAGUCAUCACCGUAACCAUUUUGGACAUUCAAGGAGAUUGUUCUUUCUUCUGGUUUGUUAGUUUCUUUGAUUUUGUUAACCCUUGGGGAUUUAUUUUCAAGCUAUAGCUUCUGGUGCUGAUAUUGAGCUGAAUGGGACGGGAUUAAAUGCGAAUAUAGAAGAAAGAACGGUCGACAGAAAUGUGGAAACUUGGAAUCUGGAAGGGAAAUAACCUUGUUUGUAAUGAAAAAACAGACUAAGCGGUCUUCAUUCAGACAUAGCCUUUAUAUGAAGACAAGGAAUGACAUUGUUCUUUCUUUCUUGGAAAUCAUAGUAAUAAUGAUUCCAAAAUUUGCAUUAUCAAAAGACAAACUUUACGAGCACAUAUGAAGUCAGACAAAUGAGCAAUCUAUACAUUCGCAGCGUUCAAUAUCGUUUGCAACAAAUCCGAUUGUACGAAAGCGCAUCAUGUCACGGACCAAGGAACGUCACGUCAUCAAUCCAAAGGGGCUCAUCAAGACCAUUAGUUUGUAAGGGGAUUUAUUCUUUGCCCUCGGAUUAGUUCGACGGGGAUUGAUGAUCUCAACCAUUAGAUGAGAUCAAUCUCCACCGUUUGACUAAUGUGACGAGGGUCAACAUCCUUCACAAUCAGAUUAAGCACAUUUCUACCAUUGAAUCGAUUAGACGAGAAUUGAUAUCCCUAUCGUUAGAUAAUGUAGAAGACCAACGGUUUGUGAUUAGAGGACUUUUGUAUAAAUAGGGGAGCCCUCUCUCUAUUUGUGUCAUCAACUUCAUUUGAGUAUUACAAGUAUCUCUAGAGCUUCUUUCUCUACUUUCUCUCUCUAGAAAUUCUCUUCAUUGAGUGCGAGUGUGACAUCCAGAUUUUCGGGUUUUAAUUUGACUGGAUAAUUAGGAUCCUGUCUCAUCGCUCGUCAAUUUAUUGACGGGCCCGAAAUUUCAAUAAAGAAAUUAUCGGAAGAAAAUCUGAAGACCAAAAGAAAAUAGAAAGGGAAAGAGAAAAGAAAAGAAAAGAAAAGAAAAGAAAAAUAAUACCAUGUGGUAUUAUAUUAGUAUUUCUUUUCUCUCCCUCUCUCUUCUUUUCUUUCUUUUUCUUUUUCUCUCUUUCUCUCUCUCUUCUCUCCCCUUUUCUUCCGUGCGGACAGCCCCCUCCCCACGCCAACUCUCUCUUUCUCUCUCCCUUUGACCAUUCAACCUUUUCUCUUCUUCUCUCUCCUCUCUCUUCUCCCCCACGUGACCUUCUUCUUCUUCUUCAUUCUUCUUUGUGCGAACCAGACCAAAACCAGCAAAGAAGAGCAGCAGCUCGCCGAGGACCACCGUCGCCCGUCCCGCCGCCGCACCGGAGCCGAACCGCCCGCGACGCCGCCCGCACAACGCCGCGCGUUCCGCCGGCCAUCCCUCGCGCCCAGGCGUGCUCCCCCGCGCGAUCCAGCUGCUGCCCAUCCUCUGUCCAGCUCUGUUCGGCCACGAUCCGGCCACCUCCGGCCACCGUGGGCCACCGCUCGGCCUCGCCAAGCCACCACCCGCUCUCCCGACCUCUUGCCGCCCCCAACCCUCUCUCUUUCUUGCUGUUUUGUGGCCGAACCAGCAAACCCACGGAGUGGGUAUCCAGCUGUUCGUGGGCCAUUUUGGGCCGUUUCCCGGCCCCGAACCCGAGGCCCGCUUUGGGAAGAAUUGUUCCUCGCGCCGCCGCCGUCGGAUUGAUCCGAUUUGCGCGCGAUUUGGUGAGUAAUCUCACUAAUCCUGGAUUAGUUGGCUAAUUAUGCUUAAGGUUGGUUUAGUUUUAAUUAAUUAUGUUUAGGUUGUUAGAUUAGAAUAAAUUAGCAAUUAUUAGUCAAUUGUGAUGUGAUUUAGAUAAAUUGAUUGUGCAAUUAACAAGUAGACGUGGUCUACUAUUUAUUGGAAGUAUCUCGGGAAUUUUCCAACCCCUAAUUGGGCUUCAAUUUGGCAAUUCGGGCCUAAGUGAGAUUUUUGGGUAUUUAAAUAUUAAUUUUCGGAAUUAAAUUAAAUAAUUAUUUAUUUUCCGAAAAUUCAAGGGAGAUGGUUUGUGACCGGAAAAUUAUGCUGGUGACCGUGGUCAAGUCCGUUUAUUUAAUUGGGCUUUAAAUUGAGUUAAAUCGAAUUUUUAAUACUAAUUAUUUAAUUUUCGAAAUUUAUUAAUUAAUUAAUUAUUUUCCGAAAAUUCAACUGGGAUGGCCCGUGACCGGAAAAUUAUGCUGAUGACCGUGGUGAAGUCCGUUUAUUUAAUUGGGCCUUAUUUUGAGCUAAACGGAAUUUUUAAUGUUUAAUAAUUAAUUUUCGAAAUUAAUUAAUAAUUAAUUAUUUUUCGGAAAUUAAGAUUUAGAUGGCCGACGACCGAAAUCUCGUGCUGAUUGUAGUGGUGCAGUCUGUUUAUUUAUUUGAGCUUUGAAUUGUGCCAAAUUAAAUUGAAUGUGGAAUUUAGGAUAUAUUCCUAAAUGGUUGUGGUUAAUUAUUUCAUUGAGAAACCAUUGAAUCUUGCAAGUGGUCGAGUGGGACCGUAAAGCCAUUAAAUAUUGAAUGUUGUCGAGUGGUGGACUGUGUCUUCCACCUUUGCUUAAGAUGUGAUCUGAGGACCGUAGUUCGUAAUUGAUGAUUGAGAUGGAAUAAUCGAAUUUACCUAGAAUGGUCCGUCUGACAUGUAAUCGACUAGAUCGAUUGAUCAUUGCUUUGAUUUGAUGUCGUGAAUUGAUUGACUGAAUGGAAAUGACCGUGAGUGGUCUUAUUGACUUGUAAUUGACUAGGUCGAUUUGAUCGAUGCUUCGAUCGGUGAUAUGAUUGCUUGGGUGCCUAUUAUGAAUUGUACUGACUUGCAGGUGGGAUCUGAUGCUAAGGUACGUCCUCUGCCCUGUGCGUGUUUAGGCAGCCUAUAGUAUAAUGGUUUACUAAUUGGGCUUAGUGGGGUAGAACUCGCUGAGACGUAGUCUCAUCCCAGUUUGGGGAAAAACAUUUCAGGACCCGAUAAGGAGCUGAGGAGGAGAAGUCUGGGAAGGAGAUCUUGGAGGUGAAACUUAAAGAGAAGGAUUUUUGGAAGAAGAAGAUAAUCCCGAGAGGGGCCUUGAGUAUGGCCUGGAUGGGCUGAGAAUCUAUCUUCUUUUGAGAAUUUCUUUUGAAGUGAAUAGUUAAGAAUUGGUUUGUGUUUUGCAUAAAAGUUUGGUUAUAAAUUUCAAUAUGAAAAAUAUGGCCCUGCUUUUCUAUCCCAUCGUUUUAUUGUCUGGGGAUUUUAACUGCUUCCGCAUGUGCUUAAUAAACUAAAGGGUCGGCGAUACUUGUCCUGGGAUAUCGCAUUAUAAAAUCGACCAAGUGAGAAGGAUGUGUGCGUGCCCGAGGAUCGGGGCGUGACAGCGAGAGUGUGAGUGAGAGCAAGGCUUACUUAGACUUGACUAGGCGAUUCAGAACUCUAAGUGCCUUCGCGAUCAAAAGAAUCGUCUUGUGACAAUCGCGCAUUGAAUUCCAAGAAAAUAUAGAAUGGAGUGAUAGUAGGACUUGAUCAAUGACCUCGGAACCAUCUAGGUCAAACUUAAAUUGUAUAUUUUGAUUGCUAAAUCAGAAGAAGGUUGAUGUUAGUCGUAGAAAAAAAAAAUAUGCAGAAAUUCUUGAUCUGACUUUAGUCUCUAGACUAGAAGAGAUUCUAAAAUAGUGACACAUAGCUCGUCUUAAUGUACACGCCACUAUUAAUGGUAAUCUUCUUGAUCUUGUAGGAACCUGAAGAUAGACUUCAUCUUAACCUUCUGCCUUCCCUGAUUUGAAAUAAAAAUGGAUUUAAUUAUGAGGAGCACAAAAGAUUGGUUGAAGUCUUCAAUCAAAUGCGAAAAAUGCCAUUAGCGACAUUCCGCCUUUUCAGCAACUGCUGUGUCGUUAUCGUGAUAAAAUGACGUCAUAUUGCUUGAUGGUGAUAAUUCAUUUUUACUUUUCCUUUUUGGAUUAUUAUUAUGGGAAAUGGAUGUGGAACGUUAACAGACACAAACUCCUCAUCCACUGCUAUCUCCCUUCUUCUCUGAUAUUUUCCCACACUUUCUCGCUCUCUUUCCCUUUUCCUCCCUUCCCUUUUAAGUUCUUCAUCCAUUGUCGACACGCGACUCCAUAGCUGGGUUCUGCACGGCCUGGCAGGAUGUCAACUGUACCAUGGAUCUCUUUGUGUAUGGUUCCCUAUCGUUCCAUUUCUCUUCUGCACAAGAGAUUUAGACCCUGCUUUUGCAUGUGCAUGGCCGAGCGGGCGUGGUGAGGUAGAUAAGGGAAGAAAAAGAAGUACCGUACAGUCAUCCGAGUGCUGACCGAGCCAAGUUGAAAAUAUAGGCUUGCAGGCUUUUGAAUGGGCUCUGGCCUGAGCCAUGAUAGCUUCUGUGAAGCUAGUUGCAAAUUGUUUCACGUAUACAUGUCAGUAUACGUGAAACAAAUAGGUGCUACUUGAAUCGUUCACUUUUUCAUAUUUUACCUGGAUUUCUGAUGUUUUUAACUGCAAAGAAUCACAAAAUAGCGCACACUAAUUUCCAUCUAUUUUGAUCCUUUUUUUCUCCAUGGUUCUAAGAAACCUAUUGUGAGUUGCCACAUUUUUCUUAGGCAAGUGAGUGGACAAACUUAGAUUGAAACAACUAGUCUUCCCCUCCAUUUCAUUAAUUAAUAUCUGUCUUCAAGUCACCAAAAUACAAAUCAUCCUCCUUCCAUUUUAUUUAAAUGUCACUUUGCAUCCUUUAUUUCUAAAUUAUCAAUAUUUUGCACCUCGAGUUAAAGCUAGAGGAGAAAAACUCCUGCUUUGUCCUUGGCUGCCACCCGCUCUCUCGUAAGUUAAGAUAAAGUGCGUUUGAAUAUUAUAAUGGAUUGAUCUCUCGAGGGACCAUAGAAGCUCCAAGCCCAGAGGACGACAAGGCAAAAUUUUUCCUCAAAUAGUGUCACAUGUGUUGCCACAUCAUUAACUAACUAAAUCGUAAUAAGCAUAUGGCUGUGCAAUCUAAUGUUCUUUUCUUCUUCUUUUUUCAUUAUUUAACACGCGAAUGAGAGAGGAAUUAUCGUAAAGAAGGUGAGAGAAUUGAGAAUAGAAUACAAGGUUUGGUUGAGCUACGCAACUAGCCGCCUUCCAAUUGAUCACACCAUCUAUCCUUAUUGUAUAACGCUACUACCAACUCGUCCACACGAAAUUCUUGGAACCAUAAAUUGUUCUGGCAAAAUCGAAUGAGAAACGAUUCCACCUCCUCAAAAUCACUAGGACACAAGCAAUUCCUUUGUUAAUGACCUGUUUAGUCAUUUUCUUGUUUUCGUCCCAGCUAAACCACUACAUAGUGGUAGGUAUGUAAUAUGAACAAUCCUGUUAACUUUUAGGUUCUUCUUUUUAAGAUUUUUUUUUAAUAGUGAAUUUUUACUUUCUUGCUAAAAAUUCAAAUAUUAUAUAAAUCUAAAAAGUUUUGAAAAAGUAUAUUCAAAUCUGGUUAUUACCAGAGAGUACGUCACUCUCUUGUGAGGGAGGAUAAGUCCCUCUUUGAGAGCGAAAUACUCUCUAGUUAUCAGGAGAGAGGAUGUCCCUCUCCGGUCAUUAUGAGAGAGCGACAUACUCUCUCUAGUUAUUAUGGGAGAGGAUGUCCCUCUCUGGUCAUUAUGAGAGGGUGACAUGUCACCUACCAUAUGAUGGAUGAUUUUUAUUGUUUAAUGACCAUGUCGGAUGCCUUACUUGGUGUUGACUGUCGCGACCAAAUUUUUUGGGUGUGAACCACCUAAGGUUUGGCUAAUGGAUUGUUAUGCCUAGGCCUAACUUGGGCUCUCCCAAACAUAUGUCAAUUUGUGACUUAUGUUCAGAUUCUUAACAUGAAGAUAGAUUUUAUUUAAAAGUCGUCACUAAUCUAUUUUUGGUGGGUCGAUUAGAAACCCAAGUAAAGUAACGGGAGUUUUACCUUACUCCUACGAACUAGAGACUAUGGGUACGAAGACUUUGUUACACUAGAUUUCUCUAAUACCCUUUCGCUACCAUUCUUUUAUUUUCAAAAAUAUUUUUGCAAGCAACUUAAAUUGAUUUUAAAUUUAUUUCCCUAACAUGUGAGGUGAUCAUGCGGGUGCGCAAUCCACCAAUUUAACACCUAGAUAAACAAUGAAUAAAUUGCAAAAAAAACUUACCUCAAAGCAACGAAAGCAUCUGCAAUAUUAGAUUAGAAUCCACAUCAACAACUCUAAAUAUGAUUUCUAAUUAACACGCAAUUUCUUUUUUUGUUUUUACUUAAUGAGAAUCAUGCAAUAUACAAUGCAAUAUAACUAAAUGACCUAAUUCUAAUGACAUGCAAUUUCUAAUUAAAUUGACCUAAUAACAAUCUUUAAAUGACGUUCAUUUCAUGAAUCUAAUCCUAAUGACAUGCAUAUGAUAUUUUUUCUUUUUUUCUUAAAGAAUGCAAUUCAUCAUAUGAAAUAAAACUAAUUUAUUCUAAGACAUUUUUUGUUUUUUUUAAAGAAAUUCUGAAUUAGAUAAAAUGUGAAAAUUAUCUAGCUAGAUUAAGAUCCUAUUCAAUUUGUAUUAGGAAUUAGGCUAAGCCAAAUCCUAAUUUAAACUAAAAUAUUAUCUCAACCCAAAUAAUUAUAAGGUGCAAUCUAUUUAAGAAAAUACCUAAACUUAUAAUAAAUUAAGAAAAAUAUUAUCUAGAAUUAAACUAAGUGCAAUUUUACCCUAAUAUGCAAUGACAUACAAAAAGAUGCCCUAACUCUACAUGACAUAUGCAUGAUGAUUUUUUUUUUUUUUUGUUUUUUUGUUUAUUAAUUUCGAAAUUAAUAAUUGCCAAAUAAUUAAACAAUGCAAUCCAAGUAAAAAAAAUAGCAACCUAAAUUAAUUGAUUUGAUUUUGAUUUUGAUUUUGAUUUUGAUUUUAAAUAAAAUUCAGAAUAAAAUUUCUACUCCAAACAUGCAAACCCUAAAAUAAGAAAUAAACCUAAUUCUAGCCUACGUUUUUUAUUUUUUUUUAUUUUAAAGAAAUUUAAAGAAAUUUAACUUAAGUGACACGACAGCAAAUCAGAGCAAGAUGAUAUCCAAAUUGACGAAUCAUAUCUCGUGCAUGAGAUCGGGUUAGCUAAUUUUACAUAAAAUUGCGAAUCGAAUCUCAGACGGGAAAUCGGAUUAGUAAUUUUUUAAAGUGAUUGCGAGUCGAAUUUCGGGUGCGAAAAUCGGACUAACAAUCACAAAUUUCACAGGCUAUUUCUUGGUGGAUAAUUCAUCAUUGCAUCAAGGAAUAAUUAUACUAAAAAAGAGCAAAUAAAAUAAAAUAACAAAAAUAACAGAAAUAAAAUGAGAUAAAUAAGUAAAAGAAAAACUACCUAAUUUUUCUUUUGUUUUCUUUUUUUCUUUUUUUUUUUCCUUCCAAGCAAAGCAGCAACGUGAUGGUCGCCCCGGUGAGGGGAGUUUCACCGUCGAUCGCCGGUCGUCGGAGCUCCGGCAAGGAGGACCAGCAGCGAGCGGUGGCGUCGCGAGGAGCAGCGGCAGGCGGCCUCGCUUAGGCUGAGGCAGAGAGCGGAGCGCCUCGGCUCGAGCUCGGGCAAAGGCGUCGGAUCGCUGGCAAGUCGCUGACCGGAGUAGCACCGGCCGAGAUCUGCNNNNNNNNNNNNNNNNNNNNNNNNNNNNNNNNNNNNNNNNNNNNNNNNNNNNNNNNNNNNNNNNNNNNNNNNNNNNNNNNNNNNNNNNNNNNNNNNNNNNNNNNNNNNNNNNNNNNNNNNNNNNNNNNNNNNNNNNNNNNNNNNNNNNNNNNNNNNNNNNNNNNNNNNNNNNNNNNNNNNNNNNNNNNNNNNNNNNNNNNNNNNNNNNNNNNNNNNNNNNNNNNNNNNNNNNNNNNNNNNNNNNNNNNNNNNNNNNNNNNNNNNNNNNNNNNNNNNNNNNNNNNNNNNNNNNNNNNNNNNNNNNNNNNNNNNNNNNNNNNNNNNNNNNNNNNNNNNNNNNNNNNNNNNNNNNNNNNNNNNNNNNNNNNNNNNNNNNNNNNNNNNNNNNNNNNNNNNNNNNNNNNNNNNNNNNNNNNNNNNNNNNNNNNNNNNNNNNNNNNNNNNNNNNNNNNNNNNNNNNNNNNNNNNNNNNNNNNNNNNNNNNNNNNNNNNNNNNNNNNNNNNNNNNNNNNNNNNNNNNNNNNNNNNNNNNNNNNNNNNNNNNNNNNNNNNNNNNNNNNNNNNNNNNNNNNNNNNNNNNNNNNNNNNNNNNNNNNNNNNNNNNNNNNNNNNNNNNNNNNNNNNNNNNNNNNNNNNNNNNNNNNNNNNNNNNNNNNNNNNNNNNNNNNNNNNNNNNNNNNNNNNNNNNNNNNNNNNNNNNNNNNNNNNNNNNNNNNNNNNNNNNNNNNNNNNNNNNNNNNNNNNNNNNNNNNNNNNNNNNNNNNNNNNNNNNNNNNNNNNNNNNNNNNNNNNNNNNNNNNNNNNNNNNNNNNNNNNNNNNNNNNNNNNNNNNNNNNNNNNNNNNNNNNNNNNNNNNNNNNNNNNNNNNNNNNNNNNNNNNNNNNNNNNNNNNNNNNNNNNNNNNNNNNNNNNNNNNNNNNNNNNNNNNNNNNNNNNNNNNNNNNNNNNNNNNNNNNNNNNNNNNNNNNNNNNNNNNNNNNNNNNNNNNNNNNNNNNNNNNNNNNNNNNNNNNNNNNNNNNNNNNNNNNNNNNNNNNNNNNNNNNNNNNNNNNNNNNNNNNNNNNNNNNNNNNNNNNNNNNNNNNNNNNNNNNNNNNNNNNNNNNNNNNNNNNNNNNNNNNNNNNNNNNNNNNNNNNNNNNNNNNNNNNNNNNNNNNNNNNNNNNNNNNNNNNNNNNNNNNNNNNNNNNNNNNNNNNNNNNNNNNNNNNNNNNNNNNNNNNNNNNNNNNNNNNNNNNNNNNNNNNNNNNNNNNNNNNNNNNNNNNNNNNNNNNNNNNNNNNNNNNNNNNNNNNNNNNNNNNNNNNNNNNNNNNNNNNNNNNNNNNNNNNNNNNNNNNNNNNNNNNNNNNNNNNNNNNNNNNNNNNNNNNNNNNNNNNNNNNNNNNNNNNNNNNNNNNNNNNNNNNNNNNNNNNNNNNNNNNNNNNNNNNNNNNNNNNNNNNNNNNNNNNNNNNNNNNNNNNNNNNNNNNNNNNNNNNNNNNNNNNNNNNNNNNNNNNNNNNNNNNNNNNNNNNNNNNNNNNNNNNNNNNNNNNNNNNNNNNNNNNNNNNNNNNNNNNNNNNNNNNNNNNNNNNNNNNNNNNNNNNNNNNNNNNNNNNNNNNNNNNNNNNNNNNNNNNNNNNNNNNNNNNNNNNNNNNNNNNNNNNNNNNNNNNNNNNNNNNNNNNNNNNNNNNNNNNNNNNNNNNNNNNNNNNNNNNNNNNNNNNNNNNNNNNNNNNNNNNNNNNNNNNNNNNNNNNNNNNNNNNNNNNNNNNNNNNNNNNNNNNNNNNNNNNNNNNNNNNNNNNNNNNNNNNNNNNNNNNNNNNNNNNNNNNNNNNNNNNNNNNNNNNNNNNNNNNNNNNNNNNNNNNNNNNNNNNNNNNNNNNNNNNNNNNNUAUAGCACGAGCACAAGCGCCGGAGAGAGCGAAGACGAGGGAACCUGAAAUUUUGAAUUUACAGAAGGAAGGGAGAGGAGAGGCGUGAAGAAAGGAGAGGUCUGCAGAGGGAAAGUACCGUCGGGGAGAGAGAGAGGUAGAGAAGAGAGAGGAGGGAGACGGUCCGCAGAGGAGAGCAGAGGGAGAAAAUAUUGGGUACGUUUUAUGCUCCAGCGUGUCAAACAAGAAGGUGCUCGAAGGACGACACGUGUCCUCGUGUCAGGCGCCAUUUUGAAAAAUUUUCGGACGGGAGACUGAGGGUUUUUCUUUCUUCGCGCCUCUCUCACCUCUGCAGAUCGUCUGUCUCCCCGUUCUCCUCUCUCUCCUCUCUGUCUCUCUCCCCUCCGCCUCCGCUGGUUGCUUCCAUCGCCCCCCACGCCGACGCCGAUGCCGACGCCGAAGUCGUGCCUCUCUUCCAGCGAAACGCGACGCCAACGGCCCUCCACCUCCGCCACCGCCGGUUGCCUCCGUCACCCUCGACUCCGACGCCGACGCAACCUCCGCCUCCUCCCCUGAACCCUCUCUGAUGCCGACGCCCCUCCGCCUACGCGCCCGACGCCAACGCGUCGAACCACGACGGCGAAAAUGGAGGAGAGAGAAACGACGAGCUUGACGGCGCCGGCGACGGCGACGAAGCAGUAGACGGAGACGAAGAAGCAGAAGCGCGCGCGCUCGGGGUUCUGGACAUGGCUCGUCGCGUCGGUUGCGUUCCGGCUCGCCCUCGUCUACCUCCCCGGGAACCUCCGCCUAUCCACCCGCCCCGAGGUCGCCACCCCUCUCACCAGCAUUCGCCGCCGUAACGCCGCCUCUCUUCGCUCCGUCUAUCGAUUCCCGAUCCCCGCUCCCCCGCCCCCUCCUCCCUUGAAAUCUUGGAGGUUCAUUUUCUGAUACGAUUUCUGGUUUUUCUUGUUUGUGCCGCCUGAAGUUGGCAAAGGCUGGUUGAAGCAGUAAGCGAUGUCUCCCUACGCAGGUUCGGCUCCGUUCGAUCUCUGUAGAAGAAGCUGGUUGUUUGCUUACUGGUGUGUUGCUGUUCCAUGCUUUGAUCCCUCCCAUCUUCAAUUUUCUUCCCCCCUCCCUCGAAAUCUCAUUUUUUCAGCAUUUUCACUUUGGAAAAAUCUGGGUGAGGAAGUAGAUUUUUUGGGAGAUGAUUGAUUAGUUUGGCAUGUUUUCCGGGUUUUGAAUUUUUUUUGACUGAGGUGAGCCUGUUUGGGAGAAGAUUAUCAUGCGUAAUGGGGUCUGGUGGUGUGAUUACUUUGAACGGAGGAAGCACUUGAGUUAUGGUUUUUUGACUGCUUCAACCUUUUUUCCUCCGAGAAAUUAGGAUGAUCUGAUCUAUUCUGAAUCUGGGUCGCCAUUCACGGCAAGCCUGAAUGGUGAAACGAACUCCUCUACCUAUUUAUGUGAUAGGACUGAGGAUCAUAUCUGAGGAUCAUAUCUGAUUAUAGCUUUCUAAAAAAAGGAAAAAAUACUUGCAUGCUAUCCAGUUUCUCUAAGGGAUUAAAGCAACCUGCCAUGUAUGUGAAUCGUUGAAGCAGUGAAUGGACCUUGGAGAUUAUUCGUUCGAAUGAUCAUUAUUGUUUUUCUUAAUUAUAGAGACCUUGGAGAUUAUUCGUUCGAAUGAUCAUUAUUGUUUUUCUUAAUUAUAGAGACCUUGGAGAUUAUUCGUUCGAAUGAUCAUUAUUGUUUUUCUUAAUUAUAGAGAGAGGUACUCAUAUUGCUUUUUCUUGGAAUCAGAAUUGCUACUGCUUUAGGGCAUCUUAACUUCUUUCAGAUCCAGGUUAUGAUGCUGUUGGUUUCAUCGUUGAUUGUGAACAUUCUUAUCGUCGCACUGUGCAGCUUAUUCAAUAUAGCUAUUUCUUCAUUUGUCUAAUAUAAGAAAGAGCUCCUCAGUAUUCUAGAUGAUGUUUUAACAUAUACACCGUGUGGUCUAAGAAAAUAAGAAGUUGUUCUGCUUAUAAUUGUUAUCUUGGCAAGUUUCAUUGUGCACCUUAUUUAGUCCAUAUUCCCAUAUUUAUGUUUCGUGUGGAGACUGAAGUGAGGUGGAGAUUUUGUGCAUUCAACAAUCUGUUUCUUGUUCCAACAGGAAAGGGGUCAGCCAUUGCCAAAGUUUGGUGAAUGGGAUGUGAAUGAACCAGCUUCAGCAGAGGGGUUUACUGUCAUCUUUAACAAGGCAAGGUAUGAAAAAAAGACGGGUGGCAAGCCCAAAUCUCCAGCAAAGGCCAACCCUUAAGUCAAACACUCUGUUGAUCCGAGCAAACCUCCAACGGUAAGUUGUUUCUUAGGAGCCUGGGAACAAACUGUUUUAUUUAUGUAGGAUGCAUUAAUUAUUGCAGUCAUUUGUUCUACGGUAAUCUAUUAAGGUUCCAGUUAUGUAGUAGUUAAUCUGUCUAAUAAUUAAAUUUAAAAUUUCUUAUAUGCUAUGCUAGUCUUGAUGAAAAUGGAGAAAUGGGAAAUAGAACUCUCAAACUUGCAGAUAGGGUAAAAGAAAUUGAUUUGACAGUGUCAUAAAAACUAAGCAGGUUGGGCACUACUUGCUCGUUAGUAUUUGAAUCAUUCAAAAUGACCAUCCGAAAGAUGCUAUUAUCCUUUAUAGUGCGAGCAGGAAUUGAAUUUGAGUUGGACGCAAUUGUCUGUGAACAAGUCAGCUGCUGUAGAUUUUAUUUAUUUAUAUAUUUUGUUUUCAUUCUCCCAACCUUUGCUGCUUCGCUCUCUUACCGUGAAUUCUUUGUUGCACGCAAAAGAAAUGGUUUUGCUGCAUUCAGAGCCCAGCAGAAUCUUGACUAGGUUCUCUGGCGAGGAGCUUCCAAAAGAGAUGCGCGUUGUUAGGCUAAAGCAGCCCCAGAAUGUUCACUUGAAGAAGAUACAAACAGUUUAGAGCCAUUGUUAUUGUCGCAGGAAUAGCUCGUGGUGUAAAUGUGGGGUUUGUGGAGAUGAGUAAAAUAAUGACGCGUCAUGCUUACUAUAAUCUAUCAGCAGUAUGCUUCUCUCUGUCUCUGCCUAUGUCUCUCUUUCUCUCUUCCUCUGCUUAAUUCUAUUGUUAAUUUAUUAAUUGUCUGCUUUCUGUAGUUGUGAAUUGGAUCUGUCUGAAAUGUCUACGCCUACUUUCAAUCUGGUUUAAUUUAUUGUUAUCCAUCGUUGUUGAAGACAUUAUAGAUACGAGCUUGUGACCCUUUCCUCUGUCAUCAAUCACGCUAACGGAUGUUUCUGGUUGGGGGAACAGCGUGAGUCAUAGCCAUAUGCGUUUGUCAUUUCUCUUUCAUAGGAAUUAAGGUGUCAACUCCCUUAGACAUGGGAAAGGUCAUCUCCACGAAUCUUCUGCGUAGGGAUUGUUCAAAUGGCAAUUUCGAAUAUUGGUAAUCCUGAUCUCAUAAGGAGAAAGGCACAAUCUUGCCCUUCUUCUUUGUUUUAGGAAAGGUUAGUCUUAUAUCAACAAUGGAAGUAACAAAAAUGUCUCUGAUGUCGUGCGUUCCUCAAAGAACAUGAGUUCGCAAAAUUUCGUGCAUGUGAAACGACGAUUGCGGUCAUGAACCAGCUUUAUCUAUGGCCUCUUUUUCCAUAGAUCAUUGAUGUAGUCAAUUAACUCCACACAUUCAUACAUCAUUGAUGUAGUCCAUAAAAUUCCACAAAUUGGUAAGAUCAAUCGACGUUCUGCUUUUUUCCUCUUCCUUUUUCCCACGACUUAUGUGAAUGACAUGGCUCUAAUAUCCCCCUACUAAUGGUGCGGAAGCUACUUCUGUUACACAAUCACCGCCAAAGACCUCAAGAAUGAGACCAAGGUUCCAAUCCCAGUAAAUGCAAUUCCAAAACUGUCGAGCUAUGGCUGUCCUACUUACCAAACAACAAAAUAAAACAAAGCUCUCUUCCUCACAUCUUUUCCUUCUCUUUGCUUCAAUUUGAUUUGAGCUUCACUCUAGUUAGGAAGAAGUUGUAAUUGCCAUGAACUUAACGAUGGAACCUAGUAGAAUGCCCAAUUUUUCUUCAUGGCCAGACGCAUUCUGUUUUUUCACCUCAAGGUCAUCUAUCAUAUGACCUUUUCACAAAGUAAACAGUUUCCUUGUCUACACAUGUCUCUAUGGAUAUUUAAAGAAAGAACCGAAGACUGGCGUUGGUAACAAAAAUCUCUAAUUACUUUAGCGUCAUCUGACAGUAUCAAUGUUAAACUCGAGAGAAACCAAGCUUCCUCUCAAAAAGGCGGCCGAGCAGGUAAACUUGGAGAACACUCGCCCCAAUAAGUGCUGUUGACUCGAAGAAAGCCUUAUGGACUGCCCUUCUGCUCAUUGCGUCGUUCACUGCGAUCACAAAUCAUCAUAGAAUGAGUAUUCAUUGAACCCAAUAUCUAUGUAUCGUCUGUUAGUGAACACAAUAUUUAAUUAGCAAGGUCAUCCCCAUUCCAUUUCGUGUGGCGAUCAGACACACUUCAAAACAUCUAGCAGAUAACACAAGUAAACAAAACCCAUGACCAUUUGAAACCCAGUACACCAAGCACGCAUCUUCUUUUUUGUUGCCUGCUUUGUUUUCUAAGUCCGCCUUUUCAGCUGCUGCCAAGUUAGGAAGGUUUUACUAUUUUCAGGAUCAUAAACAAUAUAACCGAUUAGUUACGUCAAUCAGAUGGAUAAAAGGAGCUUGUCAAAGGCUCUAGAAAUAGCUUUUAACUUGUCUUGUGAGACAUCUACUUCUGAAGGUCUUUUAAGAACAGAGGUUGUGAGAACCUUUGAGAUUUAGGAGAUAACAGGAGUCAAAGCAAGCUAUAGUGGUCCACUCAGCAUUGAAUAGGAAAGUUAUUUCCAUCAGAGAUGAAACAGGGUUGGAAUCCACCGCGAUAAUUAGCAAGAGGACUUGACAUAAAAUAUCUUACCAAUUGCUUGACGUUCAGUCUCAGCCUCCAGCCAAUGCUGCUCAAACUGAAUGUUGUAGAGAGCCUCCUCCAGCUUCCCUAUAUGUUCCAACAAGGGGUUGAAAUGCUCUGCAGAUACAUUCACAGCAGAUAAAAAAGAGACGCAGUAUAUUCUGUAAAGUUCGUCAGUACAAGAGACAAGAAAACAGAAAAAAGGCAGAGUCCUACCUUCCUUUGCAUGCUGAUCAUAGAAUGUAAAAUGGCCAACGUGUACAUCAAAGUCGAUGGUUUCAUGAUAAUGAGACUUGUUAGUAAAGCAGAACCGAUGAACACCCUUAUGGUGAGCCACAAACUCAAAUUUCUCACUGAUCUUGUCGUGAAAAUCUUGAAUCUGUUCACCAGAAGGUCCUUUCAUCUGACAAUUUCAAAAGUUGCAAAAUACGUACAGUUAUCUAGGUCAUUAUAUAGGAUUAAAGAUCAAUAAGAGAACUAUUGGCAGAAUCAAAGAAUGUAAUAAUCAAUAUAUGAUAUCAAUCUUAAUCAUGUCCCGACAAACAUGAAAAAGGAAAACCAAAUAUGCAUAUGCGAGAUCUAGUCGAGCCAUCUAGGCUGCCAAAGGUUAACAAAAUUCAAUGAAGAAUUUCCUUUAGGAAGAUAAUCAGCAUCCUUUACAAAAAGAAAUACAUGUGAGUACAGUAAUUCCUUUAGGUUAACGAGAUUUCGUGAUACAUGGAAUCUGUGGAAGGGAUCAAAGCAUGGAACAGCGACUAAGCAAACAAGCAGCUUCCUUCCUACAGAGAUCGAACGGAGCCGAACCUGCGUAGGGAGACAUCGCUUACUGCUUCAACCAGCCUUUGCCAACUGCAGGCGGCACAAACAAGAAAAACCAGAAAUCGUAUCAGAAAAUGAACCUCCAAGAUUUCAAGGGAGGAGGGGGCGGGGGAGCGGGGAUCGGGAAUCGAUCGACGGAGCGAAGAGAGGCGGCGUUACGGCGGCGAAUGCUGGUGAGAGAGGUGGCGACCUCGGGGCGGGUGGAUAGGCGGAGGUUCCCGGGGAGGUAGACGAGGGCGAGCCAGAACGCGACCGACGCGACGAGCCAUGUCCAAAACCCUGAGCGCGUGCGCUUCUGCUUCGUCGCCGUCGCCGGCGCCGUCGAGCUCGUCGUUUCUCUCUCCUCCAUUUUCGCCGUCGUGGUUCGAUGCGUUGGCGUCGGGCGCGUAGGCGGAGGCGGAGGAGUCGGGGGCGACGGACUCCGACGCCGACAGAGGCAACCGGCGGAGGGGCGUCAGCGUCAGAGUAGGGUUCAGGGGAGGAGGCGGAGGCUGCGUCGGCGUCGGAGUCGAGGGCGACGGAGGCAACCGGCGGAGGCGGAGGUGGAAGGCCGUCGGCGUCGCGUUUCGCUGGAAGAGAGGCACGACUUUGGCAUCGGCGUGGGGGGCGAUGGAAGCAACCAGCGGAGGCGGAGGGGAGAGAGAUAGAGAGGAGAGAGAGGAGAACAGGGAGAGAGACGAUCUGUAGAGGUGAGAGAGGCGCGAAGAAAGAAAAACCCUCGUCUCCCGUCCGAAAAUUUUUCAAAAUGGCGCCUGACACGAGAACACGUGUCAUCCUCCGAGCGCCUUCUUGUUUGACACGCUGGAGCAUAAGACGUACCCAAUAUCUUCUCAGAGCAGAAGAGAGAGAGCGUCAGAGCGUGUCUGCAGAUAGGUGGGCCAGGUCUACAGGAGAGAGAGCACAGGAGUGAGAAGAGCAAAUUUCGAACCGCUGACACCAUUUACACGUGGCUCCACGUGUCGAGUUUUGAAUGGUUUUACAUUUCACCUACGUGGAGUGUAAAACCCACAUAAUAUUUUCCCCAGAAAUUGUAUCUUCGCGAUAUAUUUUAUAUUUUAUUUUUUGCUUGCUCAUGAUACCCCUAAAUAUGUCGUUGAAAUACACGCUCCGCACAAUAUUCCCUUUUGUAUUUCUCGCAUAUUUUAUCCAGAAAAAUUCCCUCUUUGCACAAAAUACACCCCUCAGUGUAUAUUACCUAAAAAUAUGAAAAAUUUGAACGGAAUAUGUGAAAAAUCUUCUCUUCACCGGUGGCCUAAAAUAAAACAAAAUAAAAAUAAAAUGUUUCUAAACUAUAUGCCAUAUGUGUUUUAUAUAUAUUUGAAGAAAGCAACCAGCAAGAGCAAAUAAAAGAAACUAUUGUCCGUCACAGGUGUCAUAUACAAAACAAAUCUUAUUCUCAAACCCACAUUUUGGUGCCACUUUUUGUCCCCAUAAUGGGGGAAAUAUUGGAUGCCCGAGUUGUGCCCCUCAUCUAUGCUAGGUCAUCCACACUAGUUUACUUGGAAAAAGUAUCAAAAAUGUUAUAUAUCUAUUGUAUUUGUAUUAAUUUAAUCUUAAAUUUUUUUCAAUUUGACCAAUUUCGUCCUAAACAUUUCCACGUUAGUACUAAUUCAAUUUUAAUUUAGGUGACUGUCCAUCCCUCCUAUUUUUUUUUUUUUUUGGUCAGACAUCCCUCCUAGUUGACAUGGUGACAUUUUUAAUAAUUUUUUAAAUAUUUUUCUUCCUUGCCAUUUUUUUCCCUUUUCUUUAUGCCGCUUGCCCAAGCGAGGCCAACCCUUGCCAACCAUGGCCGAUGACUCGUCUGUAAAAAGAAAAGGGAAAGAAAACAUAAAGGAAGAAAAGGAAAGAAAUUCUAUCUAAAACCACGUGCGGAGUAUAGAAAAAAUUUCUAUUUCUAUACUCGCGAUGGCAGCAUGCUUUUAAUAGGUGUUAUAUUUCAAAUAAACCAAUGACCAUGACAUUCAAUUAACAAAAGGUAAAUGGCCAAUUUAGACAAUGCUUUUAAUCGUUCACUAUGCAAUUUUCUAAAAUCUUGGAAGCUACCCAAUACGGUCUUAAGCUUUGAAUUUCAGGGACUAAUAAUCCUCGGGCUAAAUAAUAAUCCAAAAACAUCACUGAAAAUUUCUUAAUCAUCUCCAUUAUAAUGGAUUCCUCCAUAGUAUAUUGGCAUUGGUACCCACUGGUAGGAAGUCCCCGAAUGGGGAUACCCUAGAUUGGGUUGCAAUGGAAAAAAUUGCCCCAUUGCGGGCUGAUCAGUCCGACCUAUGAUGUUAUGCGCUUGAUCUUGUGCUUCUGAGGUCGCUGCAUCCAUAGGCAAUUGAGGUUGAUUGUCAGCCAUGACGAUAUGGAGAUCUCCCUCUUUUCUUUUUCCUUCGUCUGUUUCAAUGUGAUUUCCUCAAGGUGUUGAUUCUUGCGUUGGAGUGCUAAUGCGUUUUGCGUUGGGUCAGUUACGAUAUCUACUAUCUCUUCUUUUGAGCAGAUCUCCAUCAGGCACCAUGGCCUAGCUACCAAAGCUGUAAUUGGCCUAUAACCCUGGAAAUAUCAAGCUCAUCACAAUGGCUGACAAGCAAAAUUAACCACAAAUAGCAAUGAGCUUCAUUAAGCACAUAGCUAAAAACCAUCAAAUAGAUCUCAACAUUCAUCGGUCAAUCUCCAAUUUUGGACCAGAACAUCAAUUUACACUUACACGUUGAUUAUUUUAGUUUAUGUAUACUUUACAUCUAAGGAAGAACAAAGCUUGGCUCCUACAAAAAGUUUUUUCCUCUUUUGUGCAUAGGAAAAUAACAUAGAACCAAUCAUUAUGUUUCCUGGAAAAUUGAAGAAAUCCUACUUGAUGCUCCUGAUUACCAAAUGGAUCUGCUUGCUGUAACCAUAAGUGGAUACACAAUAGUAAAACUGAGAAAGAGUAGGAAGCAACCAGAAAGGUAAUGACCAACUUGAUUCAUAAUUCCUAUAACAAAAUCAUCUAUUUCCAGUCCUCCCCUCUUUCUCUUCAGCUAAAGAAGCAAGCGUAGAACACACUGCCCGAGGAUAAGAUUCUGAAGGAGGAUCUGCCACAUACUCAGAACUCUGAAUGGUUUUAUAGAUAAAAUCCAAGGUUGGUUGAUGCAUGUUAUACACGAAGGAAAAUACAUAUUGUGCCCAAAUCCAAAGCAGAGCAAGUUCCACAUUUGUCCAGAGUAAUAUUUUAUAAAAAUGAGAGAGAUCUGUAAAUGACACACCGCUAAACGAGUUUCUGCCUCCUGCUGAAGAACUGAUAGGAAAAGGCCCUGCGAAUCAUGGCACAAGCUCAGCAAUUGGAAGGGAAAAGAAAAAGGAGCUAAAACACCCAAUUAAGGAGUUGCUAAACAAGCAUUCAACAGUUUCUACAUAUUGUCUUCAAGGCUGUUGCUUAAUGACUUAUAUCCAUCACACAUUCAUCUCGCAGGUCAGGAGAUGUAUCGUUUCUAUUCAGUGCGUGAAUGCAACAGCUAGUUAGUCAUGCUCCCUAGAUUUUGCUCUGAAAUAGACAUAAAAGCACUAAAGGAAGAGAUUCCACAGAAGAAAAUAAACUAACAGACAGACAAGAUGAGAAACUCUAAGCAGGUCAGUCUCGUGAGUUCAUUAUGAGAUCAUAGACCUUCAUGUCAGUAUAGAUUACGAGUAUACUCAAGGUCGCAAUGAGUCAAUGACCCAAAGGAACUGCUGUUGAUGACUAUAGAAUUUUCUCCCAAAUAUGGGACCUGCCAACCUGCUCAUGAGCUUUAAUAUGGAUUUCGCAAACUCUGCACCUAAAAUAAGCUGAAGGCAAUUUUGAGACCUCUUGUUAAUCUAGGUUGUCCUUAAUUUCGUCAAUUGCUAUAUCACCAUUUUGCUUCUUUGUUCCCUUCUCUGAAAUAUCAGGCACAUUCCACUAUCACAAAUGAUCAAUUAAGUUUCAUUUCAUAUCACUAGCUUUUCUAGACAAUUCAUAUUUAAAAUCUCCAUUUUGCUCUUGAACCUCAUCAACCAAAGAACAGAUUACAAAGAUGAGCCACUACCAUAAGCUAACACACUAAAAGCGGACAAAAGAACUCGACUUACCGAUGGUAUCAGCUUUGGACUCCUGGAUGCAGCCUCAUAUAUCAAGAGUCUAGGGGUUUCUUCUGCAGAACCAUUCAGUAUUACGCUAUUAUCUGACCGAGCAUCUCCAGCCAAAUUUCCCAGUGCAUGCAAUGCAGCCUGAGCAAUUUAAUAUCAUAUCAUAAAUAAACUACCACAGGAGAUACAAGUAAAAUCUUUGACCUCGGCUUACUGUUUGUCAUGGAGUAAGCCAUAAAUCAAGACAUUUACAGUACAAAGAUUUGACAAGUUACAAACUCUCAAGAAGCUAACCACAGUUUGCACUAUUCUGGUGAAAGCAUGAAAGCAUGUACAUUUAUGUGUGAUGAGAGAAACUGCCUUAGAUAAUGAGUAAUCAUAACAUAGCACAUGUGAAAAUGGAGUCAACAUAACUUCGUGAGAUUGUGGCAAGAAUGGCGAAAAUGAUAACAGUAGAAAAAUCUAGGCAUAGCACAUAUCCAGGGGAAAACAUCCAUUGAAUAGGUCACUCAAAUUAGACAGUACUGAAGAACCAGUGAAACUCUAACGUAAUUAAAAUAUCGUUUCUAAAAGUCCUCUUACUUCUUCUAUAAAAGGGACAUGCUUUAACUUAUGCAGUAUCUAACUCAUGUUCUUUUCACUUUGUCUCUCAUCUUCGAUGUCAUCACCUUCUCAAAUCACAAGGACUGACUCCAUCUCAUGCUAUAUAAAAGAUCAUUAAUUUUUAAGAUAUUCACUCUAAUUGGAUCCCCUUAAUUUGAUAAUUGAUCAUGACAAAAAAGAGAAAGAGUUGCAUGGACAAAAGUGUCAUAUAUCUGCUCACCAGCUGUUUACCACGUCCUUGUCUGUCAAAGGCAGCAUACACUACAUGUCUUGCAACGGGAUAUGUGCUCGACAACAAUAACUCAGCUCCCUGAGUUGCUGACAGCCAAAAUAAAAGACAGAGAGAGAAGAGAAAAUCUUAGUUUCCAUGGCCGAGGGUACAAAUUGAAAAAUAAAUAAAAAAAGGAUCGCUACUGCAGCAAGAUUGGAGAUGGAAAAAGAAGUACACUAAUCUGUUAAACCAGCAUGGAAUGAGUAAGCUAGGCAUCUUCUAGCAGGGAACAUGCAGGCAAUCUAUAUUUUCUCUCUUUAUGGGUGAUCGCAGUUCCCGAGUAGAACUAGAAACAAGAGAACCGAACCAAAGGGUUCGGUUCGGUUCCCGGUUCUCUUUUUCUGGGAAUCGACAAUUCUCAGUUUCGGAACUGGCCCCUUUAGAACUGGUUAGGGUUCCUAAAAAUCCCCAAAUCAAUUUUUAUUGUUUAGUGUUUAUCCUCAGUAGUCAAUUUGGUUCUCCUCUCUUGUUCUUUGCCUCUACCCCCUCCCUAACGCCGCUCGCCCUCAAUGCUGUAGCCGGACGCCACUUGCCCUCGAUGCCGUUGUUAGAAGCUACUUGUCUCACCGUUGAAUGCCAAUCUCGCCCUGCCUUGCCUCCCUCGAUGUCGUCACCCCCCGCUCGCCCUACAACUCAGUCGCUAGACGCCACUCACCCUUAACGCCGCCGCUGGACGUUGCUCAUCCCCUUGGUGGAUGCCGUUCGCCACUCACCCAGUCGCCCCCAAAACCGCUCGUCGCUUGCCCAACCACCCCCGACGCUGCUCACCCAAUCGCCCCCAACACCUCUCGUCCAAUCGCCUCCGACACCGCUCGCCACUCGCCCAGCUGCCCCCGACGCUGCUCGCAGCUCACCGCUUGCCUUUCGUGCCAGUGAUCUCUGCGGGCCCCUCUCUUCGUCAUUUUGCGAAGUAUCGCAAAACUGAGCAAAGCCCUUUGCUAUCCUGCAGAUUUCAGUUCUCCUAUAGUGUCAUUUUUUUUUUUUUUUGUGCAGCCUAUGCAUUUUAUUCGGAAGAGAGGAAUGUAACGGUGGGUAUGUUUAGGGGACCAUUUACUGCAUUCAAUUAGGUCAAAAAGUUUGGACAACGUAGAAAUUGAAAUUGAGUUGAGACAAUUCAUUUGCUUAACACAUAGUUGGCUUCUGUUGCAGUUCAUGAUAUGCUAUGGCUUUUUGUUGAUUUACUUUCUCGGAACCAUUGUCUCUUGGCGCAUCUUGGCUCUGAUCGACAGUGUCUCAAUUCCCUCCUUUUAUGUUAUGUGGUGAAUGAGUUGGAAAGUAUAGAAAAGUCAUUCUUGGUGAUUUCAUCUUUAGGUUUCAUUCCCUGUGUCAUACAAAUUUUGGGUUUGUUCUUUGUUCCAGAGUCUCCUAGAUGGCUGGUAAGUUAUUAGUGGAGUAGAGGCAUAGGCAUUAACAUUUCAGUGGCAAUCCACUUUGACACGCAAUCGAAUUGGUGCAGAUUGCCAUUCUAAGUAUAUGCUAGUUGUGUAUAAUCAUAGAACUCAAUGACGAAGCCAAGAUUAUGAACUUUUCAUUGUAAGAAUAGCAAAAAGUCAUUCGCAGUUAAAAGUCCACCGAGAGAAGGAGUUUGAAGUCACAUUAUAGAGACUCAGAGGCAAAAGUGUCAAUAUUACUCAGGAAGCAGCCAAUAUUAAAGUAAUAUCUCAAUCUCGCUUGUCUUUUAGAUAAUUUGGAAUUGUCUGAUUUUUAAUACUAAGGUAUCUCAUUUCUGUCAUGCCCUGAACCUUGAGCGUGUGCACAUCUCUCUUCGGUCGAUACAAAUAUGACGUUCCCAAGACGCGUUGCCGACCCAUUCAUUUUUAAUGCACAUGCGGAAGCGUAUAAAUAACCCCUAAUAACAAACAACAUGGGAUAGGAAAGCAUAACACAUUUCACAAAAGACAACUUUUAUAAACAAUGGGUUUAGAUACAAAAUGAGUCUGGUCAAAAGUCUACAAAAAUGUUGGCUCUCAAAAAGGAAUUGUCCUACGACCUACUAGUCGGACACAAACGCCAAUCCUUCAGACUCUACCUCCACAGGCUCCGGGGCUUUGGUCCUGCAUAACCACCUUCUAAGGAUAUGAAAAUGUUAUAUAAUAACUAGUGAGACGAUGUCUCAACAAGUCCACCCCUUAAACCUUUAUUAGGAAGGAAAUACGCCUCAGGGCUCUCUAGCUACACAACCACACAAUGAGAACAGAUGACUUACGUCGCCUCAGUUCCUUCUUGCACAUUAGCAUAGUUCAUAUCACAAAUGCAUAUAAUAAAUGCAUAUAACAAUUGAAAUGUCUCAACAACUCAAUAAAUCACAAGGGUCCUGAUUAUAAGGCCAAACAGUUAUGACAUUUCCUAUACCAUGCCACAUAGUUUUGUCUCAUAAUCAGGCGCAUUAAACUCAGACAAUCAUGCAUUCCAAUUAUUAAUUAAGCCACUCAAGGCACUGCCGACUCCCAUGUUCGGUAGUCUGCUGGCGUAGCCAGGCAUCGUCUCUUCCCCAUUGAGCACUGUUACGUCACAAAGACGGCUAUCUCAAAGGAGCAGAGGUCCAGAAUCUACUGUGACCCGCUACCCUAAUACAUGGUAACUCGAAAGUGGGAUUUAGUAACAUCCGAUGUAAAUGCUAGGAUGGGUUCUUUUUAACCAACACAUGACCAUUCAACCUUGGCCUAGGACACUAUACAUUGCACUCAAAUGCCUCAAUUAAAAUAGUGAUCCUGGCCUAUUUUCUUCGUAUUAAAAAUAUCAUGGAAAAUAAUCAUGUAUGGGUACAUGGUCAAUUUGAACUAGAAAAAUUUAAACAUUUACUUUUCAAACCCCACUAUUUGGUAUAGUACUUAAAAUAUAUUUUUGAUGUCAAAACUCGACACUUGGGAUUUUUUGAAUAAAUGUCAUAUUUUCCAAUCACCACACAAUUGCACAAAUUAUCAUUCAAUUGUACAAUCCAAUAAGCAAUUGCAUAAUCCAACUACGUCACCAAAUAUGCAAUUUCUAGCAAGCAAAGCAUCAAGAACAAUCACAAACUACUAUCAGCCCUAACCAGCAGAAAUGGUCCACAUGUGCGUCUCCGAAUUUAUAUCCAUAAAUAUAAUCAAAUGAGUUCGGAAAAAUCUCAAAUUUGAAUAUGUUGUAAAUGACACAUAAAAGAUUUUUUUAUUUUAUUUUAAUGGAGAUAUCUUAACCCAGAUCCUUCUAGAUUAAGCCUAGUAAAUCACUCAAUCCAGAAGAGAAACUGUGUCCGUUUCCAGAAAAUUUGUUUUUCGAAAUCAGUUUAGUUCGGGACCCAAAACUUGUUUAUUUGGUCUAAAAUUUGACUAUAUUAAACUAGAAGAUGUGACAAACAACUUUUAUGAAAAAACCAUUUUGAAAUUCGAACCCUAAGAGUUGAUAAAAACCCUUAGAAUCCCAAAAUGUCACAAAUUCCGACACAGUCCGAGUUUCUGUUUGCAAAUGACAGAGCUAAUAUUUCAUUCUUUUAAAUCCCCAAAAAUGUUGAGAAAAAUAUAUGUUAUAGUUGAAGAUGUCUAAAACAUUUCUCCAUAAGGAAGCAACCUCAAAAUCGAAAAAAAUUUCGGUCCACCAAAAUGGCAAACGGCGAGUGUCCAAGAAUCAGUUCUGAAGAACAGCCAUUGAUUUUGACUAAACUAUCCUCAAUGGUGCUAAUCUCACUAAUUAGGUUAACACUAAUCAAUUCUAAGGCUAAUAUAACCAUUCUAGAUUAUUAAUAAUCCAUACCUAAGCUAAUCUAAACAACACUUAAGUAUAAUUAACCUCCUAAGCAAGGUUUAGAGAGUAAACUCAUUGGUUUUGCGUUCCAGUGAGUCCACGGCGACGGCGACGGCAAGGCGGGCAGCAAUAAAUCUUGUGGCGACACCAAGUGAGGCUGGGAAGGGCUAAAAAAUGGGCCACGAAGACCUCAUGGCUUGCUAGAACUUUAGUUUAUGUUCUUGGACUGUAGAGGCCGAACCAGUGGCUAAAAUAGUGAAGGAAUGGGCUAAUUGGAGCUUCGGCGAGCAGGUGGUCGGCAACCAGUGGCUCCUGAGGGUCAAGGGGGACUUGCUGGUGGUUGGUAUGGGUGGAGGUAGGGUCGAAAUGGGGAGAAAAUGGCUGAAAGUCAUGAAACAGGUGAAACAAUGUAGGCGGGUGGCUCCCAAACGGUCCGGCGACCGGUUUCUUCUUGUCGACGUACAGGACGGCUAGCGGCUCCAUUCGGCGCAAGGUCAGGCUCAUUUGAAUGGUUUGGAUGUGCUGAGUACAAUGGUGGGUGGCACGAAGGCUAAUUCAUCUGGGAAGACCAAUUUUAACUCAAAUCUUGCCGAAACAUCAGCUGGAGCAGAAACUGGAAUGAGGAGAAAACAGAGGAGGAAAUAGGUUCGGUGGCUUGGGCGAGUGUGCGAUCGGCAAGGGGGGCUGCUACCCUAUGUUCUCUAGUUUCUCCAGCUUUCUCAAGGCCUCUACAAUGGGGAAAGCAAGUCCAAGGAGGAAGAAGAAGGUGGCUGCUGAAGGGGGACCACCAUUUGCCUUCAAAGUCCACAAUCUCAUCCCCAAACACUCAUCACACUUGUCCCCACCACUCAGCCCUAUCCUCUGCCUCUUUUCCCUCACAAAACUUCCCCAACAAGCCUUACUUGAGUCCCCAAAUGUUGCAACCCACCCUUGGCUACGAAUUUGUACACAUUCCCCUUUAAUUCCAUCAAUUCUCCUUCAAUCUCAUUCAAUUUCUCAUCCAAUCAAUCCCAACUGAAGCCCAUAAUUUUAUCCAAUGUUUCCACACUUAAAUGCACAUUUUCCCUUGCCCAUAGAUCCCACUUGAUGACCAAAGAUGUGACCAAAAAUAAUCCCUCGAAGUUCUCGGUCCAAAACGGCUUAACUUUGAUUUUUUGCUGAAAAUCUCGGUUUGUAGAAAAGUCUUCGGAUGAUCAGUUGACGUUCCUAAAAUGAUUUGUGACAUGACAAAACUUUCAAUUUAUAAAAUUGAGUUCAAUUUCGUGGUUAAUUUCAAUCUGACGUGAUUUUAGCGCAUCAUAAUCUACUAGGUAGCUUUUAGAAAUUUUUAAUGUAAUUGACCCGUGGUCGAUUUUUUUGAGCCACAACGUACAUCUUCGACACAUUGGCGAAUCUUGAUUGUCAUAAAAAUCUCGAGGUUUUAAAUACGGACACAGGGUACGAAAAUGACAGAAAAAUUGGUCUAGUGCCGUUCGACGAGAAUUUUGCAAUUAGGUGGAAUCACCCAUACUUAAUCACAUACCUUUGUCGAAUCGACUUAUCUCCGGUCUUUGAUAGAUUUUGACCGUGCCGUAAUGAUCCUUGUAGAUUAACACGGUCGAGCAGUCGAUUUCUGGUUGAAUUCUCAAGUUUAUUGCGUUAAAAUCCCUUAAUGGCUUCAUCUGAUAGACUAGUUAUCUUGUGAGGGGCCCUCUUAGAUAAUAAGGCCAUAGGUUCAUCGAUGAAAAGCCCAUUUCAUCUCAUCGAAAUCAGACUUGAAAAUUAGGAUGUCGCAAUUUCACUUGUCUUAUAGGACUAUGUAGAGACCUUUGAAUGGCAGUCUCAAUUCAGAAUUCUGGAUCUGUUCCAAAGAUGUUAUGCUCAUCCACUUAUAGUGAGAAUGCCCUCAAAAUUAUUCAAAUGGCUCGCAAUUUUCAUGCCUUUUUCUUAUAUUCAUAAUCUUGUUGAAGCAAUAGAUAACAAUUGGGCUAUGGUGCUUCAACAAUUUGGUGGGAGUAAUGCAUUUGCCUACUAUGUAGGCUCCAUAUUUGAAUCAGCUAGUAAAAAUCGACGGAUAAAUACAUUAGUAAUAUAUGAAUAAUGAAAGCUUAGUUCAGGUGCCACAAAUAAGCGCUUGAAGCCCCAUUGUGGGUCAUAUGAAUCAAAGAAUGUUGAUUUGAAUUCGUGGAUGAGGUCAUGUGGCCUAUUGAUGAGGACCGCAUCAAGAAAUAAGUUCAUCGAUUAUGUCCAUAAUUUGGACAUUAACAUUGAAUUGAAGAUGUUGCCUAGUCCAAAUUCUAUCGAUGCUCAAAUGGGAAGAGACCCAUUUGUCCACACCUCGCAGGUGACCACACCAGACUAGAGUUCAGAGGGAAUGGAGUUUGACUAGAGGGAUCUAGGGACUAGAAACAACUCGAGCAUAACAUACAAUGAAGGUGAUCUUUUACAGGCAUAAAGGGCUCCUGAUGGAUUCGUGCUCAAUGUUGUGUAAAUGGAGGAUCUGGCAUCGCUAAAUAGAAGCGGGGACUGCAACAGUGAAGUCCCCGAAUGCUUGCAAUUGGAUUCAUCGGAGAAGGAGAUGGAUGUGAGUUCGACAUCUGAAUGUGGCGAUGACGAUGCCAAUGGUGAUAACGGCUCAAAUCUUACUACUCUAGAUGGCAAUAAUAUCUCAGGUCAUGCUAAUGAUGCACAUCACAAAAAUGAACAAAUCCAUGCAGAUGGAGCGUCUUCAUGACCUCAAUGAGUAGACUUUGAGUCUUCUUUCUCGUUUGCAGAUGCUACCCACCAAUCAAAGCCAAUUUGAAUAGUCGAGGUUGCAUAGGAAUUUCCGUCAUGUUGUUUAUGCUUUUCGGCAUCAGAGUGAGUCGAGUUGCAUUUGCAACUACAUGCUCUUUUUCUUUUACAGGCACUGUACUUUUUGCCCUGUUCUUUCCAUCAUUGUUUCGCUAAUUUUUUAUAUCAUAUUUUAUUUGAUAGGAAGAUGAUUUAGAUGAGUCAACAACUAUACCAGGUUCUAAUUUUACACACAUUUUUAUGAAGUUUCUGUUGUUUAGUUUGAAUGGUAACUUCAUAAAUUUCAAACGACCUCGGUAUCAGCUUAUAUUUGGCUUGUUGAUUCUAUCAUGCAAACAAUCAAUAUGAUGUAGCUCGUUCGUCUACUUACAUAUGUAGUAUUAAGCCUAUAUAUUAAGAGGUUUUUAGCCUUUGCAGUGUGCAGGAGACUAUGAUGGAUGUUGUCAUAGGUUCAUAAAGUUCAUAGAUAAUUCAAUUUUAUUAUCUUGUAUGCUAUUGAUACUUUUUUUUUAAUCUAAUAUAGCAAAACUAAGUUUGCUUGUAAACUUAAGAGCGGUUUGGAAUAUCAUAAUGUUGGCUUAUAACAUCAGACAUAGCUUUUCCUUAAGAUCUUACCUAAUGGCAGGAUUGAGCAAUUGUUGUAUAGUUUACCCUGAAAAUGAAACCAAAAAAAUGAGACAAAAAAAAAAAAACUGUUGGAAUCUUGAAUCGACCUUGGAACUUGUGACAUGGUAGAUUCCAAGUUCUUAGUUUUGACGGGUAGGUUCCAAAUUCCAAAAAAUGAAGAACUUGUACCCAAUGGUAGGUUCCAGGUUCCAAAUGAACUUGUAAGGAACCGGGAAUCGCUCACCCCUAGUCCUUUGUCAGAUGUAAAUAUCUAGAAAUUCUAGAUCUUAGUAACAGUCAAAUAGAGGACACGUUCUCGAGAUGGCUGGGAACACUCCCAUAAUUAAAGGUUCUCACGUUGAAGUCCAACAAAUUUAAGGAUUUUUUGAAUAUUCCCAAUAGCGCUCAACUCUUUCCCAAGUUACACAUUUUAGAUCUCUUCCACAACAACUUUGGUGGUCCUUUGCCAACCAACUAGAUAAUGAACCUUAAAGCCAUCAUAAAUGGCACAAAUGCGCAAGACAAAUCAUUGUAUAUGACAUGGUCUCUCCGAUAGUCGGUAUGGUAUGAGAAUGGCAUGUCUGUGACCAUAAAAGGGCAAAAGAUUGACCUAGAAAAGAUCUUGACCAUCUUUGCAACCAUUGAGUUGUCGCACUAUUCUUUUCAAGGAGACAUUCCCAAAGGCUUUAGACAUCUUCACUAUCUCAUAGGGCUCAACCCUUCUAAUAACCAUCUUACAGGUUCCAUCACUCUUACACUAGGGAAAUUGACCAAUCUUGAAUGGUUGGAUCUAUCUUCAAACAAUAUUAAUGGGGGAAUUCCUAGAAAUUUGGGAGAUUUGGCAUUUCUUGGAUACUUGGACCUUUCGAAGAACCACUCAUUGGUCGAAUUCCCCAAGACAAGCAAUUGAGCACAUUUUCAAGCAACUCAUUUGGUGGGAAUCCAAGCUUAUGUGGAACUCUAUUGCCAAAAGUAUGCCCCAGCAAUGCUCAACCUCCUCCACCAUCAUCCUCGUCAACUUCUGACUGCAAAGGACAUGAGAGUUGAUUCAAAUAGAAAACAGUGUGGAUAGGUUAUGCAUCUAGAAUCGUGAUUGAGAUUUCCAUAGCAUACAUUGCAUUUGAAAUGGAAAGGCCCAUGUGGCUUGCGCAGGGUGUGACAAUGCUAGAGAGAAGACUAGCCAUUUGGAUGGAGAAGCCAAACAGGAAGGCCAUCAAAUUUCAUGGACAAUGAAAUUGUUUGAGGAGUUGUCUUCUAAAUUGUGCAAUGUAGAUUCGUCGAAUAAAGAUGUCAUUAGACCAGCUUGAUAUGCCAUUCCCCUCAUGAACGCUUGUUUUUAAUGUCUUCUCUUCUCAUUUCUUGGUGCAAUCGUAUAUCAGUUGAAUUCAAGAGGAAUAGUGAGAUAUGUCUACCACACAACUUGAAAAUAAAGAAGCAAAAAAACAAAAAGUCAAGCAAGUGCCAUUAACCUCUACAAAUAUCUUCUCCAUGUGUAGGAGUGCAUGGCUUUUAUUUGUCCAUGAAAAAUUAGAAGUGAAGACUAGCCUUAAACAAUUCAGCCAAAGUUAUUAAUAAUACAAUUUGCUGCGGAAAUAUGCCCUAAAGAAUUAACACUAAAAUCUUUGAUGUUGCAAGUUAGUAGUAGAUUGUGGAUCAGAAACUAAGCUAUUAGUCAUUGUCUUUGAUAGAGAACAUAACUCAUGAUGGAACAGAAAAUGAUGAGUAAAACAUUCAAAAUAUCUUGAAAUUUCAAAUAACUUUACUAAAAAAUAACAAAAGGGAGUUCACUACCCAAUAAUUAACUGUCCAAAAUUUAAAAUAAUUUGUCUACACUGUAGUCAUGGCCAUAGCCAAGCAUUUUUUUUAAAAAUUAAUGGUCACAUUAUGUCCAUAGAUUGUCUCAUGAAAAAAAAAAAUUCUCCUAUAGACUAGAUUAAUAUGCCUUAAAAAAUGAUGAACAUAGACAUCCUCAACAUGUAUUAUGCAGCAAGAUUGAAUGAUAACGGAAAAAAUUCAUCGGUAAAAUUCAAGUUAUGAGAUUAGUCUGUCAAUGCCCAUUUUACAUCAAUGUCCUGAAGACUACUGUAGUGUCUCGCCAGUUCAAGGUAUUACGAAAUUGCACGUCGAUUUCAGAAAAAUAACGGUUGCAAACAAUUCACCAAGCAGAAUAUACUAAUAAAAUAAUAGAAUCAGAAGAACAAGCUAGAAAAUUUGUUAACGAAGUUCACCCAAACCUGGGUUAUGUCUCCGCGUAGAGGCACUUUGCGAAUCCGCUAGAUUUUGAAAAAAGUUGGAAUACAAUGAUGAUCUUUUCUCAAGAUCAGGGCACAAAAAGAUUGAGAACCCUUGUAAAGGAAAAACUCACUUUUUUCUUCUCUCUUUUUCUUGCCUCUCUGUUUUCUUUUUCAGCGUCUUGAUGACCAGCGUUUUGCCAUCGCUAAUAUAAAUCUAUCACUUUUAACCUAAAAGAAAAUUUGAUGGAAAAGACUAAAAAACCCCUAAAAAUAUUUGGGUUCAUCUUUAACAAUCUCCCACUUGAAGACAAAUAUACCCGAGCACCAAGCAACUUUGCAUCCAUCUUCUUCAAAAAACUAGUUGUUGACACUUAAAUUUUGGUGGCCUAAUCAUUCCUUCAUUACAUAGAAGAUUAGGGACUAAAAUUUAGCCCCUAAGCAAAAAUACUAAAUUAAAUUGCUUAGCAUAUAGAUAUUAGGGGGCAUAUUUCAUUUAAGUAUACAUUUGUUGAGCCUUGGAGGGGAUGCAACUGUGUAGAAUGAGAAGUUUGAAGCCGAUGGAGAUGUUUCUAAGUAGGACAAUUUAAAUCAGGAUCUUGAAGGGACAGAAAAUGGUGACCAUCUCGAUGAAUCAAAAGAGAGCAUUCCUACCCCAAGAAUUGCUUGUCCGGAACUCUGACCUGAAUGUGGAUUUGGAUGAAAAUGGGAAUUCAAAAUCAAUAUUAGCUUCUGGUCCGACCAAGUAUAUCAGCCGCUCUUGACGCUGGAUUCAAGCAUGAGGAAUAUCCUGAGUGGUCUCUUUUUGAAGUUGAGAAGAUGGCCAUCGAUCCCGUUUAGCUUGCAAACUUGAAUAGAGGGAUGGAUGAAGAUGAUGAAGACAACGAUGAAGAAGGCUAAGUCAGCAUGGUGCUUUGGUGCUAUUUGUUGAUGCAAAACCAUUAAAUGUGUUUGGAUAGAGGCGUAGACACCUCACAUGCUAAACUUUGGAAACAUCGUCAAGAUAGGGUUGAAACUGACUAGUUCCAAGCUACUUUAGGAAGUUCAUAGUUCAACAUGUCAAAUUGCAUACAUGUACAAAAGCUUGUGAUGAUCGUCAUAUGGUGUUAUCAUCAAUCAGCUCACUAUUAUCACUGCCUUUUCAUUCCUUUUCGGUUUGGAAUGUAUUGACGCCAUCAAGUCUAUUUCAUGCUUCAAUGCAUGAGUGCCAAAUCUUAUAUUUGCAUAGCCAUCUUUCCUUGUACUCCUGUAACAGAAAAAAUAGGAAAGCCCAAUUUUGCAAGGGAGUUGAAUCGCGGUGGCCUUACACCGUUACACAUUGUGUCGACCACGGGGGAUUUGAAAGUCACGAGGGAGCUUCUAAUAGUAGGCCCUGAUCUUUGCAUGAUCCAGAACAAAGGUGGCUGGACACCGUUCCACUACGCAGCCAUCAAGUGUAGGGUCAAGUGAAGAACCUAGCUUACUUAAAGUAAACACCUAUCAAGCGACUAAGUCAAGUACUCAUUAUAACAACCUAGCUUAGUGCCUAGAGUUUUCACUUAUCUUGAAAAUAGUUUGUGUAAAAUCAAAGGUUUAGUUUCUUUCAAAGUAAAACAUAAUUGAAAUCAAUGUUUUUGUCUUGAAAACGACAAACCCACUCAUGAAGAAUAGAGGAAAUUAACGAGUUUACUUUUUCAAACCUGAAAAUGGUCUCGAGGCUUUAAUGGUAUAUGAACAUGAGACCUCUUGCUUUUACUCUUGGAAUUCAAAGUGCAAGCUGAAAGGAAAGUGGAGAGUGAUUGGUGAAGUAAUGGAAUAGAGCCUUGUCUUGGGAUUCUCUCUCUCAAUUUAUACACAACCAAUACGAAUGAUGAAAGAGGAGAUAAAGAGGAGAUGGGUUAACUGUGGUUAGUGAAUUUAAUAAUCAUAGGAUAAAGUCAUGAAGUCUAAGAGUAGAGAUGUCACACUUCGAUCCUCGGAGCACGUGCCCAUCCCUCACCUUGAUCGAUUAAAUAGCGAUGUCUCAAGAUGCAUCGUCGACCCUUUCUUUUUAAUACGCAUGUGGAAGCAUAUAAAUAAUAAUCCUCAGACAAUAAAAUAAUGCGAUAGGAAAACAAUGCCACAAAAUUUCAAACCACACAACCACGCUUAUAUACAUACAUACAUAGUAGACUAUGUCAUAUAUUAUACAAGUUGGUCUAGGUAUAUAAAAUCAUAUACACUACGACAGGUUCUCAAAUAGGGGGCAGGGGUUUAACAACCACAACUAUUCAUCAUCGCUAAAUUCUUCUUGUUCCACCUCCUCGUCCUCAUUAAUCUCCCCUUAUUCCUCGCUCCAAUUGGCGGCCUCGACUGAGUACACCAGAGAGUCAGGAUUGCUUUUGAGUUUGGGGUUCUUGGCAUCCACUACUGAUCCACCCUUAGGAUCUACGGUGCCAUUCCUAAGCGCAAUCUCCAAAACAUAUCAAGAUACAUCAAAUUCCAGCACAGGACCCUCCCUUCGCCCAUCAUAAUAGUGGCGAUACCUAUGAGGCACCUUUUAAGGUUCACCCAUGUCAACCCAAACAGUGGAUUUUAUCAUUACAUACUCCAAUCCUUCAGGGUGAGGGUGUAUUGGAAUAUGAUAACCUGCUUCUGUGACUUCCUCUGGUAUACCAAAAUGCACGGGAGGAGGGGGAGAUGCUGCCAUCUAUGGACCCGAAAUGUUGUCCCAUAACGGAGUGAGACUACGUCUCAGUAAGUUCUACCUUCUAAGACCCGAUUAGGAAGCCAAUACGCCAUAAAGGCUACCUAAGCCCAAACAGGCGUCAGAGAACUUACAUUGGCAUCAAUUCUUUCCUGCAAGUCAGUUCAAUUCAUAAAUGUUGACUGGUACAUCAUCCACUCAAUUCAAUCAGAUCGACUCAUCGAUCAAUCGACUCGGUCGAUUAUAUGUCAUUGAGACCAUCACACGGUCACCUUGAUUAAUCAUUCUCAACUCUUAGCCACAGCCUAACAAGCACAACCUAUAUUAAGUGGUAAUCAUGGCCCCACUAGCAACUUUUCUAUAUUUGGUGGUCAUCACGGCCCCACCUGGCAAUUUUCUAAGUUUAGUCGCAUCACGGCCCCACUCGGCACUUUUCUUAAGUUUAGUAGCAUCAUGGCCCCACUCGGCAAUUUCUUAGAUUUAUACCUACAUUAUCUAAUUUUUGGUAUAAAUCCUCAUAAUCUCAAAUUUUGCUCAAUUUCCACAAUUCGGUACUCAAUUAAAUAAACAGAGAGCACCACAACAAUCAACACGAAAUUCCGGUCACCGACCAUCCUGGUUGAAUUUCUAAAAAAUAAAAAAAAUAAAUAAUUACGGAAACUAAUAAAUAAAUGCAAUAAAUCCAACUUAGGGUUGUUAUAGCCUAAUUGAAAGUUGAAAUGGACCUGGAAAAAUUUGAAGUUUUGUUCAAUAAUUAAUAGCACGAGUCUACUUGCUAAUGUCACUAACUAACCACCUAACAUGUAUCGGCAGAUAAUUAAAUUAACUAAUCUAAUCUAAUCUAUCCACCUAAAUCAUGCUUAAUUAACCUAAUCAAUCCUUAAUCGCAAUUAACCAACUAAGCGGGAAUUAGUGAGUUCAACUCACUUGUUUCGCGAUCCGUCCAGUUCAAAAUGUCGGGAAUGCAACGGGGACCGAUUAUCUCCAAGGUAGGCCUAGCUUUUGAGGCCCGAAACCACCUCAAAACGGGCCUUGAAGCUGCUGAAAUACCCACUUCAUCAGCCUCUAUUUGUUGCUGUAAACAAGGAAAACAAAGGCUGAACAAGACAAGUAAGACUGGUGAAGGCAACGUCAAAGCUGAGUGACCAACAACACGGGCUCAUGGUGGUUAGAUAGGGCUCAUGGCGGCUUGAGCUGAUCGUGAUAGCUCUUGGGUCAUGCGGACAGAGGCGGAUGACGGGCUGGGAUGUGCGGACAGGCAGCACGGGCGAGCAAACACGCGACGGUGAGUUGGCUGCUCUGGCAGGUGUGUGGUGGCGCAGCUGCUUCCGGCGGCUUGCGGGGUCGACGACUGCUUCUCUCUUGUUGGUUGCUUGGUUUCGAACAAGGCAAGGAGGGAGAGGCAGUUGCAUGGCAAGAGGGAAAGAGGAAGGAGAGAGAUUGGAGGGGGCCACAAGCCUUGAUCUUCCACCAUAUUGUUCCCUUGACUCAACCAUAACCACUAGCACUUCCUUGGUUGCAAUUUAGCUAACCAUGCACAUCCUUGGACACUUGAAAUGUUCCAAAACCAUAGGGAAAUGGGGGAGCUACGAAAUUGGCUAAGUUUCCUUCCAACUGGACACACGUUCUUGUUUAAAUCAACAUGAUUCAACCUCAAUAAAUUCAAUCGACACUCCUCCGAUCAUCUUGGCAUUUUUUCUUAUCAAUACAACUCACUUGCUUCCCAAAUUUGCGAUAAAAAACGAUCCCUGGCUUUUUCUGAACAAAACAGCCCUACCUUGACUUUUUCCUCAAAAAGUUUCGGGUUGGAGAAAAAUCUUUUGAGAUUGAGUCGAUGCUCCUAGAAUUUAUUAUGACAUGACAAAAUCUUCAAUUUCUGAAAUUGAAUUCAAAUUUGCGGUUAAUUUUUCUCAGGCAUGUUUUUAGCGUGACCUAAGCUAUUGGGUAUGUUUCAGAAACUUUGAGUGCAAAUGACCCGUGGUCGAUUUUCUUUGAGUCACAAUGAACCCACUUGACACAUUGGCGACUCUCGAUUGUCAUGAAAAUCUUGAGGAUUCAAAUACGAACACAGGGUACCAAAACGAAAGAAAAAGCAAUUUAGUGCCAGCCGACGAGAAUUUUCCAAUUUAGUGGUGUCACCCACGAUUAGCCACACAUCUUAGUCAAGUCGACCUAUCUCUGAUCUCAAAUUGAUUUUUAACUGUGCCAUAAUAGCCUCUAAAGAUGAGCAUGGUCGAGAAGCCGAUUCCUGGUCGAAUUCUCAGGUCUAUCGCAUUAAAAUUCCUUAAUGGCUUCCUUGGAUUGUCUAAUUAUCUCGAGAGUGAUCAACUUUGAGAAUAGCCUUAUAGGCGCAUCGAUGAAAUACCAAAUUUAUUUAAUAGAAAACAAGAUUGAAAAUCUGGGAUGUCACAACUCUUCCCAUUUUAUAAAUGAAAUUUAAACCAUUACAAAACUUCAACAAAAAGGUAGGGGUACAACUGUCUCAUCGACUCUUCAGUCUCUCAUGUCGCUCCUUCAGUAUCGUGGUAUUACCAGACCACUUUGACCGAGAACUUGUUCUUUCUGAUUCGCUAUGUAAACCGGGUUUUCAACGUAUGACACACGGCCAUCCAUGUCUAAUUCCUUGAAAUUAAGCACUCGGGUCGGGUCAUGCACAUACUUCCUCAACAUCGACAUGUGAAAGACGUCGUGCACUUGCGUCUAUCUCGGUGGCAAUGCAAGACGAUACGCUAAAGCCCUAAUACUCUCAAGAAUUUCAAACGAACCUAAAUACCUCGAACUCAGUUUUCCUUUCUUACUAAAGUGCGAAGUUCCCUUCAUUGGUGACACCUUUAGAAAAAUGUGAUCACCAACUUGGAAUUCUAAAAGCCUUUGACGCUUAACUGCGUAACUUUUAUGUAUGCUCUGAUCAUUGCCAUGGUUUCUACUGAUUGCUGGACCGACUUUGAACUUGUAAUCUUUCUUUCUCCAAUUUCAUCCCAACGCAUUGGUGUCCUGCACAAUCUGCCAUACAACGCUUCGAAUGGAGCUAUCUGUAUGCUUUGCUGAUAAUUGUUGUUGUAGGCAAAUUCCACCAGGUGAAGUUGUUCCUCCCAACUUCCUUUGAAGUCUAGUACAUAAGCUCUAAGCUUGUCUUCGAGGGUCUGAAUUGUCCUCUCAGAUUGGCCAUCCGUUUGAGGAUGAUAUGCCGUACUAUAUUGUAGCUUGGUACCUAAGGCACUCUGCAAGCUCUUUCAAAAGGUGGCAGUAAACCUCAGGUCUCUAUUUGAAGUUAUCGUAACUGGCACUCCAUGCAGGCGAACCACUUGACGCAUGUACAUAUCUGCAUGUCUAUCUAAACUAAGGUCCUUUCGAACUGCAAUGAAGUGAACCGACUUCAUCAGUCUAUCGACUACUACCCAAAUCGAAUCAUUUUCUCUUUGACUCCUCGGUAGUCCAGUCACGAAAUCCAUCGUGAUAUGCUCCCAUUUCCACUCUGGGAUCUUGAGAGGUCGUAGAAGUCUUCCCGACUUGUAAUGCUGACCUUUGACUUGCUGACACGUCAAACACUUGGCGAUAUCCACUUUCAUACCUGACCUUCAAUAGCAUUGACGUAAAUUCUGAUACAUCUUGGUACUAGUAGGAUGGAUGCCAUAACUACUACGAUGUGCUUUUGAUAAGAUAUCCUCUCUAAGCUCUACAUCGUCAGGUACAACCAAACGUCCCCGGAACCUCAGUAUUCCUUCAUCAGAAAUCUGAAAGUCGGCCUUUUUUUUCUCAGUGUCCUCCUGAAGAAUCUUUUGCACAUCUAGGUCCAUCGGUUGGAGUAGCUUAAUUUUGAUAUGGACAUCCGGUUCAAUUCUGAGGGUGGCCAUAAGACUUGAAAGGUGGCCUACCUUAAACUUGAAUACUGAAUCUCGAGCUUUCUUGAUUAGAUUUCACUCCUUCUUCAAUAAAAGAACAAUGGAAGACUUCCGACUCAAAACAUCGGCGACCUUGUUCGCCUUUCUCGGGUGAUAUAAGAUAUCACAGUCGUAGUUCUUUAGCAAUUUCAUCCAUCGACGCUGUCUCAUGUUCAACUCCUUAUGAGAGAAUAUGUACUUGAGACUUUGAUGGUUCGUGAAGAUUUGGAAUUUUCUCCGUACAAAUAGUGUCUCCAAAUCUUCAGGGCAAAGAUAAUCACCGCGAACUCUAAGUCAUGCGUUGGAUAGUUCUGUUCAUGAUGUCUCAACUGACAGGAGACGUAUGUAACAACUCGACCAUAUUGCAUUAGCAUGCAACUCAAUCCUUUAAAUGACGCAUCACUGUAGAUCUUGAAUCCUCCAAGACCAGAUGGAAUGGUGUGCGGUAGUUGGCUUUUCCUUCAGCUCUUGGAAACUACUUUCGCACUUGUCUGUCCAUACAAAAUUUUCUUCUUUCUUUAGGAGUUUUGUCAGUGGCAAUGCUAAUGAUGAGAACCAUUCAACAAACCAUCUGUAAUAACCUGCCAAACCUAGAAAACUUUUGAUCUCUGUCACUGUAGUCGGUCUUCACCAAUUGAUCACGGCUUCAAUCUUGCUUGGGUCCAUAGAGAUUCCUUCACCUGAAAUCACGUGACCUAAGAAAGCAACACGAACCAAAACUCGCACUUGCUAAACUUGGUGUACAACUGAUGAACUCUCAGCAUCUGCAGCACUAGUCUCAGAUGACUCUCAUGCUCUUCAUCACUUCUCGAAUAUACCAAAGUAUCAUUGAUAAACACAAUCACGAAUUGAUUUGGAUAUUCCUUGAAUAUACGAUUCAUCAAAUCCAUGAAGGCAGCAGGAGCAUUCGUCAACCCGAAUGGCAUCACUAUGAACUCAUAAUGACCAUACUGAGUACAAAAUGCUGACUUAGGAACAUCUUCCUUUCUAAUUCUCAGCUGAUGAUAUCCUGUCCUCAAGUCGAUCUCUGAGAAAAUCGACGCUCCUUACAACUGAUCGAACAAAUCAUCGAUCCUCAGGAGUGGAUACUUGUUCUUGAUCGUUACUUGAUUGAGUUGCCGAUAGUCGAUGCACAGGCGUAACGAACCAUCUUUCUUCUUUACAAAUAGAAUCGGUGCUCCCCAAGGUGAUGCACUGGGACGAAUGAAUCCUUUAUCCAGUAGCUCUUGCAUCUGUACCUUCAGUUCCUUCAACUCUAAUAACGCCAUUCGGUAAGGAGCUUUAGAGAUUGGCUCUGUCCCAUGUGCUAGCUCAAUUACGAACUCAAUUUCUCUCUCUAGUGGCAAUCCUAGCAAUUCCUUUGGAAAGACAUAUGGAAAUUCUUGCACCACAGUAAUGUCUUCUAUCUUCAGCUCCUCGACUAUCGUAUCCACGAUAGUUGCCAAGUAACCUUGACAACCCUCGUCUAACAGACGAGUUGCCUCUGGCGACGAGAUCAAGAUAAUUGAGGGUCCUCCUCAAUUUUCGACAAACUUGAAGCUCUUACCCUCUAACAGGUUAAACUAAAUCGCUUUGCGAUAACAGUCCAUUAUAGCUCGUUGCUUAGUGAACUAGUCCAUACCAAUAAUUAAAUCAAAGUCAUACAUGGCUAGGACUAACAAGUCUAUUUUCCUCUCUCACUCACCAAUCACUAACUUGCAACCAAAACAACCCAAAGCAGCAAUAACUUUAUCCUUCAAUGGUGUAGAUAUGAAAACCGUGGACUCCAACAAUAUAGAACUUAAUCCUAACAACUUAACAUAUUGCUUGGCAAUAAAGGAAUGAGUUGCUCUUGAGUCGAAUAAAGCAUAAGCAGGAUGAUCGUUCAGUGAAACCAUACAUGUAAUCACGUCAAGCAUAGCCUCUACCUGACCUUGUGUGAUGGUAUACACUGUGCCCUGAAUUGGAGGUCUAAGCUGUCCUCCUUGCGGCGCAUUCUAAGGUGCAUACCCUCUGAUUUGUCCCAACGGUGGCGGCGAUGGCAAUUGUGGUUGUCCUCUUAUCCUUCUCGGACAAUUCCUGGCUAUGUGACUCAGCUGGCCACACUCAAAACAAGUGCCUGGCCUAGAUUGGCAUGGGGUAGAUCUGUGUCGCAUUCCAUAAAAGCGACAUAUGCCAUUCUGGUUAGACCCAGACUUACCAACUCCACCUUUCCUAUUGGGCAGGAUCUGGAAUCUACCUCUUGUCACAGACUUCUUUCUCUGACGGAUUCCUUCUCUGUAAGAGCUAAACCUCGAUCCAGACGAGACAACUUGUUCGUUCAAACCUCUCUCUAUCGUCUGAGCUCAACGAUAAACUUCUCAAUAAUUUGUCAAAUUUAACGGUAGCAGAGGUUGUUUCAAUUCAGAACAAAGACCACUUCUGAAUUUUCGGGCUUUCUCUUUAGGGUAUUCUACCAACCUUAGAGCAUACUAUGAGAAUUUUGCAAAUGUGACUCCAUAUUGGUCAACUAUCAUGCUCCUCUGGCGGAGACGUUGGAACUCCUCUAUCUUUUGUUUCCAGGCAAUACCCGAGAAGUACUGAUCAUUAAAAGCUCUGAGGAAGGUGUCCCACACCUGGACCACACCUUUUGAGAAUACGAUAUCCUUGGCGGUUCUCCACCAAAUAUUCGCAUUGCUUUGAAGUGGGUACACAACCAGUACCACCUUCUCCUAUUCAUUGCACAUCAGCAGUGCAAACGCUUUCUUAAGAUCCUAAAUCCAUAGUGAAGCAGCCUCGGGGUCUCCAGCACCCAAAAAUCUUGGCGGGCUCAACUUUAGAAAUUGCUCGACAAGCUUAUGGAUCGGCCUAUCUCUCUGCACCACGACAUUCUCAGGUUAAAUUAUGGCGGGUGCAGCAACAGGUGUGGCGACAGGUGUGGCCUCAGCGGUGGCGACAACGGCAGCAGCAGUAGCAGCCUGAGCAACGGCUUCAACAACAGCAGCUUGAUUUUGAGCCUGUUGAUCCAUCCAAUUCCCCAUGACCUCUAGCACUCACAUGAUCCUUUUGAUCCUAGGAUCACCAGGGGCUACUACCCCAGCACCAACAGGAGGUGGUGCUACUUCACUAGCACUAGCCCGUGCCGGUGCCCUAGCUUUGCCUCCUCAAGUACCGACCCUUGUCGGCGUUCUAACCUGAAUUGUAGGCCUAAUAGUUCACUUACUCAAAGUUCUCUGCUCCGGCUCGCUCAUGGUUUAGUCUUUUCUACUGAAACCUGUCUUCCAAAUCCAUACUAGAUUAGAAGAGGAGCAAUCCACACACAACAAGCGAUUUUACCAAACAACUACCACUGACAUGCAUCGAUCACGAAUUUAAAGCCCUCUCCUACUUAUUAUCUCAUAUUCAUCGCACCUUAUUACUCCAAUCUUUAACCAUUGCUCUGAUACCACUUAAACCGGGAUGUCACGCCCCGAUCCUCUAAGCACGUGCCCAUCCCACACCUUGGUCAAUUAAAUAGCGACGUCCCAAGACAUAUCGCCGACCCUUUCUUUUUAAUAUGCAUGCGGAAGCAUAUAAAUAAUAAUCCUCAGACAAUAAAAUAAUGUAAUAAGAAAGCAGGGCCAUAAAAUUUCAAACCACACAAUCACGCUUAUAUACAUAUGUACAUAGUAGACUAUGUCAUAUAUUAUAUAAGUUAGUCUAGGUAUAUAAAAACAUAUACACUACGACGGGUUCUCAAACAAGGGGCGGGGGUUUAACAACCACAACUAUUCAUCAUCGCUAAAUUCUUCCUGUUCCACCUCCUCGUCCUCAUUAAUCUCCACUUCUUUCUCACUCCAGUUGGCUGCCUCGGGUGAGUAUAUAAGAGAGUCCGGAUUACUUUCAAGUUUGGGAUCCUUGGCAUCCACUACUGAUCCACCUUUAGGAUUUCCUGUGCCCUUCCCAAGCGCAACCUCCAAAACAUACCGAGGUACAUCAGAUUCCGGCACAAGACCCUCCCUUCCCCCGUCAUGAUAGUGACGAUACCAUGACCGGUACCUAUGAGGCACCUUUUUGGGUUCACCCAUGUUGACCCAGACAGUGGAUUUUAUCAUUACAUACUCCAAUCAUUCAGGGUGAGAGUGUAUCGAAAUAUGAUAAUCUACUUCUGUGACUUCCUCCGGUAUACCAAAAUGCACGGGAGGAGGGGGAGGUGCUGCCAUCUAAGGACUCGAACUAUUGUCCCACAACGGGGUGAGACUACGUCUCAGCAAGUUCUACCCCCUAAAACCCGAAUAGGAAGCCAAUACACCCUAAAGGCUACCUAAGCACAAACAGGCGUCAGAGAACUUACCUUGGCCUCAGUUCCUUCCUGCAAGUCAGUUCAAUUCAUAAAUGUUGACUAGUACAUCAUUCACUCAAUUCAAUCAGAUUGACUCAUCAAUCAAUCAACUCGGUCGAUUACAUGUCAUCAAGACCAUCACACAGUCACCUCGAUUAAUCAUUCUCAACCCUUAGCCACAGCCUAAUAGGCACAACCUAGAUUAAGUGGUAAUCACGGCCCCACUAGCAACUUUUCUAUAUUUGGUGGUCAUCAAGGCCCCACCAGGCAAUUUUAUAGGUUUAGUGGCAUCACGGCCCCACUCGGAAUUUCUUAGAUUUAUACCCACAUGAUCUAAUUUUUGGUAUAAAUCCUUAUAAUCUCAAAUUUCACUCAGUUAUUACAAUUCAGUACUCAAUUAAAUAAAUAGAGAGCACCACAACAAUCAGCAUGAAAUUCCGAUCACCGGCCAAUGCUUUUCAUGGUCCUACCCAAAGUCACUUUGAUUCCUCAAGUCAUAUAUCUGAUUAUACAACUUUUUCAAGUUUUUCAUUUUCGAUUCUAUGUGAGGAUUACCCUUGAUGCCAGAACAAGGGAACUUUUCUUCAAACCACUUCUCUAACAUAAUCAUGUAACCACUCUUGAAGCUGUUAUUGGCUUUCAUUCCUCACGUAACAAAUUCUUCAAGACCAUCUAGAAAUGCAUUUUCUUCAUCUAUUGUCCAUACAUGUCGAUCUCUCUUUGUUCCCCUUCCUUGAGUUUGACUAAAAUCGCUACCUUCCAUUUCUAAAGGAAAUCCUAUCCAACCUUAUCCUAUCCCCCCCUCAGAUUUUUUUAUCUGGUUUAUAUCCUUUCUAUAUUUGACUUUAUCCUAUCCUAGAUAGCUACCAAACAUGGGAUAGGAUAAAACAUAUCCUAUCCUGGUUUUUAUUCGGUCAACCAAAUGCAGCUUAAGAAAUGAGGAAAUUAAUAGGAUUUUUCGUUCGGGAGGUUAUAGGCGAUCUUCGUGCAUAUUGAAAAAGGAGAUAAAAUAUUCCGCGAAGAUUACAUGCGUGGACUAUAAAAGGAGCCGUGUAUGGAGAGAGACGGAGGGCUUUUCUUGGUUUCUUUUGGGGUCUUUCGUUUCCUUCAUUCUUAAAAGAAAAGAGCAACAAAAAGAAAAGAAAAGCUUUCUUUUGGGGGUUCUUUUUAGGGAAAAGGGGAAAAGCCAGCAAAAGGGCAGAAGGCGAUAGAGAGAAAGUGACGUGAGAUAGAGAUGUGUGAGAGCAGGAAAAAAGAAAAAAAGAGAAAAAAGCAAAAAGAUGAACAACUAUUCAUCUUCUUCGUCAGUUCCCGUCCGGUGUCUUUGCUGCCCGCCUUUUCCGCGCUGCCAUUGCCGCCAUGCUGUUGCCUCACUGCAGCCACACCACCGCGCUUCCAAAUGCCACCACCAUCGUUGGUUGCAACGCCGUGUUCACUCGUCAUCGCCGUUCCCCCCUGUUGCUAAGUCGAGUUUCUUUGCCCGAGCGUCAACGCUAGCAACUUGAGAUCUCGUGAUCCACCUGCUGCUUCAUCUCUAUCCUUGCUCUGCUUCACUCGCGGUGACCCAACGCUUCCGCUCGGAUGCUUGUCCCCCGCAUCCACCAUCGCUCUUGUAGCCGGACUCGACGCCUGCAGCACCUUCGAGCUGUGACGCUAGAAUCGGACGCUGAGCCACCACGCGACCCAAUGCCAACGCCCGCUGCUGCUGCCUCCACCCCCAACCGCAAUGUAGCAGCUGCUGUCCCUCUACUCGACGCCAGCAGGUCUUGAACUGAAUGCCGGCCCCCUUGCAUGCCGCUCCCAGCCCUCUUCGAGCGACGCCGCUAAAAUAUCCGUGACUUCGGUCACCCUUGCUGCCAUGUCCAAUGACCACGCUUGCAGCACCUCAGAGUGACGUCUAUAGCAAUUCGCCGCCAGUCCUCACUGGAGCUCCAGCAACCCACCAUCACGGCGACCAAUCCUUGAGCCAUAUUGAGCCUUGUCGCGAUCCACGAGCCACCGGUUGUUAAAUUUCGUUUGGAAGAAAAUUCAAAUUAGGUAGUUUUUUAUUUUAUGUAAUUUAUUUAUUUUAAUAUUUUGUUUCUUUAUCCAAAGUAUUCCUUAAUGUAUCCAAUUGAAAUCCCUGAUUGAUAUUCACAAUUCAAGCAACCUUUUAAAUUAGGGAUUGAUAGUCCCAUUUUCGCGCCUCAAAUCCGACUUGCAAUCGCAUGAAAAAUCGCCAAUCCAAUCUCAUGCUCGAGAUUCGAUUCGCGGUUUUAUUUAAAAUUGACCAAUCCGAUCCCAUGCAAGGGAUAUGAUUCGUCAAUCUAUGGAUACGAUCUUAUCUUGCCUAAUUGAUGUCAUGUCAUUUGAUCGAUUUUGUUUUCGUAAAAGAAAAUCCAAAAACUUUGAGUUAGAUUAGGUUUAUCGUUUUAGGGUUAUUUUGCAUAGGGAAUUUUUUAUUUCGAAUUUUUGAAAAAAUAAAAAUCCAAAAAAAUGCAUUCACUUAGGAUGUUAGUUUUUUUUUUUAAAAUUGCACGUUUAAUUAUGUGUCAAUUUUAAUUUCGAAUUUCAUAGAAAAAAAAAGAAAAAAAAUAGAAUUAGGGCAUUCUUUGCACGUCAUUGCAUAUUAGGAUAAGAUUGCAUGUUUAAUUUUAAAGUUUAGAUAUUUUUUCCUAGAUAGAUUGCAUUUUAGGUUAGAGAUAACAUCCUAGUUUAAAUUAAGAUUUGACCUAAUCUAAAUCUUAAUAUAAGUUGGAUGAUAUCUUAAUUUGGAUAGAUAAUUUUUUUCAAUUUUAUAAUUUCGAAUUUCAUGGAAAAUACCAAAAAAAUUGUCUUUGAAUAAAUUAAUUUCAUUCUCUAGAAUAGGUCACAUGCUCAUCAAGAAAACACAAUAUUUCACUUACGUCAUAUAUUUUAGGUCAUAUUGCCAUGUCAUAUCAUUUCAUGUUAGAUUAAUAACAUUGCAUUGCAUAAUACAUGAUUCUCAUUAAAUAAGUGAUUGCGUGUUAAUUAGAAAUCAUAUCUAGGACUGUUGAUGUGAAUUCUGAUUUAACAUCGCAGAUGCUUUCAAUACCAUGAGGUAAAUCCUACAAUUUAUUCACCGUGCUAUUUGGGUGUUAAAUUGGUGGUUUGCGCACCCGCGUGAUAACCUCACAUAUUGGGGAAGUAAAUUAAAAUCAAUUCAAGCUGCUUGCCAAACAUUUUUUUUUUCAAAAUAAAAGAGAAAAGUACCGAAAGGGCAUUAAAAAAAUCUAGCGUAAUUAAGUCCCCGAACUCAUAAAUUUCUGGUUCGUAAGAGUAAAGUAAAUCUCUCGUUACUUUACUUAGGUUUCUAACCGACCCACCAAAAAUAGAUUAAUAGCGACUUCCAAUUGAAUAAUCAUUUGCAUGUUAAGAAUUCGAACCUAAGUCGUGAAUUGGUAUGGGCUUGGGAGAACCUGAGCUAAGUUUAGGCUUAGUAUUCCAUUAGCCAAACUCUAAGUGGUUCACCCCGAGGUCAGGUCAUGACAGUUCCUCGAGGGGAAGGGGGGACAUUUUCCACUGCUCUCUUCCAUAAACGAAGCUCCAAAGUGUGAAUCCAACAACAAAGCCAUAUGGUAACUGUAGAUAUAUCUAAUAUGCACAUUUGAGUAAUAGGUAAUAUUCAUUAGGAUUUGUUUCCUCAUCCACAACCGCACAUUGAUUUUUUUGUUGCUUUUGACGGAAUAAUUAAUCGCACAGGAGUCUUAAAAAUUGAUGUUUUGAUCUUUAAGGAUUGAGUCAACUUAUCGAUUUUAUCUGUGAAAUAAUCAAGUUAAUUAAAUAUUCUCCUAAUUUGAAUUGUGGAUGAUAUCUUUAGCGAUUUGAUGAUAUUUUGUGAUUUAGGUGAUUAUAUUACUUUAUCUACUUUCCUUACCUUGAUAAAUACAAAAGGAUUGCUUUGCAUAUUGUAACAUCCUCAACUUCGAGCCUUUUACAUGGUAAAAGAGAAGUUCGAACUUGGUUUCACUAGUUAAGCUUGGUUGUGUCUGCUUCCUCUUAUCAUGUCUUAGGCAUGAAUUUCGGGCCAAAUGAGAUAGUCAAUUGUGGUCAAACUUGAUUAGUCCAUGCCUAAUGAUAAAGCCUUCAAAACUGAGAUAUUCCAAGUUGUAUUUAAUGCCCUCGUCUUGUAGUUAAUUAAGGAGCAAGAUGGACACGUGGCACAUCGGGCCUUAGCCUUAUAAGACAAGUAUGAAGCUUGGACUAGUCAAACUUUCUUAGAAAAACAAGUGUAACAAAUGUGAAUUCAUGUGAACAUAUUAAAUGAUGGGGUGCAAAGGAUGUCCCUAUAGCCUAGGCCUAAUCAUACCCUAAAUACCUAAGUGUGAAUUGUGGACUUUGGAGCCCAUGAGGAAAUGGUCACGCAUCCAAGAGGAAAAGAGAGAGAAGGCGAGUCAAGUUCAAACUUGAAACUCAAGAUAAGUUCACAUUAAUAUCUCUUGGAAUUUAGCCAUUCAAUGAGCAAGAUGAAGUGCCCAAGCUAUCCUAGGACCUAGUUGGAAACUUGGAGGAUAAGGAUGUCCAACAAUUAAUGCUUCUUGACCAAGUAGGGCGCCCCAUCUCUCCAAUUAGAUAUACAACCCAAAAAAAAAAAUUGUAUGUAAUUGUGUUAAUUAGAAACAUAUAUCUAGAUUGAAUUUGUGAUUAUUCUAAUUAACAUUACAGAUGCUCGCAUUGCUUUAAAGUAAGUACUUCUUUUAUAUCUUUGCAAUUUGUUUGUUGUUUUGAUUGUCGAGUGUUUCAUUAAGGGUUGCGACCCGUAUAAUCACUUCACAUGUCUUCAAUCUGCCUAUCAAACUUUUUUGAAUGAAAGAGAAAGGUAUUGAAAGAGUGUUAGAGUAACCUAGCCCAAGUCAUCAAAUUUGUAAUCUCUGGUUUGUAGAGGUAAAUCAAUUUUCUCAUACUUGGGUAUCUAAUUGACACACAAAAAACCGACUCGUGGUGAUUCCUUGACAAAAAUCAUUUGCAUGUUAAAUCACUUGAACUUGAGUUGCAAAUUGAUAUAGGGCUGGGAGAGCUCGAGUUAAGUAUAGGCUUAAUACUCCAUUAGUUAAACCUCUAAUUGAAGCACUUGAGGUAAGGUCAUGACAAAUGGUCGUAAUUAAGUUCUAACACUAAAAUCUCCAAUAUUCAAUUAGAUUAGGCAGGUUUGAUAGGACUGAUCAUUUAGACUUAAAAAGAUUUUACUUAAUUUAAAACUCAGUUUGAAUAUUCAGUAAAGAAGGGAUCACCUAAUUGGUUCAAUGUAAAAAAAUAAUGAGAGCAUUUAAAAAUCUUCCCAUUUAUGUGACUAAAAUAUUUUAUUACUUUAAUAGUGCUCAGUUGUCUAUCUUCAACAAGAAACUAAUGACUGCUAAGGUUCUUCAAUUUUCAGAUAUUACCACACAUAAUUUUCAUUUCAUUUUCAGCCUUAAAGAAUCAUGUGCCAAGUGACAUGGGAGUAAUGUGAUAUGAUAAUUUCGUUGAAAAUUUCGUCGAAAAUAAAAACCGAGUAAAGGUCAAUAAAAAUCUGAGAAAAUUGUUUCAAACCCUCUUUAGUUUUUUAAAUAUAUUUUGAACGUACGAAGUCCAAAAAAUCCGAAAUUAAAGUAUGUUAUAGAACAAAGUAUAAUGAGAAACUUUUUUUUGAAGAAUCCCUCACAAAAUUCAUACCACAAAAAAUGAGUAUAAAAUUGGAAAAAGUACAGUCUACAGUAAAUUGAAACAAAAAUAGUAGUAUCCUCGGAUUUGUCCUUGACUUGUGCCAUUUAAGCUCAAAGCAACAUAAAUCUCAACAUUUAGUACCUCAGCAACUUAGUGAACUCAAUAAACCAUCAUUUCAACAAUGCUCGCGAUGUACGUUUGUUGAAAUCGCCAACUAACAUGACUAUGUACGAAAUCAACCAAGACGACUAAAAUCUGAGGAAUCAACUUCCACGCAUGGCAAUCAACCUACGUAACAUAAAAAGGAAGGCAAUUUACUUGCCUAAGUCCUAGGUGAGUGUCGUCGCGGUUUGGUGAGGUCUCGAAAGUCUGAGGCUGUGGCUGGCAUUGUGUGUAUUUGACACUGAACAAGUGAAAGAAAGAACGACAAUUCAUGGUUGAAUCAGCAUACAAAACCACAUCAAAAUCAAAUGGUUAUGAUGACAAAGAAAGAGUUGAAGCUCUAAUUUCACUUCUGGGUGAAAAAACUAGAGAUACUUGCCCUUCUUUGUCAUGAGUCUAUUAAGUUUACAUCAAAUGUCGAAUCUACACAAGAUGCAAUUGCGGAAAAUCUCCUCUCUAGUCUUCUUACGAAUCUGACCUUUGUUUAAAAACUCGAGGUUGGAAGAUCAUUAUAAUGGUAAAGGUUUUGAUGAAUUCAUCCGCGAAGUGCAUUUGAUCGUUACUAUAUCCAUCAGACGAUUUCUUUUGGGGAUCAUGUUAUUCAGGUGAUUAACCAAACAAGAAAGAGAUCCUAGAAUAGUAAGGUUUCAUAUUUCACUACUUUGAUAAGUCACCAAUCUACUAACUAUCCCAUCAAAUAAGUCGAAGAUUUGUUAAACUACGAAACCUCAUUUUGUCGUGAUGUGAUAUAUUUCCGAUGUGAAUAAAAAAGUACCAAAUGAAUGAUUGAGUAUUCCUUCAGCUGUUGAGAUAUAUCAUUAUGUAUGAAAGAUGGCCAAUGGGUUCAAGGCAUAACAUUGGUAAUGCUAUGUAAGCUUUUGUUUACCAAGGGUUUGAAUCCCUCUAUUUACACACCUUGAAGCAAUUUACCAUUGAUACUAAUCACAAUGUAUCAAAGAAAAGCACAUACGCUAAUUUCAAAGGUUAAAACUUUCUUUGAUAUGUAUCCCCUAUUUCCAAGUCCCCACUUGAUAAUCUGGCUUGAAGAAAUAAAAUAACUUGGCGCAAUUUAAUUUUCCUUAAAUCGAUGUAUUAUGGGUUAGUGGCAACUUAUGAAUAAAAUCUUAUGUUCAUGAUUGACUGGGAAACGAUUUGCGAUUGAUAGGGCUCGGGUGAAUCGUAGCCAAGCAUAAGCAUCAUCUUGCAAGAGAAAUCGUUCGUGUUCCCAUGGCCAUAUGUUAACUCAUAUCAUGAGAACAUUUGGCAUUUUGCCCAUGGCAAGGGUCGUGAUAAUUGUACUUCCCUAUAAUAGAUGCAAAUCAAGCAAUCAUGAGAUAAUUAGUUUUUUUUAUGCAUCUUGAGUAAUUUUUCAUAUAGAAAAAACAAAGAAGUAAAUUUAAAUGCAAUUUCGUCCUUUCAAGGAUUAGUAAUUCUGGUCAAUGAUUUGGGAACACCAUAUGGUUUUUUUAUGGAAUCAAUUUUCGGAAAUUUUGAAUGCAAAUAAAAUUUCUCUGUUUUUUUUUUGUGUGUUUGGUGCUCUUUUUUUUUUUUUUUGUGGGGGUGGGGGUGGGGGGAUUUACAUAAUCCAACGAUGGUCUUUGCUCGUUUGAAAACGAACGGUGCAGAUGUGCCGAGCACGAAAAUCGAGGGGCACUAUCAAUUUCUAGGGUUUUUUUUAUACCUAUUAUAAAUUCGAACUACCAAACGUAGCUUGUAAGCCAUCGUGAUUUCUUCCUCCUCUCAUCUUGUCUCUUCCUUAUUUCCUCUCGCCGUAUCCCACCUCUCCAAAUUUCCAUGUGAACGAGAUCGAGAUCGAGGGAGAAGAACUCGAGCGGGCAGUUGAAGCCGGGCCAUGGAAAUUUUGCUGUAACCGGAGUCGAGGGCGUGUGAUCAGGGGCUGAAGGAACAUAUCGACGCCAGAGAUUAGCAACUGGACCGGAACUUCAGUCCUCCUCAUUGUACGUUGUCUUUCGGCCUCGUUAUGCAAUUGCAUGCCUGUCUGAAUUUUCUGUUGCAACUCGUGACGCUCUAUUAUAGGAUUUUUCUACUUAAAUUUCCAGAUCUUUUAUAUCUGUAAGAAACAUAAGACACUUAAAUCGUUUAAUCGGCCAAAUAUGGAACAGAAAAUAAGCAAUAAUAAUGUCUAGUCUUGUGUCUGGAGCCUUUUCCCGGAAGGCGUUCUCUAUCAAAUAAGAUAAUUAAUGUUCCCGUUGAGCAAAGAGCGAAGAUUUUUAUUGGUUUAUCAACGCCAAGUUACAUAAUUGGCUUGACUGAUGGCUUCCACUUCAAUCGUUCUCAACUCCAACUGGGGUGGAAAGCCUUUGGUCAAGCCAAGCCAUACUAGAUGCGGGCAAACUGGAUAGUUUACCGUCCAUCGUUACAAUUGAUUGGCAUUAAUAGAAAUCAAGCAAAUUGAAGAACUUGAGGGUGCAGCUGAGCCGGGGCCACGAAAUAAUGUUGAGAGAGAAUCUUAGAUGUAGCAGCAAAUUGGACAAUUAGGUUGGGUUUUGGUGAGCUUGACUCAAAAUUUCACUCUUCAUGCUCACUUCACCAAAUCUUUUUUCCUUACAAAUCUCCAAUUCCGUGUCCCAUUUUUUCAUUAUGAAUCUAUGAUUUCACAUAUAGGUUCAUAUAGGCUGAAAUUUUGAGUUGGUAGAACAAUUUGCUGCAUCCGAGUCAUUCACAGAAAAACUAAGCCAGGCUUGUGUAUAAGAAGCAAACGACAGAACAAUAGCUUUUAAUCUGAAGAGCAAAAUUUGAGGAUUGUUUCCUGUCUUUUCAAAAGAAGUUCCCAGGGUCUUGCUUGUUGGUACCCAGUCACUUGAAACAUAUCUGUUCACUCUUCUGUGGGUUACAGGCGAAAUGCCGAGUGCGACAUUUAAAUUAUGGGAGCUUGUUGAGUUUCUACCUAAUAAAUUGUUGUUGAUUUGUCUGACAUGCCAUGCCCACUGAAUAACCCAAUGCAGAGGAUUUGUCUAACAUGCCACGCCCACUGAAUGCAGAAGAGGAAGAACCCAAUACAGAGGUUCCCCAAGGUAUGUGCAUCUCCCAAUUCCCCUUUUGUAAAAGCUCGUGCAGGAUGCUUAAUUUGUCUUCUAAUCUUCACCUAAUAAUAGGGGUAUAGGCAGGACCUCAGAUUUCUGAUAGUUAUAGAAAAACACAAAAUAAACAUGAACUAAUAGGAAGAGAGGAGCUUAAGAGUCGGUCAUUGACGAUUAAUAGAUCUUUGAAAAUGGACAGAACAAUACUCCCAAGUGUGAAAUUUAAAUUUUGAAAAGCAAUGGCUCUCUAUCCCCUCGGAUCACCUACAUAAAGAGCAUUGCUUUUUUAAAACAGAAGCAAAUUGUGGUUUUCAAUCUGAAGAGCACAGUUUGAAAUCUGUCUCCCGUGUAUGUUAUAUAAGAAAGCCUCCAUCCGUUUACCCUUUCGUGGGAUGCAGGGGAAAUGCCGAGAGCAUUGGAUCCACUUUCAGUUGUUGAGGUUCUGCCUAAUAACAUGCGGAAGUCUAACUUCUGCGAGAAUGAGUACGUUGGAGACACGAAGAGGAUCAAGGCGCAGUUUGCUGGGGUAGGAGGAUGUGGAAUUCUUGGCUGUAAGGUCUUCAGACCGAGUGAGAUCAGAAGCACCAGAGGUGCUGAAGGGUGAAAGAGCAGUGGAAUCGAGCAAGAGACAAGGCAAUGAUGAAGGUUCAUCCAACCUCACACAGAGUUCGCAUCAGCCCUUGACUGUGGGCAGUGAAGUUGCUCGGUGUAAGACUUCAUUUGUUGCCAUGCCGUACCUGAGCUAUGGUGCAGGUUCGUCAGCCUUUCUUCCAUCGGCUGAGACGAAUUUUCCCAAUCAGUCUGGUUCUGCUUUAACCAACAUACCACGCCCGCUGAAUGCCAAAGAGGGAGAACUCAAUACAGAGGUUCCACUAUGUGUGCAUCUCUAAAUUUCAUCUCUAAAUUUGGCAUACGUUGAAGCUUGUGCAGGCUGCCUUAUUUGUCUUCUAAUCUUAACCUAAGAAAAGUGAUACAGGUAUAGAGAAACUGAAAAUGGUCAGGAAUUAAUAGGAAAAGAGGAGUUUUAGAGUCGGUCAUUGAUAAUCACUAGAUCUUUGAAAACGAAAAGACAAAUGUUUUGAAGUGUGGCAUUCAAAUCUUGAAAAGCCAUGGCUCUCCCUGUCCCCUCCGAUCUUCUACAUGAGCAUUGGCCUAUAUGGUUAAAUUAUUCAUCAAAGAUAAUUCCCAUGGCUUUUAAUUUUAAAUCAAUUCUUUUCUAAUGAAGAGCUCAUGAUAUGGAGUCGCCAGUAUUUCACUAUCAUGACAUCAAUGCCUACAAUACAUAUUAAUUAUUGUAUUGAAUGUUGCAUGUAAUAUUUUUGUUCGAAAAAGUGAAUACAAAGUUACAAUUUUUUAUUUCCAUGAGUGUAACCUACCUAUAAAAUAUAUCUAAGGAGUACCCAAUAGUGAAUUUUCACUUAUAAUUGUGUUUAGGUGCGAGAACGCAUCUUGGACUGGCUAAGAGUCAACGAGGUACCCGUGGGCUUGCCGACGCGAAUAUGACGUCUCUCAAAAGAAAGCUGGAAGAACUCAUCAGCAGUCGCCGAGCGGACAUGAACGAGCUGAAGUCGAAGUGGACGAGGACAGAAGAAGAAUAUGGGAGUGUGGUUCGGGCAAUCAGAGAAGGAAUAUCUUUUCCACUGGAGAAAGUAGCAGAGGUGGAAGGGCUGUGCAAAGAAGUCGAACAGAUUCUUCUAGUUCCAGGAAGAUUUCGGCAAGAGGCGACGGUUAGAUGUCGCAAAACAUCUCCCUUGGUGACAAUAGAAGAAUUAGUAGGCAAAGAAACUCUGCAGAAGGUGGAUGAGAUUGUUUGCUUUAUAAUGCAGAGCAAGGAUUUCGUAAUUGGUGUUUAUGGUAUGGGCGGAGUGGGCAAGACGGCCAUUUUGAGGAAUGUCUAUAAUAGACUCCUUGAGUAUCGUGCAUUGGAUGUAUUCUGGGUUGAUGUACCUCAGGAUUUUAGUGUUUGUGCGCUACAAGAAGCGAUUGCCAAUGCAGUCGGACUAGACAAUCUUUCAAAUGAGAAGGACUUGAAAAGAAGGGCGGGCCUAUUGUGUGGACAUCUGAAGGUGAAGAAGAGACCCAUCCUUAUUUUAGAUGGCCUUUGGAUGCACUUUGAAGUUAAGGAUGUGGGUAUUCCGGUUGGAAUGGGCAGACUAGGGUUGGUAGUGACAACUCGAUCACUAGAUGUGUGUCGUAUGAUGCUCUGUCAAAAGCAAAUGAAGAUAGAACUUCUCAAGGAGGAAGAUUCUUGGAGGUUAUUUUCAAGGACGCGUGGCCUUGCGGGAGAACUAUCUGGGGAAGUUGGACAAAUUGCAAGGUCUCUUCUUAAUAGGUGUUCUGGUCUGCCACUUGGGAUCAUUGAGAUUGCAACUCGCACGAGAGGAGCGAAAGAGCAUGAUUGGAGAUGCAUGUUGCAAAAUUUAGAAGAUUGCAGGCUGGAGCUUGACGUGUUCAAGAGACUGCAGCUCAGUUACUUGAACUUGGGUAAUGAACAAGUGCAACAGUGUUUCCUGCAUUUAAUCCUUUGUUUUGGAGAUAUCCUUUCAGCAGAUGGCAAAAAGUUUUGCAUAGAGUCUUUGAUAGAUGAGGGUUUGUUAGGUGGAAUUGCCACUAGGAAUAGACUGUACGAACGGGGUAACGAAAUAUUGGGUAAAAUAGAAGGGGCUGGCCUGUUGGAUUUUGAAGAAGGGCAUCGGUGUCUACACCCAUUGACAAAGGACAUGGCAUUGCAUAUGGUGCCGAGCACAACUCACAUGUUUAAGGCCAUUAUGGGUUUGAGAGAAAUACCGGACGACGUAUUCUGGACCGAUCGUCUAGAGAAAGUCUUUUUACAUGGCAACAAAAUAGAAGAAAUCCCAUACGGCGUAUCACCAAAUUGCCCUAAACUGACGAGGCUGUCUUUACAUAGCAAUUCCACCUUGGCAGUCAUCCAUGGAUCUUUCUUUGGACAUCUAAAGGGGCUGACUGUUCUAGAUCUCAGCUGCACCGGAAUCACGGAAUUACCAGACUCCAUCUCUGAGUUGGAGAGCUUGGAAGCACUGUUACUGCAAGGUUGUUCCUCAUUGCGUUUUAUUCCUUAUGUAGGAAAGUUGCGAUCCCUAAGAAAGUUGGACCUCAGUGAGUGUAGAAGUCUUGGAGAAGUGCCAGAGGGCAUGGAGAUGUUGGCAAACCUGAGGUACCUCGCCCUACUUGUUGCAGAGAUCCAGACAUUACCGGAGGGAGUGUUGGGGAAGCUGGUGAACUUGCAAUAUCUCGCGAUUAAUGAGCUAAGGGUGGGAGAAGAGGUAAAAUUACUGGAGGUGGAUGAACUUUAUUGUUCUGUUUCCGAUGUGGAAAUGUUCAAUGCAUGCGUGGGGUGUCUUGAGCGAAAUGGAUCCGCAUGCUACAGGCUCAUGAUGGGUGCACGAAGCGGUGAGGUCCUUUGGGGUGGGAUUGACACUGAGAGGUUGUUACUCAUUGAUAGUUGCGACCGUAUCGCCGGGAGCGUAGAUGGAACAAGUGGUGAUGGCUGCGUUCUGCUUCCGGAAAGUGUGCAAUCAUUGGUAUUGUCCCGGUGUCAUAAAAUGAAGAGAGUGAUGGAAUGGGAGUGGCUGACUGCUCACCUUCCAAAUCUGGAGGAGAUUGUAACCAUUAGUUGUGAGAACUUAGAGGAGAUAAUACAUGGGCCAUUGCCAAGUGAAGCCACUUGUCGCCUUAGACAUCUUGAAGUAAAUGGAUGCAACAACAUGAAGAGGGUGCUGCUGACGCAAGACAUGGUGCUCCAUCUCCCUUUCCUCGAAGAUAUAGUAGUCCACGACAGCAAGGGCAUAGAGUUGAUAAUGGGCACUGUUGCCAAAAUGACGUACUUCUCCUUCCCGAAGUUAAUGAACCUGGUUCUACAUAAACUUCCGGAACUGAAGAGUGUAUGUGAUGGGAUCAUGAGAUGCAAUUCCCUCCAACGGGUUUCUAUAGACAAUUGUCCAAAACUGAAGAGGAUUCCUCUGCAGCUGCCCCUGCUUGACAAUGGGCUGCCUUCUCCUCCCCCUUCUCUUCGAGAGAUUCGGAUAAAUCGGCAGAUGUGGGAGUCGCUUGAGUGGGAUCAUCCCCUUGCCCGUUCUUCACUUGAACACUUCAUCAAGUUUCUUGGUAAGUAACCCACAAAUUUUACUUAUUUUAUCCUUUCUAACUCCCUUGGUGGUCCCUUGUAAGGAUCUGUUCACCCGCAGUAUGGGAAAUUCAUUUUUUUUUCCAAAACUUUUAUAGCAAGUGUUAUACCACAUAACUGGUUUGAAACUAGCAAUUAGGCCCGUGCUACACACUGAUAAUUGAAUUCUAUUACUGCUUGAAAGUGCAGCAGAUUAGCCAUGUUAUUAUUAGACCUUAGCGAUGUUAAAAAGUUAUUUAAAAAAAAAAUAAAAGAUCUCCCUUAACUUUGAAUGAAUAACAACGCAAUUGUCCUUGCUCUCUCUGUUUUUUUUUUUUUUUGGCCAAGGCACUCGUAUAUUUAGAAGAUGUUUCUCACGCCAAUUUUUUUUAAAAAAAAGCCAUUCUGAGUAUACGAAAUUGUGCAUAUGCUGAUAUGGAAAUCCCUCUUUCAUAAAUGAUCAGUUUUUGUGGUCACAAAAUGAUCACGACAUGGAGAUAACAAAUGAUUAGUGGCUGCAGAGUUUCUCAUACGAAAAAAUUGAAAUUUAUCAUGACAUCCUUGUUGGGAAGAUGCUAAAGCCUAGUAAAAGUAAAAUUUGAUUGGGAAGUUCUACUUUAUUGGUUGGGAUGGUUUAAGAGAGCAUGUUAUAUGCUUUGUACCUUUUCUUUUUGUUGUCUUUUCUGUUUUACCUCAUCCAGUACUUCUAUUUUCAAUUUCAAGUCUUCUGUUGCUUUUUAAAUUGAUCACUAUUCUUCAUGAAUACUUUUGAUGGACUUUGUAUUUUCGAUUGCAUAUUUGAACUUUUUGAAUUCCUUUCUUUUAAAUUUGAUUAAGUUCGGUUGGCCGGAGGAGUCUCUAAUUUCUUUAGUUUGUUUAUGUUCUCUCUUUAAUUCGAUUAGGUUUUAUCAUUCAAAGAAGUCUCUAAUGCCUUCAAAUUGUUUUUGGAAUAGAAAAAGAAAUGAGGGGUUAGCUAUAUCUGGAACCUCGUGAAAUCUAUGAGGGCUGAUCUUUUGGAAGCGCAAAUAUUGGACAGAAAUAAGAUUGACUUAGGUGUCAAGAAGCGAAUUGGCCAGUUCAACUUUUUUCUAAGCUCUCUCAAAAUGCACCACGAUCUGUAUAUAGAUUUCUCAUGCAUAGUCAUGCGGUAUGCAAUGAUAUUGGGUAUGAGUACGAGAAAGGUCCUGGGGGAUCAAUUGCUCGCCAACUAUAGAAAAACCCCUCUCCCUCUCCCUUUCUCAACUGCUUUUAGGUCCUUUGGACCCACUUUGCGAGCUACUAACAAAAGAAUAUUUCUGGUUCCAGACUGAUGAAAGCGAUGGAGGAUCCUUCUGAGUAUGAAUUGUCUUCUGAUGGCAGUGGACAUCAACCUCAACGCCAUUGCUACAUCAAUGUGCUCGAUUUAUGUUUAAAGUACCUCUGAACUUUGUGAUGACAUAUGGUUAAUUCAUGCCUUAUUUUAUAAUCUAUGAUAACUACGUCAGGUUUCUGGAGUCUUGGGUUUGUAUUAUCCCUCAUUUCUACCUCGUGAAACAUUUCUCUGCCCCCCCCCCCCCCCCCCCCCCCCCAACUGACUCGUUUAAAGAAUUGAUGUGGAUAUGAAUUUGAUUGUCUACUACUUUAAAGUAUAAUCUACUGUGGGAGGUGCUCUUGGUUUGGAGCAGAUUAGUGGCUAUUUCA
Molecule: long non-coding RNA, 117562 nt
Filed under: Eucalyptus grandis
Lineage: Eukaryota; Viridiplantae; Streptophyta; Magnoliopsida; Myrtales; Myrtaceae
Description: long non-coding RNA (EGRA_LNC003598)
Rfam family: tRNA (bases 23609-23694)
Source: RNAcentral